RNAcentral lists this long non-coding RNA (98785 nucleotides) under Malus domestica (apple). Its description in RNAcentral is "long non-coding RNA (MDOM_LNC008915)". The record is from RNAcentral. Lineage: Eukaryota; Viridiplantae; Streptophyta; Magnoliopsida; Rosales; Rosaceae.
ACACUAAAAGCUAGUGAAUCAUACACUUGCAGAUGACUUAUCCAAACACAAAGAUAAGACAUGAGUUUAUUAUUAUUGCUACAAACACACGGAUUACAGCGAAAUUCAAAAACUAAAAACAAGGAAAAAAGUAGUGAUGAAAACCAAUGCCACUUUCGCGGGGAACACGAUUGCAUUCGCACAUGCAACAAGCCUUUUAAACCCAUAGGUGACCCAAAUGGGACGAGUGAAGUCUCGUGAGGGUUUCCAGAGACGUUACCCACAAACAUCAUGCAUACUGAUAAUCAACAUCUGACUUGAAAGACUGAGUAGAUAUCCACCCCUCCAGCAUCAGGUGUUUUUUGGUUGAGGCGUAAUUCGAAUCUGUUUUCAAUGAACGGCCUGGUUAAGAGGUCGCUUUGCAAGUGACGUAAUCGGCAGCGUGUGAUUAGGUUGUUGCUGUCAGGUGGUCCGACAGGCUCGACCUUGAACAAUGUGCAAGCCCAAUUGUCUUUGGUUUCAUUUCGGUCAGCAGCUGCGGCCAGGACCAAUAGCCUGUUUUGGUCCACCCUUCUCAAGUAGUUGCCGUUGUAGGAGCAUUUGAUAUGCACAUAAUUCUUGUCGGCGUAGUCCUCAUUGUUUGGCUUCUCGGUGGUGAACUUUAUGAACCUGCUGUUUUCAUUGUCCUCGGAAAACUGGACAAUCUCAUUAAGGUCGCUUUCUGCAUCAAGUUGAUAGCGCAAAUACUUGUUGUUGAUAUCUGCUUUCAGCAGAAAAGGGCUUGGUAGUACAGGUGGAGCCAUAUCGUAUAGUGUAGUUGGGAUUGGGAUGGUCUCUCUCUCUGUUGAUGAUCUAAUUUGCUUGCUGUGAAUGUGAUACUUAGUUCAAACCUGCUAUCCUAUUUAUAAGAAAUUAAGCACAAGCUAGCUCAAGUUAUGGUCUUUAAUUAAUAUUAAUUUCGACAAAUCAGUUUCCCAUCUCUUUCAUUGAUAUCAACAUGGCUGAUCUCAUUGGUGUGGCGCAAUAUUUGUUAAAUUAGCCUUUCGGGUUGAUUUCUUUGUAUAACUCUUCUGCCAAUUCUGCAACUUGUAGACUUAAUUCCCAUUACAAAAUUAAAAAAAAAAAAAUCCAAAACUAAUGUAAGAUAAAUAAAGACUUUUUACAUCAUAAAAUAAGACUUUCUAACUUGUAUACAAGACUAUAGUGACAAGAUCAAACACAUUGAUGGGUGCGCAUUUUCCAUCAACAUCUGUUCUGUGCGUUUAAACUGAGCGUGGAGUCUUUUUUAGCAAUUAAAAGUUGGGAACUUUAACGAAAAGCACCUGAUACUGUUCACUUUAACCAAAAACCACAUUUUUACACUAAAAAGUCAAUCCUGGUACUAUUCACUUUACCCUUUAUUUUGUCCUUAUCAUUAAAACUCAAAGUUUUCAAGCCCUUUUCAUUAGUUUUCCUUUAAAAGUUUUGUAUCAUGUAAUUGUCUUGGUUUGAUAAGACCUACAUCUAGAUGAGUUGCUUCUGAAGACUAAUGUAAAACUUUAUGUUGAUAUUUCUUGAGGGUGAAACAUCAUUUGAGAAACGUUUUGGGCCUCAUUACAGACCUACUAUUUUUUUUUCCUUUAAUUUUCUUGCUUUGAAUGUGAUGCUCAGUUCAGACCUACUAUCCUAUUUCUAAGAAAUUAAGCACAAGCUAUCUCAAGUUAUGGUCUUUAAUUAAUAUUAAUUUCCUCAAUCAGUUUCCCAUAUCUUUCAUUGAUAGGAACAUGGCUGAUGUCAUUGGUGUGACGCAAGAUUUGUUAAAAUAGCUGAUCGGAUUGAUUUUUUCUUUGUAUACCAUUCAAACUAAAUGUGUGGCUCAAUAAUUGGUAGAAACAUUUCCAAAUGCUUUAUAAAUGUUCUCUUAAUGCUAACGGAGAAUAUUUUGGGAAGACAAAAUAUUUGCAUUUCUCACGAAAAUGUGGGUGCUCAUUAAUUUUAGUGGGUUUUGCAAUUUUGUAUAAAAUCAUCAUUAAAUAUAGUAGUUUUCACCUUUGCCUCAUCGCUAUAUUUCUAAAAGUAAUGUAAGACUUUCAGCCUUUGUUCAUUAGUGAGGAUCUUAUCAAGAUAGAGCAGCCAUAAGAAGAAACUCUUAACUUUGGAGGAAUAUGAAGUUUCCAAAUGAGAUUCCAUCGCCAAUUAGAAAAAGCACUAGGCCUAAUGGCCCAAAAAUAAGCAGAUUUAACUGAAAAAUUACCAUCACUUAUUCCACUUCAGAUACACUUGGCAGUCAAAGCAUCAAAACUAAUUGGAAUGCUAAGAAUUUGUUCAACCACCUCUUUAGUUUAACAAGUAAUAGUGGAUCCAAACCAUUAUUGUAACAAUAAUUAGCUACAGUAGCCUUAAGCAUAUUGUCGGUGUCACACCCCGAUCCCGACAUACGUCCAGGAUCGACACAUGAUGUCACCUCCAGGAUCGACACAUGAUGUCACCAAAUACCCAUAUCUCUAACUUACCCCGCCUCCGGGAUAUGACAAAGUGAUGAGUCAAUAUUUUACCAUAUAUUUAACCCUAAUCUUAGUAUUAAUUUGUUGGUUAUUUUGGAUGAAUUUUGAUACUUUGUUAUAUAUUUCUAAUGUAGGAUAUUCGACUUUCUCUGGAGAAAAAAGUAACCAAACAGAUGAAUUUUGGAGUGAUUCCAAUUGGAGGAUGUUCGUGAGUCUUUCAAGAUGAUUGUAUCAAAAUUUCAGAUUUUGCUACCAAGUUGUUUGACCAUGGCGAUGAAAUUAAGGCCCAGCGCGCAGCUUUCCCAGAUUGACGUUUCUGGACGUUUUGGGUACUUUGAAGGUUGCGAUGUCAUAUUUUGAGGAAGAUUCCUUCUAAGGAUUUGUAUGGGACCUCUCCAGCUUUCAAAAGAGACAUUUUGGGACCAAAUCGGAGUUGAUUUGAUUGGUCAAAAGUCUGAUUUGUUGAGAACUCUGAAUUCUAGUUCAAAUAGGACACCUUUUAUUUUUUUGUUUUAUUAUUUUAUUAUGUUUCCUAGUUUUAUUCUAAGACCUUUUAGGGUUUUAUUUUGUAUUAGUAUAAAUAAGAUAUUUAGCCAUUAGGGCAAAAGUGGAAGAGAGAAUAGGAGGAGCACGCACACAGUACUUUGGAGGAUUCAAGUUUAUUUUCAAGGUGUUUUCUAUCCAUGUUCUUAAUAAUAUUUUGUUUUAUGGUUGUUAGUAACUAGUUUCGUUUGCUAGGGUGAGGCCACAAGCCUUAGUAAGAAUAUGUAGUUUCUUUUCAAUUUGCUUAUGAUAUAUAUUAUGCAUGCAAGUUUUGAAUUAUUAAUUACUGUAAUUUAAACUAUCUAAUUGUCUUCAUGAUUGGCCACCAUUUGGAUAUUUAGAAAAGUAAUUUGAUGCAAUUUUGGUGAAGGGCUGUCCCUGGAAUUGGUGCUGGCUUCUUGUGGUUAAUAUGUGUAACUUCUUAGGAUAGACGACACGUCUUAAGGGUUAUAUGGUUUUUCAAAAGGAUUUCACAAAACUUAAUGAGUCUUGCAUGUUCACAUUCGAUCUGGACACCACAUAUGGGUUGUAUAUUAGAUAUAUGUUCUAUGUUCGAGGUUCCUAGUAGGGCAUACUUUAGGAAAACCAAACCUUCAAAAUAUGCAUGUGUAAUUCAUAAGUAAUUGGAAGAACUACGUAGGAUUGUUAAGGUGACGGCGAAACCUUAGUGCUUAAAUUUAUUUUCAAAAACUAUUUUCUUUGGUUUUCUUUACUUUGCCAAUUUAUAUAAUUGUUUUCAGUUAAAUUCGUUUUUAAUAUUUUAGGUCAUAAAAUCAACCUCUUCUAAACUUUAUUUUCAAAUAAUUAACUAAGAUUUGGUUUUAACAUAAAUUAUUCAUUCAAUCCCUGUGGAAAACGACCUUACUUGAGCUGCUAUACUACGACAACCUUGUACUCUUGCAAGUAUUUUUAAGUGUUUUUAUCCCUACUUUUGCAAGUGGUAAAAUCCCUAUCACAAGGCACAACUCGAGAAUUGAAUCGCACAGUAAUUUUUCGUAUAAUUUAUGACUGCAUCUAACCUCCUCGUUAAACUGCCUACGUACCCUAAACAGAGAUCAAGCUAUUCGUAGUUCACCUCACUCAAACAUUCACCGCAUAUCUCACUACGUCUCAUCAUAAUACCACAAUUCAAGCAUGUAUCACCUCAAGGAACAUUCUACGAAGCACAAUAAUAUUCUCUAGUCAUCUUGCCAUUCACCCACACAUAUGCAUUCCAACACUAUCCAAUAAUCACACCAUUCAAUAACACAUACAAUACACCAAAAUGCAGGGCUAGAGUGACACAGUUCGACCGAAGCCUACAUCUCUGAAGCUGAAAUCGAAGCCAAGGAACCAACAUGUCAAAUGAUGCAAUUUCAGACCACUCAACGAAAUCCAUUAACAUCAGGUCCCGGACCACUCAACGGAACCAAAACACCAAGUGGGAUUCCGGACCACUUAGCAGAAUCUAUACCAAGAUAUGAUUCCGAACCACUCAACGGAAUCGCAGAGUAGAAGGGAUUCUGGACCUCUCAACGGAAUCCGAGUGGAUAUGAUUCCGGACCACUCAACAGAAUCGCGAAGUACAAUGCAUAUCCAACCACUCAAUGAAAUCUAAGCUGGAUACGAUUACAGUCAUACCUUCCGUCAAUUGUUGGUCAAUUUGUUGCAAUGACAUUGAAACUUUUUAAAGACGAGGUAUUGUUAAUGACCUAAUAAUUGAGGUAGUUUUAGGUAAUUUACCCUAUUUGUUUACUUAUUUUUUGGGUUUUUCUAUUAGAAAUACAUUUGUGGGUCAAUAAUUGGUAAAAACACUUUGAGAUGCCCUAUAAAGAUUUGCUUAAUGCUCACGAAAAAAAUUUCAUUUUCACACAAAAAACGUGGGUUAACACUCAAUAUUUUUAGGCCAUUUUGCAAUUUCGUACAGAAAUCAUUAUUAAGUCUGUUUGUUUUAACUUUCGCCUCACCACCAUGUUUUUAAAAUUAAUGUAAUGCUUUUCGUUGAUAUUUCUUGAGAGUGAAACCCCAUUUUAGCAACAUUUUAUGCCUCACAUAUAUGUUUUCAGUUGGUAGAACUACUUCCAGAUUCCUUAUAAAUAUUCCAUUAAUGUUAAAAUUUUGUAUUUUACCCUAAAAAGGUGUCACGAUUUUAAAACUUAUUUGUUUUCAACUUCGCCUCUCUAUGAUGUUUCAAAACUAAGUUACUUAAUUAUAAUUAUCUAGUUGUGAAAUUGAUAUUUUGGCAAAAAAUUAGGGGAAAGAUUUUAGGUUUGCCCAACGAAUAUAGAAGUGAUGGCUGACGAAUCGUUAUAUGUGGGUCUGACAACUUGCACCUAAUUCGUCAAGCAAAGCUGAAAAAAUUAUUUUUUUCCCUUAUGUUUUUAAUUUAAUUUCAAAUGGUAAAUCAUCGAAUUUGAUGAUCAGGACAAUUAAGUGUGUGGUUUUACUCUAAAUUACUGUUUUUCAAAACAAUUAUGAAAACCAAAGGUCCUAUAUAUAGCCUUUAAAUCUUGAUUUUUCAUUUCUAACAUGCGAAGGAUUUCUCAUUACCAAAUCUUGAAAUGUUUGUUUUGGAUGAUUUUUGGUAUAUGUGGUCUGGAGUAUAUACAAACAAGUUUGAUAGUUGGAUCGUGGAAACUAGUUUCGUAGAUUGCAAAUGCCGUCAAAACAAUAGAUUCAACAAACAUUUAGAGUUUAUUUUGUACUUGCAUUAAGUAGAACGUAAGCUUUUGAGGUAUCCAGUAGUGUAAAUAUUUCGAAGUUGAUGAUCGGGUUUGUUCCUUAUAUUCUUCUAGGAUUGAGGAAUUUAGUUUAAAAAAUUCAUCAAAAUCGGAGCUAAAUGAAUGUUAAAUUGUGAUUUCCAUUUCUAACCGUCGAUGAUUUCGUUUCAUUACCUAAUCUUCGAACGUUUACUUUUGAUGAAUUUUGGCAUCUCUAUGUCAUGUCACAUCAGAACUUAUUUUUUGGUUUAAAAAUAUUGUUGCUAUUUGAUAGACACAUAUUUAUUACAAUUGUUACCCUAUUAUUUAUAUUUGUUAGUGCCUCAUUGAAACUAUUUUUAUUAAAUUACUUUAGUUUUUGUAAUUUAUAAGGAUUAAGAUGCUUAUUGAUAAAAGUGGAAUUCAACAAGUUUUUGACACAUCUUAUAUGUUUUAGUCUUCCUAAUUACAUUGGCUUCAUCCAUUUAAUUAAAAGCAGAUAGGGUAGUAGUGGCAGGGAGGAUUUGAUUUGGUUAUUCUUCUCUAGUUUUAUUUUAUGCAAAAUUUCCUUCUUAGAAUUACUAUGAAUUCUUCGUUCAUGGGGUUCAAAAUUCUUAGCUAAGGCUAAGAGGAAGCCAUAAUUAUGAUUAUUCUAGUUAUUUGAUUGUUCAAUUUGUGAAUUCCAUAUUGAUGAUUAGUUUUCAUUCACUAGUUGGCUUGCAAUUUUGAUAUUGGGUUCUUUGUGCUUUUGACCAUAGCCUAGGAUUUUGAUAUUGAAAUUAUUUGCAUAUGAAUUUAUUUAUGACCAUUAAUUGGAUUCUAUUGAUGCUUCAUGAAUGAGAAUCAUGAACUUAUAUUUUGAUCCGACCGUAGACGAAUAUUGGUUUGUGUGGCUUCCUAGAAAAUUAGCUAUUUGUUUGACGUGACCAAGUUGAUAAGUGGUUAAUUUAUUUCUCACCAUACUUAAUUGGAUUUCUACAUGUUUGUGUAUACCGGACCAAGGAUAUAUGUAGACUACAGAAAUAGUUGAGUUUAAGCCGGACCACAGUAAAAUUCACAUCUCUUUGGGAAAUUAUUGGCAUGUGUACCUGACCACAGACAUAUGCACAGAAGUUGUUUUCAUUAAUUUGAUAAUUCAGGAGUUGACAAUUUGAUACUAGGGUAUGACAGUUAGUGGUAGAAUCAAAGCCUUAGUGUUUUCUUACAUUUGUUCUCAAUCAUAUUUCUAUUUAAGCAUUGUUAAUUUUAACUAUUCUUUGAUAAAAAUCCAAUCUUUAUUUCAAUUUGUUAAGUAAUAGUUAUAGGAUUAAAUUGUAAAAUCAACUCCGGUGGAUUUGAUCUCGUAUUUACAUAUUUCCACUACAACUGAUUCAAGCACUUAGGUGUAAAUUUGGUUUGAAUUAAUCUAUUUAUUAGGUUAGUUUAAAUUCACAUCAAGUUUUUGGCGCCGUUGCUGGGGAUUGUUUUUUCCAAUUUAAACUUUAAUUGUUGCUUAUCAUAGUUCGUUUAAAAUUUUAUUUGUUAGUAAUUUUUUUUUCUAUCCUUUUUUCCUUGUGUUCUUCUUUCUUAUGUUUUGUUUGGUUUUUUUAGGUACUGCUUAGUUUUGUUCUAUUACGGUAGAUGCAAAGACAUUGAUCACUCAAUCUAGCACUUAUUCCUAUUGAUCACGAACUUGAGCAGACUUUACAAAACCAGCAACGGAAACAUUUAUCUCAAUGAGAGGUGCUCAAAACUCCACAAAUUUUUGAAAAAGAAUCAGAGAUGGCUGAGCAAGAUCAAGAAAUUGUGCUGGUUUGAAGGUCGAUGAAGGAUUCUUUUGAUCCUUAGGAUUUGGAUCAGCCCUCGUGCAUUGCAUUCCAACCUAAUAUUGACAGAACUUGUAUGUUAUCUCCUCAGUUGCUCAAUAUGCUUCCCCACUUCAAUGGAGAAUCUCUAAAAGAAGAUCCUUAUGCACACAUUCAAGAGUUCUUCAACAUAUGUAAAACGCAGCACAUUAAGGGACUUAGUGCCGAUGAGAUUAAAUUGCUUUUAUUCCCUUUUUCUUUAAAAUGAGAUGCCAAAAAGUGAUUGCGUUCAUUACCUGCAAAUUCCAUCACUGCUUGGGGACAAUUGGCUAAAAAGCUCAUAAAGAAGGUUUUCCCUGCACACAAGAAAAAACAAUUGAAAAGAGAGAUUCAAUCCUUCGUUCAAAGAGAUGGCGACUCAUUCCAUGUGGUGUGGGAUCAAUUUAAUAAGUUGCUUGUCAAUUGUCCUAAUCAUAAUCUGCCCGGAUGAACAGGUACAAGCAUUUUAUGAGGGAUUAAAUGAUUCGAAUAAAGCCAUUGUGGAUUCCGCUUGUAAUGGUAUGUUAAUGAAGAUGAGUGACGAGGAAACGAUAGAAAUGUGUGAGGAACUUGUAGAGAACUCGCAACAAUUUAAUACAAAGGGACGUCAGGCUAAAAGAGGUGCAUAUGCAGUAAAUGCUAAUGAUGGUAUGCAAGUUGAGAUGGCUGCCAUGAACAGAAAUAUUGCAGCACUAAUCAAGACCUUAUCGCCUCAAAGUUCUCAACAAGCUCUCAAGUUUGAUGUAUGUGCAAUCUGUUCAGAAAAUGAUCAUGCUACAAAUACUUGUCCGAUAACUUCUUUUUCAAUAAAGAGCAAGUCAAUUUUGUUGGACAAGGAGGAUAUUCUUCGAAGCACAAUCCAUACUCAAAUACAUAUAAUUCGGGAUGGCAGGGUCACCCUAAUUUCAGUUAUGCAAAUCAGCGAAAUGUAUUGAAUCCUUCACAAGGGAACACACAACUUCAAGGGAUUGCUCCAGGAUUCUCUGAACUUAAGAAAACGUCUUUGGAGGAUAGCAUAGCUGUACUUGCACAAAGUCAGCUUGCGUUUCAAUAAAGUACCCAAGCUUUCCAGCAACAAACACAAGCUGCUAUUCAAACUACUCAAGCUUCGCUUUAGAAAUUGGAAAUUCAAGUGGGACAGCUUGCUAGUGCAGUAAAUGAAAGACAGAAACGCGAAUUUCCAAGUCAACCCAUAGCUAAUCCGAAAGGUGCAUAUGAGAUUAGCUCUAGUUACCCGUCGCAUGAGCAAGUCAAGUCUAUCACCAUACUCAAGAGUGGCACACAAGUAGAUAAUAAAGUUCAAAUGGCGAAUGGGGACCGAGAGACCAACCUGAAAAAGAAUGAAGCGGGUGCAUGUAAAGGGUAAAAAUGCUCAAGUAAACAGUUCAAAGUCCCUUAAUUUAUCAAAGUUUGAUCCCUUUGCAGCUUAUAAGGACAAGCCUCCUUUUCCUCAAGCUUUGAUCAGGCCAAAGAAGGAUAAUCAUUUCAGUGAGAUCAUGGAAUUGUUCAAAAAGGUCCAUAUCAAUAUUCCACUACUUGAGGCUAUCAGGCAAAUCCCUUCUGUUGGUAUAUGGUCCAGCCCAUGAUCAAUGUUCUAGAUUAUUCUAGUAAGCAAGAGAGAUGGCUGGAGCAUGCUAGACAAUUCUAGCAUGUUAUUAAGUUGAUGGAAGAAGCUAGAGAGUACUAGCUUCCUUGGUUGCAAAUGGAAAGAUCUAGAAGCCACACUUUUGUGGCUAGUCUAGAUCUUUCUAUGCUAGAGGUUUGAAGAAUACACUAGAAACUAGUAGAAUGCCAAACCCUCACCUAUAAAUAUGGGUGUGAUGUUGUAGUGAACCAACAAAUCAAGAGAAAGAGUGAGUAGCAAAGGAUCAAGUCCAAAGCUAGAGUUCCACUCCAAGAGUGAGAGUGAGAGUGUUCCACUACACAUUGUGUGAGUGAAGUUUAGAGUGAUAGAAAGUGUGUGUUUAUACUUUCUUGUAUCCAUCAAGCCUUGUCUUUGGCUUGGUAAGACUACUCUUGUUGUAUUCAUCUUUUUUCAUAUAGUGAAGAUUCCUUGUUUGGUGGACGUAGGCAUAAAUUGCCGAACCACAUAAAUUCUUGGCGUCCAUUUUCUACUUUACCUUGUGCAUUCUCUAUCUUGUAGUACCGACAUUCCUAAUAAGUGGUAUCAGAGCCCGGUUGGCUCGUACUACGAGAUGGAAGGAAGUGGCACUAUGAUCAAACUCACCAACUCCAAUUGGGUAACAUGGAAGCCAAGGAUGGAGGACAUUCUCUAUUGCAAGGAUUUGCAUGAGCCAAUUGAAGGAGAUGCCGCUAAGCCCGAGAGCAUGUCCGAUGCCGAGUGGAAGAAGAUGAAUCGCAAGGCUAUUGGCACAAUUAGACAAUGGGUGGAUGAUAGUGUUUUUCACCAUGUGUCUAAUGAAACCAAUGCUCGCGAGUUUUGGACGAAGCUUGAGUCCUUGUUCAAGAAGAAGACCCCAGCCAAGAAAGCCUUCUUGAUCAAAGAGCUCAUCAAUGUGAAGUACAAGGAUGGUUUAAGUGUAGCAGAACACUUGAACAAUUUCCAGAAUAUCAUCAACCAGUUGGCUACUAUGAAAAAUGACGAUCGAGGACGAGCUACAAGCGCUCUUGUUACUUGGAUCCUUGCCAGACAGUUGGGAGACCUUUGUGGUGAGUAUAAGUAACUCUGCUUCUAAUGGUGUUCUUACUCUUGAUAAUGUUAAAAAUAGCAUGCUCAAUGAAGAAACAAGGAGAAAGACUUCUGGCACAGAUAGCAGCCAAGUAUUUUGUCACAGAGAACCGCGGAAGAAGCAAGAGUAGAGGGCCUAGAGGUCAUGGCAGGAGUCCUAGCCGAUCCAAGUCAAGGUUCAGGGGUGCAUGCCACCAUUGUGGCAAAGAAGGCCAUAUGAAGAAAAAUUGUCGAGUUUGGAAGAGAGAGCAAAGGGAAGGAAACAAUCAGAAGAAAGAUGAUACUGGCAAUACCACUGCUGUCAUAUGUGGUGAUGUACCAGAAAUAUUGUCUGUUAGUGAAUGUCUGCAUAUGGGCAACUCUGACAGAGACAUUGAAUGGAUCUUUGACAAUGGAGCUUCCUUCCAUGCUACGUCCAAACGGGAGUUCUUCAGUACAUACAAAGAAGGUGACUUUGGCAUAGUGAAGAUGGGGAAUGAAAGCUAUUCCAAAAUUCUUGGAAUUGGUGAUAUCUGCUUAAGAACUAAUCUCGGCUGCCAAUUGAUGUUGAAAGAUGUGAGACAUAUUCCUGAUAUACGUCUCAAUCUGAUAUCCAUCGGUACCCUUGAUCGACAAGGAUAUUAUCACCAUAUUGGCGAAGGAAAAUUGAAGCUUACUAAAGGCUUAAUGGUGGUAGCAAGAGCACGACUUUGUUGUACGUUUGUACCGGUCAAAUGCCAAGGUUUUGAAAGGUGAGUUGAAUGCUGUGGAAGACUCAUCUCUAGACUUGUGGCAUAAGAGGCUAGGCCACAUGAGCGAGAAAGGCCUACAAGUUUUGGCAAAGAAGUCUCAUAUUCCCUUUGCCAAAGGUACGUCGUUAAACUCUUGUGAGCAUUGUUUAUUCGGAAAACAAAGAAGAGUUAGUUUUUCUGUUCCAUCUACAAAGAAAGGAAACUUGUUAGAUCUUGUUUAUUCAGAUGUGUGUGGUCCCAUGGAAGUCGAGUCACUUGGAAGAAAUAAAUAUUUUGUUACUUAUAUUGAUGAUGCUUCACGAAGGGUGUGGGUGUAUUUGUUGAAAUCCAAAGACCAGGUGUUUCAGACAUUCCAGGAGUUCCAUGCCAUGGUGGAGAGGGAAACUGGGAAACCUCUCAAGUGCCUUCGUAGCGACAACGGCGGCGAGUACACAUCUCACCAGUUUAGAGAGUAUUGUGUAAAACAUGGCAUACGUCAUGAGAAGACAGUUCCUGGAACUCCACAACAUAACGGUGUUGCUGAAAGAAUGAACCGAACCAUCAUGGAGAAAGUCAGGUGUAUGUUGAGGACUGCAAAGUUAUCUAAGCAGUUCUGGGGUGAAGCUGUAAGGACAGCCUGCUAUUUGAUCAACCGAUCUCCAUCAGUACCAUUAGGUCUUGAUGUUCCAGAGAGAGUAUGGACUGGUAAUGAUGUGUCUUACUCUCAUCUGAAGGUGUUUGGUUGCAAAGCUUUUGUGCAUGUGCCCAAAGAGCAGAGAUCGAAGUUAGACUACAAAGCUACACCGUGCAUCUUUCUUGGUUAUGGCGGUGAAGAUUUUGGUUACAGAUUAUGGGACCCAUACCAGAAGAAGUUUAUCCGAAGUAGAGACGUGGUCUUUUAUGAAGAUCAAACAAUUGGGGAUUCGGAUAAAGAGGCACAACCAGAUGGCGCAGUCAGAGGAGUUGAUCCAUUAGCUUCAGAUGAAGAAAGUCACGAUGACAUCCCUGAAGCAACUGCCAAUGAAGUGCCUGCAGAAUCAGAUAAUGCUGAUCAAGAGGAGCCUGAUCAAGAUGUGCCAGACCAUGAGAUUGCUGAUCAGGGGGAGCCUAGUCAAGAAGAGCAGAUUCAAGGAGAAUCCAAUCAGGGGGAGCCUCUAGCCCCGCAAGAGAAUGAAUAUCAGGUCAGAAGAUCCAGCAGAAGUCGAAGACCGUCUACCAAGUAUUCUUCAUCAGAGUAUAUCAUGUUGACUAAUUAUGGAGAGCCCGAAACUUAUGAGGAGGCCAGAGCUCAUAACGACAGUGAUAAAUGGAUGAAGGCAAUGGAGUCAGAGAUGGAUUCCUUAUUAAAGAAUAAUACCUAUGAGCUGGUGGAGCUUCCAAAGGGCAGGAAAGCAUUGAAAAACAAGUGGGUGUUCAAAUUGAAAAGAGACGACAACAUGACAAGGUACAAGGCUCGUUUGGUUGUCAAAGGUUUUGGUCAAAAGAAAGGAGUUGACUUUGAUGAGAUUUUGACUUCCAUUCGAGUUAUCCUUGGUAUGGCAGCAAGCAUGGAUCUUGAGCUCGAGCAGUUAGAUGUUAAAACUGCAUUUCUCCACGGCAAUUUAGAAGAGGAGAUAUAUACAUGGAGCAACCCAAAGGCUUUGAAGUCAAAGGUAAAGAAAAUUUGGUGUGCAAGCUCAAGAAAAGUUUUUAUAUGGUCUUAAGCAGGCUCCGAGACAGUGGAAUAAGAAGUUCAACUCAUUCAUGGUGAGUAAUGGGUACAAGAGAACUCAUGCUGACUCUUGUGUCUAUAUCAAACAAUUUUCUGGAGGUACAUUCAUCAUCUUAUUGCUUUAUGUUGAUGACAUGUUGAUUGUCGGACAAGAUGCUUCUAUGAUUAAAAAGCUCAAAGAAGAGUUAUCUAAGUCCUUUGACAUGAAGGACUUAGGGCCAGCCAAGCAGAUUUUGGGCAUGGAGAUAAUUCGUGACAGAAAAUCCAAGAAGUUGUGGCUGUCACAAGAAAAAUAUGUUGAACGGGUGCUUGAAAGGUUCAACAUGAAAGCAGCCAAAUCGGUAAGCUCACCUUUAGCCAAUCAUAUCAAGUUGAGCAAAGAGUCGUGUCCAAAAACAUAUGAAGAAAAGGAGAAAAUGGCAGUUGUUCCCUACUCUUCAGCAGUAGGAAGUAUCAUGUAUGCAAUGGUGUGCACACGGCCAGAUAUUGCUCAUGCAGUAGGUGUGGUGAGCAGGUUUCUCUCUAAUCCAGGGAAAGACCAUUGGGAAGCUGUUAAGUGGAUUCUCAGAUAUUUGAAGGGGACUUCUAAGAUGUGCUUGUGCUUUGGCGGUUCCAAACCAAUCUUGGAAGGAUUUACAGAUGCUGACAUGGGAGGUGACCUGGAUGGCAGAAAAUCUACGUCUGGGUACUUGUUUACUUUUGCAGGGGGAGCCGUGUCUUGGCAAUCCAAGUUGCAAAAGUGUGUUGCUUUGUCUACAACCGAGGCUGAAUACAUAGCCGCUACAGAAGCAUGCAAGGAGUUGUUGUGGCUGAAGCGGUUUCUCCAAGAGUUGGGUUUUAAGCAAAGUGAUUAUGGCGUUUAUUGUGAUAGUCAGAGUGCUCUGGAUUUGAGCAAGAACACUGCAUACCAUUCACGCACCAAGCACAUUGAUAUUCGUUAUCACUGGAUUAGAGAUGCUAUUGAGAACAAGAUGCUACAGCUGAAGAAGAUUCAUACCGAUAAUAAUUCUUCAGACAUGUUGACAAAGGUGGUCACAAAAUCAAAGUUGGAAUUCUGCAUUAAGGCUGCUGGGAUGGACUCCAGGUAACUUGGAGUCAUGAUCGGAAUUCCUCCCUCAUGGACUGGAGGGGGAGAUUGUUGGUAUAUGGUCCAGCCCAUGAUCAAUGUUCUAGAUUAUUCUAGUAAGCAAGAGAGAUGGCUGGAGCAUGCUAGACAAUUCUAGCAUGUUAUUAAGUUGAUGGAAGAAGCUAGAGAGUACUAGCUUCCUUGGUUGCAAAUGGAAAGAUCUAGAAGCCACACUUUUGUGGCUAGUCUAGAUCUUUCUAUGCUAGAGGUUUGAAGAAUACACUAGAAACUAGUAGAAUGCCAAACCCUCACCUAUAAAUAUGGGUGUGAUGUUGUAGUGAACCAACAAAUCAAGAGAAAGAGUGAGUAGCAAAGGAUCAAGUCCAAAGCUAGAGUUCCACUCCAAGAGUGAGAGUGAGAGUGUUCCACUACACAUUGUGUGAGUGAAGUUUAGAGUGAUAGAAAGUGUGUGUUAUACUUUCUUGUAUCCAUCAAGCCUUGUCUUUGGCUUGGUAAGACUACUCUUGUUGUAUUCAUCUUUUUUCAUAUAGUGAAGAUUCCUUGUUUGGUGGACGUAGGCAUAAAUUGCCGAACCACAUAAAUUCUUGGCGUCCAUUUUCUACUUUACCUUGUGCAUUCUCUAUCUUGUAGUACCGACAUUCCUAACACCUUCCUAUGCCAAAUUUCUCAUGGGUCUUUGUUCACAUAAGCACAAGUUGAAUGGCAAAGAAAAGGUUUUUCUUACCAAGAAGUUGAGUGAUAUCUAUCUAUGGAAAAAUCCAUCAAAGCUUUAGGACCCUGGAAUUCUUACACUAGCUUGUGUCAUUGGGAGUCAUAAAUUCGAAGAAGUAUUGGUUGAUCAUGGAGCAAGCGUGAAUUUAAUGCCAUAUUCAGUUUAUGUGGAAUUGGGUCUUGGGGAACUGAAACGAAGCCCAAUUACAUUGGAAUUUGCCGAUGGAUCUGUAAAGAAGUCAUGUGGUGCUAGUGAAGAUAUGUUGAUGCAAAUUGACAAAUUUUAUUAUCUGAUGGACCUUAUUGUUCUUGAUACAAGGCCUAUGCGUUAUUCAUCUACUGAAAUUCUGAUUAUUCUUGGAUGUCCCUUUCUAGCUACUGCAAAGGCUAAUAUUCAAUGUGACACUGGAGUUUUAACUUUGUGUUUUGGGGAUAUGAAGGCUAAAUUCGACCUGUAUCCUGCUCAUGGCCUUCAAUCUGGUGUUGAUCAUGUUGAAAGUAUUCAUCCUGUAGUUCGUGCGUACAAGAACAACUAGAGCAAAGUAGUGUCUGGCUGAAGACAGUAAACUUAGUGCUAUUGGGAGGCAACCCAAUUUCUUUUUCUUCGUUUUCUUUCUUUAAGUUUUACUUUUUGUUAGUUUUUCCAUUAGAUUGCUUCGCUGCUGCUGCUUAUUUGCUCGUUGAUGUUUGUUCUGUUUGUAGGUCUGGCUCUCUAUUCCAAUUUGACAAAGGAAAUUCGAACAAAGUGGUGUACUGCAGCAUGUUUGCUUGCGAUUUGGAUGAGAUUAAGUUGGUCAUUGUUGUCAUCCCCAAAUUUUUCCACAACAGCAAGCAUGCUCUGAGACCAUAUCAUUCAUGCACCAUUCACAUCCAUUUGAUGAUUUGCUAAAAAGAGCUGCAUUUACAAACAGGGAAUUUCCCUGACUUUUCUCUUUUUCUUUUGUUUUCUUUGUUUUAUACUCUUAUUCCAUAUCGCUUUGUGUCCUAAUUACAUGUUCAAUUCCAUAUUUUUUAACAUUGAGGACAAUGUUGGAUUCAAGUUUGAGGGUAGGAUAUUUUAGUUUGGUGUUUUUAAAAGUUGAAAAGAAAAAAAAAUAACAAAAAAAAAAUUAAAAAAAAACCUAAAAAUAUGUCUUUGUAUGUUUCUUUCUCCUUUCCUUUGAGUCGCUUUCCAAAUUUCCAUGACGAAAUUGAGUUGAUAACUUGUAUAACUUGAAUGAGAAAAGUGUGGUAACAUAUGGGGUUUUAGCUUUAUUCGCUUUAUAACAUGAUUCUAGCAUGAUAUGUUUGAUGCACAAUAACCUUUGGUUGAUAUUAUGUAAAUUUUAUUAAGUUGAGCAUGCUUAACUUGAAUAAAACCCGCAUCCAUGUGAGCUUUUGUGCCUAAAUGUAGUGUGUGCAUUUUUCAUACACUUUUGUUCUUUUCAUGUGUGCAAUCUUAUAUGUUAUGCAUCUCCAGAACUUGCUUUGAGACCUUUUCGAGACUUCGUGUCAUGUAUUGCUUCAACUUGGAGAAGAUAGUAGGCAUUAGGACUUUAACAUCAUUGCCAUAUAUGCCAGUGUCCUAUACGUUACUCCUAGUUAGCCCCCUUGAGCCUUUAAUGGAGCCUUUUCUUUGUGAGCCAAACUCCCUACCAUUCCUAACCCCUAUUUAUAUAUCCUACCCUUAAUUGUUCUGAGAAAAUGAUAGAGUGAUUGUUUCGCUGGAGCUUAAUUUGUUUGCAUAAAAGGGAUGUAUGGACGAAGGUGGUUGAUUAUCAAGGCUAGAAAUUUGCGCUUUAAUGUUAUUCACUAAGAGUUGAAAGCUGGAAGUGGUGUCAUUAAAAAAAAAAAAACAAAAAAAGAGGAAUCAAUGAAGAGGAUGUGAGAUUUUGUCCUGUACUUGCAUAAGGGUAAUGAAAGCAGCUCAAAUGUGUUGGUGAUGUCAAGUGCUUAUUUUCAUAUGAAUAUGGGGUAUGAGAGAACAACAUGUGAUGUUGUCUUUGCUCUGGUGAUUUACAGAAUUUGUAUUGUGCAUGAGAGAAUAUCUUAUACAAAAGAAGGAAAAGUAGACUGAAGAUGCUACGCUUGUUGAUGCUAUUUUUUAGAGUGAUUAGUGUUUUGUGCUUAUGGUAAUAAAAAACACUCUAAUAUUUUCUCAUAAUGUUUGUAUUCCCAAUCCUUUCAUUUGUUUAGCCAUUCACCGUAAGCCUCCAUUACAACCUUCGAUAAAGACCUACUUGAUCCAAGGAGAGUAAUUUUUGAAUUGUGGAGAUCAGAUUGAUCUGCAAGCUUAUGGUAGAGCAUUCAUGUAAUGAUCUUUUGAGUGUAUACACUUAACCUUAAACACCUUGAGUUGAGUGCUAAUUGAGCGUAUAUCUUGUGAGUUUAGGGUUGAAGUUGUGCGAAUUGAGCGUAUACUUGCAUUUGUGUUGUAUCAACUUUUGGCUAUUUUUACUCGAGCAUGUUAUGUCUCUAGAAUGUGUUAUUUUGUGACUAUGGUUUGAGCCUUAUGUGUUGUUAUACUUUAUUAUUAUUGGUAUGCCUGUGUGUAGACUCCCUAAGUUGUUUGGAAAGAUCAAUUUUUUUAAUUGUGUCUUUUUGUUUUGCUGGAGGACUAGCAAAAGAUAAGGUUGGGGGUAUUUGAUAGACACGUAUUUAUUACAAUUGUUACCCUAUUAUAUUUAUAUUUGUUAGUGCCUCAUUCAAACUAUUUUUAUUAAAUUACUUUAAUUUUUGUAAUUUAUAAGGAUUAAGAUGCUUAUUGAUAAAAGUGGAAUUUUACAAGUUUUUGAUACAUCUUAUAUGUUUUAGUCUUCCUAAUUACAUUGGCUUCAUCCAUUUAAUUAAAUGUUAUUUUAUUCUUAUGUUGAAGACCAAUAGGCGGUGGAGAUAUCUUAGGAAAGAACUUCAAAUUGACUGGAAUUCCUAUUUUUAGGAAGACUUGGUCGCAGAUAAAAGCAGAGCGGGUAGCAGCGGAAGAGGGGGAUUUUUCUGCUGGCGUGAAGUAGAGAGGGCAGCAGCGGCAGGGAGGAUUUGAUUUGGUUCUUCUUCUCUAGUUUUAUUUUAUGCAAAAUUUCCUUCUUAGAAUUACUAUGAAUUCUUCGUUCAUGGGGUUCUAAAGGGCUUGGUAGUACAGGUGGAGUUGGGAUUGGGAUGCUCUUUCUUUUUUAUUCUCUCUUGAUGAUCUAAUUUGCUUGCUGUGAAUGUGAUGCUUAGUUCAAACCUGCUAUCCUAUUUGUAAGAAAUUAAGCACAAGCUAGCUCAAGUUAUGGUCUUUAAUUAAUGUUAAGUUCGACAAAUCAGUUUCCCAUCUCUUUCAUUGAUAUGAACACGGCUGAUCUCAUUGCUGUGACGCAAUAUUUGUUAAAUUAGCUGAUCGGUUUGAUUUCUUUGUAUAACUCUUCUGCCAAUUCUGCAACUUGUAGAUGUAAUUCCCAUUACAAAAUAAAAAAAAUAAAAUCCAAAACUCAUAUAAGAUAAAUAAAGACUUUUUAUAUCAUAAAAUAAGACUUUCUAACUUGUACAUGACUAUAGUUACAAAAUCGAACACAUUGAUGGGUGCGCAUUUUCCAUCAACAUCUCUUCUAUGCGUGUAAACUGAGCGUGAAGUCUUUUUUUAGCAAUUAAAAGUUUUGUAUCAUUUGAUUGAUUUGGUUUGAUAAGACCUACAUCUAGAUGACUUGGUUCUGAAGACUAAUGUAAAACUUUAUGUUGAUAUUUCUUGAGGGUGAAACAUUGUUUGAGAAACAUUUUGGGCCUCAUUACAAUUUUUUUCAUUUAUUUUUAAGUUUCGGUUUAAAUAUUCUACAAUAAAUACAUUUGUGGCUUUAAUAACUGGUAAAACCACUUUCAAAUAUCUUGUUAAGUUUUUCUUAACGUCAUGGAAUUUUUUUUUACGAAAAUGAAACAUUUGCAUUUUUCACAAAAAAAAUGUGGUUUGUCAAUUUUGUAAAUUUGUAUAAAAAUCUUCAUUAAGUCCAUUUGUUUUCACAUUCACCUUACCAUGAGGCACUUAGAAUUAAUUUAUAACUUUCCAUCGAUACUUGAGUAUAGACCCUGGUUAAGGCAAAGAGUUGGGCUUCACUACAAUUUUUUUUCAUUUAUUUUUUAGGUUUUGUGUCACAUUUUGGCCUGGGCCCCCACCACAUCCCAAGCACGACUCAACCGUAACACGAUAUUGUCCGCUUUGGGUCCCGACCAUGCCCUCGCGGUUUUGUCUUUGCCGCAGUGUGAUGUUUCUAAGAUUAAUGUAAGAGUUUUUGUUGAUAUUCUUGAGUAUAUACCCCGUUUAGGCAAUGUUGGACCUCACUAUUGUUUUUUUAAUUAUUUUUUGGGUUUGGGUUAAAAUAUUCUAUUAGAAAUACAUUUGUGGCUCAAUAAUUGGUAGAAACACUUUCAGAUGCCCUAUAAUGAUUUUCUUAAUGCUCUUGAAAAAUAGAAAAUUUGCAUUUUUCACACAAAAAACGUGGGCUAACACUCAUUAUUUUUAGGCGAUUUUGCAAAUUCGUAAAAAAAUAUUAUCAAAUCUUAAGCCUUUUAUAAUUCUUGUUCUAAAUGGAUUGUUAGUCGUAUAAGAUUAUAAUUACAUGAUAAACACACUGAUGGGUGUGUAAUUUCCUGCAAUAUCUUCAAAGUGCGAUUAAAAUGAGCGAUUGUCGACUUUCAUAAAAUAGUAUGGCUAUAGGUCUUUUAAUAUUGCAAGCUUUUAUAACUCUUAUACUAAAAAUGUAUACAAGUUUAUAAAUGGAUUAACAGACUAAUAGUUUGGGUAUAAAUGAAGACUAAAUGAGGGACUUGAUUCUCAACUUGCACACUACAUGUCACGCCCCAAACCCGACAUACGUCCAGGAUCGACACAUGACGUCAUCAAAUACCCGUAUCUCAACCUACCCCGCCUCCGAGAUAUGUGCAUAGCAUAAUUCAAGAUCCAAAUCUCAUAGAAAUUUUUGUAUAUUUUAUGGCUGUAUCUAACCUCCUCGUUAGAUUGCCUACGUACCCUCAAUAGGGAUCAAGCCAUUCAUAGUUCAUUAUUCCACUUCAAUCGAACAUUCAACACAUAGACCCCUAGGUCUCAACAUAAUACCACAAUUCAAUCUUGUAGCACCUCAAGGAACAUUUAACAAAGUACAAUAAUAAUUUUUAGUCAUCUCGUCAUUCAUCCACUCAUAAGCGUUCAAACACCAUCCAAUUAUCACAUCAAUCAAUUGAACUUGACAAGCAUAAAAUUCCUAGACUCAAGGUAACAUAACAAACCCACAUGAAAAAAAUCAAGAUUUCCCUUCCAUCCUUCAUAUAAAUCACUAUGACUCAACAUGAUAUCUCAAUUCACAACAUACAUCAUAUUUCAGAACCGACAACGCACAAAACCAUCUUCUAGCCACAUUAAUUAACUAAUAUGGUCAAAAUAAUAACAAUCAUUCUCAUAUCUUCUAAAUUCAUAAACUAUGAAAUUAUAAUUGAAUCGUAGAAAAUCUCGAAGGAAUCCCACGGACGUACAACCGCUUUUAUACUUCAAUUCAUAAUAUUCUCAAACCCAUUAUUCACAAUAUGCUCAAACGAAGGCUAAAGUGACACAGUUAAAUCAAACUUCUCCGAAGAAAGGGAUUUUGGACCAUCACUCAACGGAAUCCGAGUGGAUACGAUUCCGGAUCAUCACUCAACGGAAUCGUGUAGUACAAUGUAUAACAACAACUAAAUGAAACCCAAAUCAGAUACAAUUCCGGAACAUCACUCAACGAAAUCACGGAGUAUAAAGGAUUCCAGACCAUCACUCAACGGAAUCCGAGUGGAUACGAUUCCGGACCAUCACUCAACAGAAUCGCAGAAGGCCAGCAACCAUAUAUACAAUGGCUCAAAGAAAUGAGACAAGUACAAGUUACUUAAUUUACAAAAGCUCAACCAAGGAAAUAAGGCACAAAUACUAAAUUUAGAACGAAUCAACGAAGCAGAAGAUGAAAUCAUAACGAAGCAACAAAUCCCCAUCACCACGGGUUAACAAUCUACCAUUAGUUCUCACAUUUCAUCACAACAUGCCAAUCAAAUCAAUCAAACCAUAUUUCAAUAUACGCAUGUCAAAUCUCAUUUCAUAAACUUAAAUCAAUGGCUAAGCAUUAAAAAUAACAAUUCAAUGGAAAACAUAUUUAUAAAACCAAGUCAUAUCGACAUAGGAUAACAAUUACGAAAAUAGGGUAAUCACCAAUAUCACAUAUUUUAAAGUCACUCAUAUUUCUAUACAUCACACUAAUCCCUAUGAAUUACAACGUAGUCUCCUACACCAUCAACUUCUCAUGGCCACCAACUAAUAUAUCACACAAGCAUAUAAGUUCUACAGAAUAUUUCAAAUAGGAUUCUAAGAUCGCAUAGCCAUAAAUUUAUCAUACUUAACCUUCACAUUACUAGAAAUAAUUAAACAUCCAUAUAUCACCAUUAUCAUCAAUACACAAGCCAAAUCAUGUUAAUAAACAUAAGUCUAUGGCUAAAUAUAUGAAAAAUCACAUUACAAUAGAAAUCAUAUUUAUAAGUCCAAAGCACGUUUACAAAUGAUAUUAAUAUAAGAAAUUAAGGUAAUAACCAUAUCACAAUAUUCAAGUCACUCUCCAACCAAUAUAGGUCCACUAGACUUCACUUAAGUCUCCCGUAGUACUAAUUUUAUUAUUGGGAACGUUUCGAGACAUGUUGACCAAAAGUCAACUCUCGGUCAAAGGUAGGGUCCACAAUUCUACACAAUUCAGUCUAGAAGAUCCACUCAUUGGAUUUCGGAUCCGUAACUUCCCAAAGCCCACAUUAUGCUCAUACUAAAUUCCCAUCGCGAUCCGGUGGUCAGAUCUUCAAACAAUUACUAGAAUUAAGUGGCGGUCAACAAUUUAUUUUACCAACAUAGAAAUCCAAUUAGGGAAGAUCUAUACGUCGAAUUCCCGAUCCGCAAGUUUCUAUGAUGCACAAAUAUUAUGUUCUAUCACGAAGUAAGGUUUGGUGACGAUCCAACGGUUAGAUCAUUCAUUCAUAAUUAGACCAAGUAAGGUAUCGUAAUGAAACUAAGUCCAAACAAUCAAAUUACGUCAUACGGAUAUCAAUUAUGAAGUCAAGGCAUUUAUUUUAACUUAAAAGGACAUCUUCAACCCACUUGCCAGGCUGCCGCCACACCUGCCGCCCCGACUUACCAGAAAAAUUCAACUAUUUUUAAAAAUUAUCAAAAUUUACAGGCAGGUAUAUCUCAGUGAGGGGAGCAACUUUCAUACCUGUGACUAAGGCCAAUUUGGCCAGGAAGAGAUCCAAUUCCAUUAAAACCCGUCGGAAACCCUAUAAAGGGUGUUCUUCUAAUCACCACCAAAUCGAACCCCAACGUCUCAACAAUUGACUGGGCAUGGUUCUUGGGUUCAAGGGAAGUAUUUUGGUGAUAAAAAUUGCACCAAAUCGUUUCAGGAAUAGUGGAUUCACCGUAGUGGUGCCUUCGGCUCAACAUGAACUUUCAUCGUGAAAUCACGACCAAUGACCACCAAACUUAGGUGGGAAUGGAAGCUGGGAUGACAUCAUGUUGAUGUCAAGUGAAAACUGGGCAAAAAUCGCCUGAAAAAUGGUGGAACUUGGCCAGAAAUCCCUCCAGGUCGAAACUGGGUACACAGGUCACGGGGGAUGGGUGCCCUGCACCUCUCUCCUUUCUUUCUUUUCUUUGCUUUUUCAUUGGUCACCCUCACCUCUCUCCUCUUCUGAUUCGUCUCCUCCCUCCUUGUUCCUCAUGUUCCUCCUUCUUCCCCCUCUCCCCCUCUUUUCUCCUGUCUCUCCCGCAACUCCCCCUUCUUUUUUUCCCUCCUUUUCUUUUUCCUGAUUGGUUUCCUUUUUUUUUUUUGAAGUAACUUCUAAAACUUCCGUGAAGUUCCUUUCUCGAUCCGAUUCACGUAUGGCCUUCGCUUAAGCGCUUGUGAGGUCAAGCCCCAUUAAAAACAUUAAGAGUGACCCUCGAAGUUCUACGGAUAUAACAAUUAUUUUCCAAAAUUCAAACUUUGUAAUUAGGUAAUUAAAAUCUAGAAUUAAUUUAAAUUCAUGAAAAUACUAUAAAUCCCGCCCAUACGAAAUACGUAGAUUACAAUAGUGAAAUUCAGGAACGGUAUUUCACACUACAUAGGUGUGAAGUCUUUUGGUAUAAUUAUAGACUUAAUGUCUCGUUCAUUAAAGUAUUGGUCUGUAAAAGAACUGGAUUUAGAGAACAAAAGUGCAAUUAAAUGAGAAAUAUAUUAUUCUUUCACAAAGCACAUGACUUAAUGUCUCGUUCAUUAAGGUAUUGUGCCUAACUAAUAUGUUUUCAGUUAAUUUUUAGGUUUCAGCUUAAAUAAUCUAGAGUGAUGAUAGACCCACCCCAUUAUUCUAUUUUUACCCAUCAUAAAAAUUAAAAAAAUUAAAAUAUUAUUUCUCCACCCACCAUUAUUCCUAAAAUAACUAAUUUCUAAUUUUUUAAACAAUAAUAUUAAUAUUUAAAAAUAAAAAAAUAAAAAAAAAACUUCAUGCUUCCUUAAUUGCCACCACCCUAAACACACCAGAACCUCCUCCCACCCCCAUCAAAAAGAAAAACCUUUGACACUUGCUUGGCGGCAUCUCCUUUGGAAAGAGAGAGAAACUAAAGGGAAAGGAAGAGAGAAACACAGGGGGAGUUUUCCAAUACAGAGGUAGAUUGCUCCAAAGCGAUUUAUUCCAACUAGAAUUGGGUAUUCUUUGAUUUUAAAAUCUGGGUUCUCGUCGUUGUUCAUUUAUGAGGAAAAGGAGGAGAUGAUGGAGGUGUGGUAGUACCAUAAUUGAAAGGGAGAGUGGGGUGCUAUUUGUUGCUAGGGAGGGUAAUGGAUGAUUGGGGAUUUGAUAGUCGUCAGUCCAUCGUGGAUGAUUUGGGAGGAUGAUGGAUUUAUUUUUACUUUUUUUAGUUUUAGGUUUUCUUUAUUCUCUUUUAGUUUAUUUAAUUAAAGUUAUAACAAAUUUAUAAAUGUGGAUCUAAAAGUCUUUUGCUAAAAGGAUAAUUGUGUGAUUAAAAUUUUGAUUAAAAGGUGGGUUGGAAAAUAACACAAGGGGGUGGUUUUAGUAGCACUCAUAAUCUAUUAGAAAUGCAUUUGUGGCUCUGUAAUUGGUAGAGUAACUUUCAAAUGCCUUAUAAAUAUUUAAUUAAUGUUCAGUAAAAUAUUUUUUGAAAAUAAUGAAUUGCAUUUUAGACAUAUAUAUAUAUAUAUAUAUGUCACGAUUUUUAGAUGGUUUUGAAAAUUUGUAAAAAAAAUAUCAUUUUUUUAAUACAUCGAUGUUUUUACACUAAGGGGAGGAGGAGUUCAGCUAUGCCACACAAAGGGCAGCCUAAUUUGGUAUCAAAUUCCCCAUCCACGAGAUUCAAACCUAAGACCUCUCACUUCCAAGUCGAGAGGAAUACCACCAAACCGUAGUACUGAGUGGCAAAAAAUCAUCAUUAAAUCUACUUGUUUUCACCUUCACCUUUCCCUGAUGUUUUAAAACUAAUGUAAGGCUUUACAUUAAUAUUCUUGAGUACAAGCCCCAAUUUAUGCAAUGUUUUGGGCUUUACUUGACACGUCCCAACCCCGAUAUCCCCACAUACCAAGGUAGGCAUGUGUUGGCCGACAUCCGAGGGUGACGAAGCCAUUUUAAACAUGCAUGCAAAAAAAAGAAUAUGCAAUUAGAAUGAAAAAUGCCAUUGCAAGAACGUGUUCAGAGCAUACAACUACUAAGAAUAAUAUGGAAGAAUUACUAAGAAAAGAUAUGAACAAGGAAAUGAUACCAAUACUGAGAAGACUUGCGGAUACCUAUGCCAAAAUGCCCUAACGCCGGGAUCAUGUGCCUCGAUCCUAAAUAAUAAUACUAAUAGUAGGAAAAAAAUUUAUUUUUGAAUAUAAUAACCCCCUGUUUUGAAAACACAUAUAUAAUACUACGUAGUAGGUUUUAUAAAAUCCCUAGCAUGCCAUGUAAAACAUUCGUAAAACAUGUAUGUAAAACCAAUGCUGUGAAAUGGUAAUAACACCCGAAGGCAAAUUCGUAAAUCUCAUUAGUGAGGUACUCAACUAGGGAUAUCAUACUCGCCCGAAGGCAAUACUUGUCCAUCACCCAAAGGUGAAGCUAAAUAACCUGUCCAUCACCUGAAGGUGAAGUUGUACAACCUGUCUAUCACCCGAAGGUGAAGUUGCAUAAAAUAGCAAACAUCCACACUGACACUAGCCGUGGCUAGUGAAGUUGUUCAACACUGCUUUCAGCAGUGAAGCUAGGGGUAUAUAAUAUAUCAUAUCUCACUCCUUCAUCCUCUGUGUCCUAUGGCCAUAGACAUCUAUACUCGUGCUGUGCGAAUGUGUCGUAUAAUAACCACUAGGUAAAUCUUGGUGUGCCAAAAACAUAUCUCCAAAACUCGUAUCAAAAUUCGAAGCUUGCUAGGUCAAACCUUAUCUUAUAAAUCCAAGAUAAAUCGUACUCAUGAAAUCCAUAAAAUAAUUCAUGCUCGUAAAACCGUAAUAUAAAUCAUGUUCGAAAAUCAUAGAAAUCCAUAUAUGCAAAUCCAAUAAUUCAAUACCUUUAAUCAAACGUAAUUUCGAUAAAUCAACUAUUUCGUAAACCAUAAUUAUAAAAGUCUAUAAAGCAUAUUAUAAAUCAUAUUCAAAUCAUGAAAUAUGGAAUGCAUGCUAGGCUAAUAUUUUAUAAAAACAAGUAAGUUAAGAAGGGGUCCACUCACUGAUUUUAUUGCCCAAGAACCGCUUGAACUAGCAAGGAUGACGUCGCUUCCCGCCAACAAGCCUAAACACAAUUAGGGACCAAUUAGUAAAACUAUACUAAAACGUUAGAAUUUAAAAUGGACGGCGAAUUUGGAUCCGGCACGUUGAAAAACCUAAGGAGGGACCUCUGGUUUUCCCCACACAUCGCCGUACGAGCGGCCAUGAGGCGCCGGCCCGGAAGGCCACGCACCGCCGCAUGAGCCAUCACACAUGGCAGUUGGCCGCCUUGACUCGCCGAAAAAUUCAACAAUUCUAAAAAUUUCCAAAUUUUAUACCUGAGUCGAGGUCCAAUUCGACCAGGAAACACCUCAAAUCGCCCUCGAUCCCGCCGGAACCCUAGAAAUGGAUGCUUUCCAAUUUGUCCUGAAAUCAAACCCGACACCCCCAAACUUGUUUAGGCUUUGUGCCUGGGUUCAAGGUGAGUGGUUUGAUGGUGGUGGUGGCGAGGUUUGUGUAACCAGAAAACUAGUGGAAACACGUCAGAAAGGUCACGCUACGGGUCGGGUCGGCGGGAAUGAACCGACUGAGGGGUGAUCCGGUGCUCCUCCACUCUCUCAUUUCCCCUCCUUUCUCUCCUCUCUGAUUGGUCACUCUCUCUCUCUCUCGUUUUCUCUUCUUUCUCAUUGGGCAUCUACCCUCAUUUCUCUCAUUUCUCUUUUCUCUCCUCCGUGAAUCUCUCUCUUUCAUAUUCUUUCUUUUCCAUCACAACCACACACAUGGCACAGAUUGAUGGCUCCAACAAAAUCUGGAGCCUUCCAAAUUUAUGGUCAAUUGACCAUUUUGCCCUCGACUUGGUUCGUUAAUAACUCCUUCGUUAUAACUUCAAUUUACGUUCCGUUUGCGCCCAUGUGUUCGUAGCGAUGAGUACUACGAGCAUAAGCCAAGAAAAUAGAUCUUACAUGACACGAAAAAGCGGUCAACAAAAGUCAACGUAUUUGCCUUGAAGGGUAUUUUCGUAAUUUCACAUUUUAAAAUACUUCAUUACGAUCAGGUUUGCACCAAAUAUUCCGUUAGCUAAAAAUACUUCAUAUCAUUUCCUAUAGUCUAUUUCCAAGUCUUCCUAACUUUUCCUCAACCCCUUUUGACCUGAGUCUCCCUUUCACAGUCGUCUCUUCUACCAUAGCAUUUUUAGAUAUUCGGUUCAUGUACCCAAACCACCUUAACCUAUUUUCUUUUAUCUUAUCUUCAAUGGAGACCACUCUUACUUUACCUCGGAUGUCCUCGUUGUUAAUCCAAUCGCUUUGACACCCAGACCCCAAUAACACAAGUUACGAGGCCGAGAUAUCAUGGCCGUCACUAAAUUGACCAUAUGGCCCCAUUCAGGGAUGACUUGACAAGCCAACUUAAUAACGAAGUCAUAGUAAGAUAAUUACGAUGUGAGUGAAUUUGAAUCAAAACAUUCAUAAAUAAUAAAUCAAAAGUUGCUACAAAGUUUUGUAAUCAUCCUCCCUACUUAGGAACAUAUAUUUAGGGUUUAGAUCCCAUUAUUAUCACAACACAUCAGAGCAGCUAGAAGUUUCAUACAACAGUAAACACAUAAAAGUGUAGUGCUAUGCAUAAUCAAGAGUGUGAUCAUGCAAAUAUUACUGACAAAAUAAAUAUGCAGUAGAGGAAUCAUCACCCAAAAUCCAAGGGAUGAAACCUCAUUGCCAAGCCCACUUGCCACCAUCGAAGUUCUCCUGAUUCUCGCUAUGUCCUGAGGGGUUGAUAAACAAAGUAUGAGUGGAUCAAGUUUUAUCUCAUCAAAAAUCAAUCAAAGAGAUGGGCCCACAUUCAACAAUAUCGAUAUAGCCCCAACUUGGUAAUUACUACCCACACAGUCUGUCAGGUGUGAGGUUUUAUCACAAAGGGUCUCGGUGUUAGAUGGAGUGGGGAUAUGAUAUUUAAACUUUUCUGUACUUAUAGAUAUAGCUGAUGUGGGAUAUUUCAAUACCUAUAUAUACAUAUACAUAUAUAUAUAUAUAUAUAUAUAUAUAUAUAUAUAUAUAUAUAUAUAUAUAUAUAUAUAUAUAUUAAAAACUACAUAUAUAAUAAUAGUACCAUAAUAGUGGUCACAAUCAAUUCAUCUCGCACAUCAUAUCAUGGAAAGUAAGUCAUUCAUAAAAUCAAAGUAAUAGAAUAUGACUUUAUCAAUAUCGUAGAUGGUUCGUAUAAUCAUGUAUACGCACGUCGGUGCAACUUCGAUUCCAAUUAUCUAUCUCUUUUAACAACUAAAUAUAUUUAUUUCAUAAAUGCUAUAAUUUGUAUAUAUAAAAAAAUGAUUUGAUCAUAUUAAUUCUGCACAGUCCCCUCAAGUUGGACAGUAAAUGCCAUAAAUCAGGCUUUUUAGUCAAAAUGGAGGAAUUUUAACUAAAAAAUUAUUAUUCCUAAUUUCCUAAAGCCCUUGGGAAGAUAUCUGCCAAUUGUACCCGAGAAGAAAUGCAGGAAGGAGAAAUUUAUAAAGACAAGGGAUACCUGCUCUUCGCUGCAAAAAAACGACACUUAAAAGGACAAUUUUCCCGAGUUUUUCACCGCCGUUUUUACCGUUUAAAAGGUCGUACCCAAUGCACAAGGCUCCAGCUUUACGCAGGGUCUGGGAGAGGUGAAUGUCGGCUAGCCUUACCCCUAUUUAUGGAGAGGCUGCUCCCAAGUAUCGAACCCGAGACCUACCGCUCAUGGCCGUUUUUACCGUUUGUUGCGAAAAAAAAAACUCUCCCCUUGCGAGCUCCGUUGUCAAUUCCCCUCGCGAACUUUGAGUCCCUCUGAAAAAAUGAUUAACUGAAAUUUGAAUAUUUCAAACUUUGUGUUUGGUUAUAUCUAACGAUCCCUAAUUCCAAAUUUAUGGUUUAGAUAUAUAAAAAAGAUAUCUCAGGUACUUCGUUGCUAUCCAUUAAGCUCCCCAAUUUCAAGUAAAGCAAAAAAUUCUAAUUGAGUUGAGUUUUGAACAUGCAGAUUAGUUAGACAACUGAAUUACCAAUCUUUAUUAUUAUUGCAACAAACACACAGAUUACACUAAAAGCUAGUGAAUCAUACACUUGCAGAUGACUUAUCCAAACACAAAGAUAAGACAUGAGUUUAUUAUUAUUGCUAUAAACACACAGAUUACAGUGAAAUUCAAAAACUAAAAACAAGGAAAAAAGUAGUGAUGAAAACCAAUGCCACUUUCGCGGGGAACACGAUUGCAUUCGCACAUGCAACAAGCCUUUUAAACCCAUAGGUGACCCAAAUGGGACGAGUGAAGUCUCGUGAGGGUUUCCAGAGACGUUACCCACAAACAUCAUGCAUACUGAUCAUCAACAUCUGACUUGGGAGACUGAGUAGAUAUCCACCCCUCCAGCAUCAGGUGUUUUUUGGUUGAGGCGUAAUUCGAAUCUGUUUUCAAUGAACGGCCUGGUUAAGAGGUCGCUUUGUAAGUGACGUAAUCGGCAGCGCGUGAUUAGGUUGUUGCUGUCAGGUGGUCCGACAUGCUCGACCUUGAAUAAUGUGCAAGCCCAAUUGUCUUUGGUUUCGUUUCGGUCAGCAGCUGCGGCAAGGACCAAUAGCCUGUUUUGGUCCACCCUUCUCAAGUAGUUGCCGUUGUAGGAGCAUUUGAUAUGCACGUAAUUCUUGUCGGCGUAGUCCUCAUUGUUUGGCUUCUCGGUGGUGAACUUUAUGAACCUGCUAUUUUCAUUGUCCUCAGAAAACUGGACAAUCUCAUGAAGGUCACUUUCUGAAUCAAGUUGAUAGCGCAAAUACUUGUUGUUGAUAUCUGCUUUCAGCAGAAAAGGGCUUGGUAGUACUGGUGGAGCCAUAUCGUAUAGUGUAGUUGGGAUUGGGAUGGCCUCUCUUUUUUGUUCUCUGUUGAUGAUCUAAUUUGCUUGCUGUGAAUGUGAUGCUUAGUUCAAACCUGCUAUCCUAUUUAUAAGAAAAUAAGAACAAGCUAGCUCAAGUUAUGGUCUUUUAUUAAUAUUAAUUACGACAAAUCAGUUUCCCAUCUCUUUCAUUGAUAUGAACAUGGCUGAUCUCAUUGGUAUGGCGCAAUAUUAUUUGUUAAAUUUGCUGUGCGGGUUGAUUUCUUUGUGUAACUCUUCUGCCAAUUCUGCAACUUGUAGACGUAAUUCCCAUUACAAAAUAAAAAAUAAAAAAUAAAUCCAGAACUCAUGUAAGAUAAAUAAAGACUUCUUAUAUCAUAAAAUAAGACUUUCUAACUUGUUUACAAGACUAUAGUGACAAGAUCAAACACAUUGAUGGGUGAGCAUUUUCCUUCAACAUCUGUUCUGUGCGUUUAAAUUGAGCGUGGAGUCUUUUUAGCAAUUAAAAGUUUUGUAUCAUGUAAUUGACUUGGUUUGAUAAGACCUACAUCUAGAUGACUUGGUUCUGAAGACUAAUGUAAAACCUUAUGUUGAUAUUUUUUGAGGGUGAAACAUCAUUUGAGAAACGUUUUGGGCCUCAUUACAAUUUUUUUCAUUUAUUUUUUAAGUUUCGGCUUAAAUAUUCUACAAAAUACAUUUUUGGAUUUAAUAACAGGUAAAACCACUUUCAAAUAUCUUGUUAAGUUUUUCUUAACGUCACAGAAUUUUUUUUACGAAAUUGAAACAUUUGCAUUUUUCACAAAAAAUGUGUUUUCUCAGUUUUGUAAAUUUGUAUAAAAAUCUUCAUUAAGUCCAUUUCUUUUCACAUUCACCUUACCAUGAGGCACUUAAAAUUAAUUUAUAACUUUCCAUCGAUACUUGAGUAUAGACCCUUGUUAAGGCAAAGAAUUGGACUUCACUACAAUUUUUUUAUUUUUUAUUUUUUUUAGGUUUUGGCUGAAAUAUUCUAUUAAAACUAAAUUUGUGGCUCAAUAAUUGGUCAAACUCCUUCCAAACGCUUUAUAACUUUAUAAAUAUAUUGACCUAAUGCUAACGAAAAAUAUUUUGUGAAGAUUAAGGAUUGGGAUUUCUCACAAAAAAUGUGGUUGCUCACUAUUUUUCCUUAGUUUUGCAAAUUUGUGCACAAAUCAUCAGUCAAUCUAUUAGUUUUCAUCUUUGCCUCAGUGUGAUGUUUCUAAAAUUAAUGUAAGAGUUUUUGUUCAUAGUCUUGAGUAUAUACCCCGUUUAGGCAAUGUUGGAUCGCACCACUGUUUUUUUUAUAUUAUUUUUUGGGUUUGGAUUAACGUAUUCUAUUAGAAAUACAUUUAUGGCUCAAUAAUUUGUAGACCACUUUCAGAUGCCCUAUAAAGAUUUUCUUAAUGCUCUUGAAAAAUAGAAAAUUUGUAUUUUUCACACACAAAAACAUGGGCUAACACUAACGAUUUUUAGGUGAUUUUGCAAAUUCGUACAAAAAUAUUAUCAAAUCUUAAGCCUUUAUAAUUCUUGUUCUAAAUGGACUGUCUGUCAAUCGUACAAGAUUAUAAUCACAUGAUAAACACACUGAUGGGUGUGUAAUUUCCUACAAUAUCUUCAAAGUGCGAUUAAAAUGAGCGAUUGUCGACUUUCAUAAAGUAGUAUGGGUAUCGGUCUUUUGUUAUUGCAAACUUUUAUAACUCUUGUACUAACAAUUUGUACAAGUAUAAAUGGAUUAACAGACUAACAGUUUGGAUAUAAAUGAAGACUAAAUGAGGGACUUGAUUCUCAACUUGCACAGUACACAGGUAUGAAGUCUUUUGUUAUAAUUAUAGACUUAAUGUCUAGUUCAUUAAGGUAUUGGUCUCUAAAAGAACUGGAUUUAGAGAACGAAAGUGCAAUCAAAUGAGAAAUAUAUUAGUCUUUCAAAAACACAUGGCUGCAGAUGUGUAGUCGUCUUUUAUUUAUUUAUUUAUUUGAACAAACAAUUGUAUCUACACUAAGGGAUAGAAGAGUGGGCUAAACCUUAGAAUGGGCUUACAACAAUAAUGUGGUUCAACUUCACCUUUGACGAUAAUUGAAUCUAAAACCAUUCACUUAGAAAUAAAGAGGUAUACCACCACACCGUAGUAUUAAGUAACAUGACAGCAUACAGCUAUAGGUGUGGAGUCUUUGUUAGCAUUAAAAGUUUUGUAACAAGUAAUUGACUUGGUGUCAUAAGGCCUACAUCUAGAUGACUCGGUUUUAAAAACUAAUGUAAGAGUUUCUGUUGAUAUUUCUUGAGGGUGAAACACCGUUUGAGAAACGUUUUGGGCCUCAUUACAUUUUUUCACUUAUUUUUUAGGUUUCGGCUUAAAUAUUCUACUAUAAAUACAUAUGUGGCUCAACUAUUGGUAAACCCACUUCCAAAUGUCUUGUAAAGAUUUUCUUAAUGUCACGAUAAAUAUUUUACGAGAGUUAACACUCAUUGUAUUUUAUUGGUUUUGCAAAUUCUUAUGAAAAUCAUCAUUUAGUCCAUUUGUUUUCACAUUCGCCUUACUGUGAGGUACUUAAAAUUAAUGAAUAACUUUCCCACAUUAAGGCAAGGAUUUGGGCCUCACUACAAUAUUUUUUUUUUUUCAUUUAGAAUUUUUAGGUUUCGAGUUAAAUAUACCAUUAAAACUAAAUCUGUGGCUCAAUAAAUUGUAGAAACUUGUCCAAAUGCAUUACAAAUAUAAAACUUUCGAAAUGCAUUACAAAUAUUCUCUUAAUGCUAACAGAAAAUAUUUUGGGAAGAUAAAAGAUCUGCAUUUCUCAAUAAAAUGUGGUUGCUCACUGUUUUUAGUCGGUUUUGCAAAUUCAUAUAAAAUCUUUAUUAAAUCUAUUUGCUUUCACCUUCGCCUCACAAUGAUGUUUCUAAAAUUAAUGUAAGACUUUUUUAUGAUACUCUUGAAUAUAGACCCCGUUUAGGCAAUGUUCGGCCUCACUGCUAUUUUUUUACUUAUUUUUUGGGUUUUGGUUUAAAUAUUCUAUUAUAAAUACAUUUGUGACUCAAAAAUUAGUAGAACCACUUUGAGAUGCCCUAUAAAGAUUUUCUUAAUUCGCACAAAAAAAAUAGAAAAUUUGCAAACAUAAAAGACGUUGGUCAUGAUUUUAGGCGAUUUUGCAAAUUCGUACAAGAAUCAUUAUUAAAUAUAUUUUUUUCAACCUUAUCCUCACCAGAAGGCUUUAAAAUUACUGUAAUAAUUUCGGUUAAUAUUUCUUGAGAUGAAACCCCAUUUUAGCAAUGUUUUAUGCCCAACUAAUAUGUUUUCAGUUAAUUUUAGGUUUCAACUUAAAUAAUCUAUUAGAAAUGCAUUUGUGGCUCUAUAAUUGGUAGAACAACUUUAAAAUGUCUUAUAAAUAUUUAAUUAAUGUUCAGUAAAAUAUUUUGGGAAAAUAUAAAAUUGCAUUUUAGACAAAAAAAAAAAAGCCACGAUUUUUAUACGGUUUUGAAAAUUUGAACAUUGAUAUUUUUACAUUAAGGGGAGGGUGAGUUUGGCUAAGCCACACAAAUGGCAACCUAAUUUGGUAUCAAAUUCGCCAUCCACGAGAUUCAAACCUAAGACCUCCUAUUUCCAAGUGGAGAGGAAUACCACCAGAUCGUAGUACUGAGUGGCAAAAAAUCAUCAAUAAAUCUACUUGUUUCACCUUCACCUUUCCUUGAUGUUUUAAAACUAAUGUAAGGCUUUACGUUAAUAUUCUUGAGUUCAAGGCCGAAUUUAUGCAAUGUUUUGGGCCUUACUACAACAGCAACACACAACAACAACCAAGCCUUGUGCCAUUAAGUGGGGUCUACUGUACACCACAAUGAUCGUGUUUGCACCAAAUCUUUCGCUAGCUAGAAAUACUGCAUAUAAUUUGCUAGUCUGUUUCCAAGUCUUCCUAACUUUUCCUCCACCCCUUUUGCCUUGAGCCUCUAUCUCAUAGUCGCCUAUUCUACCAUAGCAUUUGUAGAUAUUUGGUUCAUGUACCCAAACCAUCUCAACCAAUUUUCUUUCAUCUUAUCUUCAAUGGAGACCCCUCCCACUUUACCUGUCAUGCUCCGAUCCCGACAUUCUUCCAGGAUUGACAUGUGACGUCACCCAUAACAUGUAUAUAUAACAUACCCCGCCUCCCAGAUAUGUACAAGGCACAACUCAUAGUCCAACUGCGUAGUAGUUUUUCGUACACUUUAUGGCUGCAUCUAACCUCCUCGUUAGACUGCCUACGUACCUUAAACAGGGAUCAAGCCAUUCAUAGUUCGUCUUUCACUACACUCAAACAAUCAUCACGAGGAACAUUCGACAAAGCACAAUAAUAUUCUCUAGUCAUCUUGCCAUUCAUAUACACAUAUGCUUCCAAACACCAUUCAAUAAUCACAACAAUCAACAACACAUACAAUAAAUAGAAAUGCAGGGUUAGAGCCACAUAGUUUGGCCGAGGCCUACAUCUCUGAAGCUGAAAUCAAAUCCAGGUAACAAACAAGUCAAAUGAUGCAAUUUCGGACCACUCAACGAAAUCCAUUAACAUCGGGUUCAGAACCACUCUGCGAAAUCGCAGAGUAUAAGGGAUUCUGAACCUCUCAACGACAUAAUAGUGGAUACGAUCCUGAACCAUCAUUUAAUGGAAUCGUGGAUUAGAAGGGAUUUCAGACCAUCACUUAAUGGAAUUGAAAUGGAUAUGAUUCCGAACCAUCAUACAAUGGAAUUACGGAUUAGAAGGGAUUCCGAACCAUCACUCAACGGAAUCCAAGUGGAUACGAUUCCAGACCAUCACUCAAAGGAAUCAUGGGUUAGAAGGGAUUCUGGACCAUCACUCAAUGGAACCCCAGCGGAAACCCAGUUCCGGAUUACUCAAUGGAACUGAGCGGAAGUCCAAGGAAUAUAGCAAUGGCUUGAAGAAACAAUACAAGAACCAAUUACUCAAUUUGGAAGGGCUGAACAAAACAAAAGUGAAAUAAGGAAACAAGAUGGGAAACAAGUUCGGUGUCGAUCCAACGGUCAAAUCGUCAAUUCAUAUAAUAACCAAGUGGCGGCCGACUAGGCGGUCAACUAUGACACUAUAUUAAAAUAUCAAGAUUUCACUAAUGGAUGUCAUAUACGGAAUCAGGGUAUCAAAUUUAGCCUAGGAUGGUCAGGUGGGGUCUCGGCCCACACGCCGAUGCACGUGGUGGCCAGCCGCGCCCGACCCGCCGAAAAAUUCAACUAUUUCAAAAAAAAAUACUAAAUAUUAUAGGCAUGUAGAUCUCAAUGAGGGAAGUAAUUUUCAUAACUGAGCUAAAGUCCAAUUCCGAUGGAAAGUGCUCGGAAUUUCCCUCGAUCCACCGAAACACUAGAAUUUGGGUGUCCUCGAUUCGACCUCCAUAGUAGCUUCGAUGCCUCCUCCACUGCUUAGGAUUUGUUCCUAAGGUUGUGGGGAGCCUUAUGGUGGUGGUGCUUGACGAAGUUACCUUCGGAUAGGAUAGAUCGCCACCACGAACCUUGUCGCACCCAUUGUGCGGGUUUAACAAUUUUAAGGUCAAAUUCCAUUUAUUUUGGGGUGGAAUGGAUAGAGGGGAGGCCAUGGAGUGUUUCCCCAGGAGGUUGUUUGACCUGGUUCGCCCAAAAAACUGAUGAAAAGCCGUUAGAAAUGGCUACCUGAACUGGGUUGGGUCACGCAGGAAAAUGGGUCAAAGAGGGGAUCUGAUUCCCCCAUUCUUUCCUCCCUCCUUUCCCCUUCUUGCUCUCUUCCCCCAUUGGUCACUCCCCCUCCUUUUCUUUCCUGCAACCUCAACUUCCUCUCUCUUGCUGUCAUCUGGCAGCUUCUAAUUUUUUUAUUUUUUUCAGAAACUUCUAACGUUUCCUUUCUCGUCCCGAUUCACGAACAGCCUUCACCUAUGCGCUCGUGGGGUCGAGCUCAAUUAGAAAACAUUAAGCGUGACCUCCAAAGGUCUACAGAUUUUAAAUGAUUAUUUUCAAAAAUUCAAACUUUGUAAUUAAUAAUUAAAAUAUAAAAUUAAUUUAAAUUCACGAAAAUACUAUAAAAUCCUGCGAAUACAAAAUACGUAAAUUACAAUAGUGAAAUCUAAUAGCGGAAUUUCACAUUACCUUGGAUGUCCUCGUUGUUAAUCCAAUCAUUUUGACACCCCGACCCCAAUAACACAAGUUACGAGGUCGAGAUAUCUUGGCCGUCACUAAAUUGACCAUAUGGCCCCAUUGAGGGAUGACUUCACAAGCCAAAUUAAUAACGAAGCCAUAGUAAGAUGAGUGCGAGUAAGAUGAGUGCGAUAUUAGUGAAUUUGAAUUCAACACAUUCAUUAAUAAUAAAUCGAGGUUGCUGCAAAAUUUCCUAAUCAAUCUCCCUACUUGGGAAAUAUAUUCAGGGUUUAGAUCCCAUUAUUAUCACAUCAUCAGAGCUGUCACGCCCCGAUCCCGACAUACGUCCAAGAUCAAUACGUGACGUCCCUAAAUGCCCGUAACUCAACAUACCCCGCCUUUUGGAUAUGUACAAAUUAUAAUUCAAGAUCCAGAUGCAUAAUAAUUUUACGUAUACUUUAUGGCUGCAUCUAACAUCUUCGUUAGACUACCUACGUACUCUCAAUAGAAAUCAAGCCAUUCGUAGUUCCACUAUCGUCAACUCUAAUCUUUCCAUAAAAUACUUCUAACAAAAAAUCAUAAGCACCAUAUUACACAUCAACCUUACGUCAACAACAAUUAUCAUCUUUCAUACACGCAUGUAAUGUAACCCAUUCUCACACAGAUACUUUCCAAUUCAUCCAUCAUAUAGAUCACUCUGUUUCACAUAAUACCGCAAAUCAUAGUAUGUAACAUAUCAAAUAACCAACAAAGCACAAUGUUAUUCUCAAGUCACAUUAAUCAAUUACUCUAAUCAUAAUAAUCUCAAUCAUACCCAACGUCAUUCCACAAUCACUUCAAUUAAUUAAUCAUGAAUCAAAGAUACAUGAUCUUAGCAUUUAAUUGUUUAAUCAAUGAAUACAGUAACAUAUCAUUUCACAAAUUUAACCAAGGAACUCUAUCAACUCCGAAAGAGUUACCCAUACAUCCAACGGAUCAUUUGGAACAAAUCACAACAGCUCAUAAUCAUAAUCUCAUACAACACCAUGAAAAGUAAGGCUAGAGCGACAUAGUUCAGCCGAAGCCUACAUCUCUAAAGCUAUCUCGAUCCAAACUCAAUAAAACCCAAGGUGAACACAAUCCCGAACCAUCUCUCAACAGAAUCACGAAGUAUGAAGGAUUCCGAACCAGCUCUUAACGAAAUCCAAGUGGAUACGAUUUCGGACUAUCACUCAACGAAAUCGCGGAGCACACUGCAUAACCACCACUAAGUGAAACCCAAGUUAGAUAUGAUUCUGGAACAUCACUUAAUGGAAUUGUGGAGUAGAAGGGAUUCCAGACCAUCACUCAACGAAAUCGGGGAGUACAAGGGAUUCCGGACCAUCACAACGAAAUCCAAACCAGGAUACAAUUCAAGAUCACCACUCAACGGAAUCGCGGAGUAGAAUGUGUAACACCAAUCAAUAAAACAAGACAUGGAUCAAGUUACUCAAUGUACAAAGACUCAACGGAAUGAGGAUGAAUAAUGGCACGUGGGUUGAAACAUGUUUCGAAGGCAACCAACCCCAAAACAAUGGUUAAUGGUCCACUUUUAGCCCUCACAUUUCAUCACCUCAAUCCAAUCAUACAAUACAAACCAUAUUUCCAAUGCACAAGUCAAAUCAUACAUAAUGAAAAGAGAUCAAUGACCAAAAAUAAAAUAACACUUCAAUAGAAUUCACAUUUAAUUAACAUGGGUCUAUGGCAUAUAUAUAUAUAUAUAUAACAUGAGCCAAAGAAAUCAUUUUUCUGCAGCUUACGUAACAGCCCAUUUCCAAUUCAUAUAACAAAUCUCAAAAUACUUCCAGGUAGCCUAGAAGCAUGUAUACAACAUCCAAAACUAACAUGACUCAAAAUUAACAAGAAAUUGACCUUUUGAACCAAACCCUUGAUCAAGAAAUUUGAUCUACACACCCAAUCUGAAAUACCCAACUCUAAUUCAUGUUAGACUAGUUCAUUGAAUGAUAGAAACCCUAAAUAGAAUUAAGAACUCCAAUAUAUCAUGGCAGUUUCAAUUCAACUUAAGAAAGUUAAAUUUGAAAAUCAAGAUAAUGAAGUAACAAGGAAUUUUACCCUUUAAAUGUCUGAAUCCUUCCUUCACAAUCACGUUCUCUAUCUCCUCUCUCUCCGAUUUUUGCUUGAAGAAAGAAGGAUUUUCUUCCAACAGCAAUGGAAGAGCCACCUCCUCUCUGUUUCUUUUUCUUUCCUCGCAAAGCCAGGAAGAAUGUGGAAGAACGUUCUUUUCCCCCUUUUCUUUCGCAACUCCCUUUUUCCUUCUCUCCUCCCUCCCUGUUUCUUUUCCUUCUUCCCCCCGUUGGUCCCUCAUUUUCCUCCUCUGUUUCUUUUUUUUUUCCCCUCUUUUUCUCGCCAUUCUCGUGGCUUUCCUAUUUCUUGUCUCCUUCAGCCACUCCCGUGGCUUUUUCUUCUCAUUUUUUUUUUUGCAACAACUUCAAACGUCCGUAACUAUACUGUUAUAAUCCGAACUCGCAAACGGCUUUCGCCUAUGCGUUCAUGAUCUCGAUAUCUAUUCAACAAUAUAAAUUGUGACCUCGAAUGGUCUACGGAUUUUAAAUAAUUAAUUUCCCGAAAAAUAAUAUAAAAUCUCUAUAAUACCAAUACGUAGAUUAUAAUAAUGAAAUCCAGGAACGGGAUUUCACAAGAGCAGCUAGAAGUUUCAAGAAACACAUAAAAAUGUAGUGCUAUGCAUAAUCAAGAGUGCGAUCAUGCAAAAAUUACUGACAAAAUAAAUAUGCAAUAGAGGAAUCAUUACCCAAAAUCCAAAAAAUGAUACCUCACUGCCAAGUCCACUUGCCAUCACUGAGGUUCUCCUGAUUCUCGCUAUGUCCUAAGGGGUUGAUAAACAAAGUAUGAGUGGAUCAAGUUCUAUCUCGUCAAAAUCAAUCGAAUAACCUCCAUUUUGAAAUAUGCUAUUGUAAAAUUAUCAAAGAUACGGGCUUAGGGCCCACAUCCAACAAUAUCGAUAUAGUCCCAACUUGGUAAUUACUACCCUUACAAUCCGUCAGGUGUGAGGUUUUAUCACAAAAAGCCUUGGUGUUAGAUGGGGUGAGGAUAGGAUAUUUAAACUCCUCUGUACUUAGAGAUAUAGUUGAUGUGAGAUAUUUUAACACCUAUAUAUAUUUAUAUAGUAAAAACUACAUACAUAAUAAUACUACCAUAAUAGUGGUCACAAUCAAUUCAUCUCGCACGUCAUAUCAAAGAAAGUAAGUCAUUCAUAAAAUCAAAGUAAUAGAAUAUGAUUUUAUCAAUAUCGUAGAUGAUUCUUAUAAUCAAGUAUACACACGUUGGUGCGACUUCGAUUCCAAUGAUCUCUCCCUUUUAACAACUAACUAUAUUUAUUUCAUAAACGCUAUAAUUUGUAUUUAUGAAAAAAUGAUUUAAUCAUAUUAAUUCUGCAUAGUCCCGUCAAGUUGGAUAGUAAAUGUCAUAAAUAAGGCUUUUUAGUCAAAAUGAAGUCCUUGAGAUUUGCCUAACUCAUCACCUUGGUCCUUGAGAUUCAAAAUCAAUAGAAGUGGUCCUUGAGAUAGUCCACCACCAAUCAUUAUGGUCCUUCGGUGAAAAAUUGUGUUAAAUAAGAAUGAAAAUGAUAAAAUUACCCUCAAUGUAAUAAACAAUAGGCCAACAUGAUUUGACAAAAUUUGAGGGUAUUUUUGUCAUUUUAUCCUUAUUUUAUGGAGUUUUUUCACGGAAUAACGAAAAUGAUUGAUUGUGGACAAACUCAAGGAUUAAUUCUAUCGAUUUCAAAUCUCAGGGACCAAAACGAGGAGUUAUGCAAAUCUCAAGAACCAUUUUAACUAAAAAAUUAUUAUUCCUAAUAUCCUAAGAGUGUUGCUACUCCCACCCCGAUGUCUUAUUUCUCCACCCACUCUAAAUUAAAUAUUUUGUUUACAAAUUUAUCCUCUUGCAAAAUGGCUUUGAAGGACCUAAACAAAAAAGGAUUUUGACAAAGUAAGACCCAAAAAAAUUCAAUUUGAAUAUAUAUAAAAAAAAAGUUUAGAAAAAAAAUUCAAUUUGCUUGCUGUGAAUGUGAUGCUUAGUUCAAACCUGCUAUCCUAUUUAUAAGAAAUUAAGCACAAGCUAUCUCAAGUUAUGGACUUUAAUUAAUAUUAAUUUCGACAUAUCAGUUUCCCAUCCCUUUCACUGAUAUGAACAUGGCUGAUCUCAUUGGUGUGGCGCAAUAUUUGUUAAAUUAGCCGUUCGGGUUGAUUUCUUUGUAUAACUCUUCUGCCAAUUCUGCAACUUGUAGACUUAAUUCCCAUUACAAAAUUUUAAAAAAAAAAAUCCAAAAUUAAUGUAAGAUAAAUAAAGACUUUUUAUAUCAUAAAAUAAGACUUUCUAACUUGUAUACAAGACUAUAGUGACAAGAUCAAACACAUUGAUGGGUGCGUAUUUUCCAUCAACAUCUGUUUUGUGCGUUUAAAUUGAGCGUGGAGUCUUUUUUAGCAUUUAAAAGUUUUUUAUCAUGUAAUUGACUUGGUUUGAUAAGACCUACAUCUAGAUGACUUGGAUCUGAAGACUAAUGUAAAACCUGCUAUCCUAUUUAUAAGAAAUUAAGCACAAGCUAGCUCAAGUUAUGGUCUUUAAUUAAUAUUACUUUCGACAAAUUAGCUUCCCAUCCUUUCAUUGAUAUGAACUUGGCUGAUCUCAUUGGUGUGGCGAAAUAUUUGUUAAAUUAGCUGAUCGGGUUGAUUUCUUUGUAUAACUGUUCUGCCAAUUCUGCAACUUGUAGAUGUAAUUCCCAUUACAAAAUAAAAAAAAUAAAAUCCAAAACUCAUAUACGAUAAAUAAAGACUUUUUAUAUCUUAAAAUAAGACUUUCUAACUUGUAUCAAGACUAUAGUGACAGGAUCGAACACAUUAUGGGUGCGCAUUUUCCAUCAACAUCUGUUCUGUGCGUGUAAACUGAGCGUGGGGUCUUUUUUAGCAAUUAAAAGUUUUGUAUCAUGCAAUUGACUUGGUUUGAUAAGACCUACAUAUAGAUGACUUGGUUCUGAAGACUAAUGUAAAACCUUUUGUUGAUAUUUCUUGAGGGUGAAACAUUGUUUGAGAAACGUUUUGGCCCUCAUUACAAUUUUUUUCAUUUAUUUUUUAAGUUUCGGCUUAAAUAUUCCGCUAUAAAUACAUUUGUGGAUUUAAUAACAGGUAAAACCACUUCCAAAUAUCUUGUGAAGUUUUUCUUAAUGUCACCGAAAUUGUUUAAGGAAAAUGAAACAUUUGCAUUUUUUCACAAAAAUUGUGGUUUCUCAGUUUUGUAAAUUUGUAUAAAAUUCUUCAUUAAGUCCAUUGGUUUUCACAUUCGCCUUACCAUUGGGCUUCACUACAAUUUUAUUAUUUUAUUUAUUUUUUAGGUUGUGGCAGAAAUAUUCUAUUAAUUAAAUUUGUGGCUCAAUAAUUGGUAAAACUCUUUCCAAAUGCUUUAUAAAUAUAUUGUCCUAAUGCUAACGAAAAAUAUUUUGUGAAGAUUAAGGAUUUGGAUUUCUCACAAAAAAUGUGGUUGCUCACUAUUUUUCUUUAGUUUUGCAAAUUCGUACAUAAAUAAUCAUUGAAUAUAUUAGUUUCUUGAUAUUCUUGAGUAUAUACCCCGUUUAGGCAAUGUUGGACCUCACUAUUGUUUGUUUUUAUUAUUUUUUGGGUAUGGGUUUAAGUAUUCAUUAGAAAUACAUUUGUGGCUCAAUAAUUGGCAGACCACUUUUAGAUGCCCUAUAAAGAUUUUCUUAAUGCUCUAGAAAAAUAGAAAAUUUGCAUUUUUCACAUAGAAAAAUGUGGGCUAACAAUCACGAUUUUUAGGCGAUUUUGCAAAUUCGUACAAAAAUAUUAUCAAAUCUUAAGCCUUUAUAACUCUUGUUCUAAAUGAACUGUUUGUCAAUUGUACAAGAUUAUAAUUACAUGAUAAACACACUGAUGGGUGUGUAAUUUCCUGCAAUAUCUUCAAAGUGCGAUUAAAAUGAGCGAAUGUCGACUUUCAUAAAGUAGUAUGGGUAUAGGUCUUUUAAUAGUGCAAGCUUUUAUAACUCUUGUACUAACCAUUUGUACAUGUUUAUAAAUGGAUUAACAGACUAACAGUUUGGGUAUAAAUGAAGACUAAAUGAGGGACUUGAUUCUCAACUUGCACAGUACAUAGGUGUGAAGUCUUUUGGUAUAAUUAUAGACUUAAUGUCUAGUUCAUUAAGGUAUUGGUCUCUAAAAGAACUGGAUUUAGAGAACGAAAGUGCAAUCAAAUGAGAAAUAUAUUAGUCUUUCACAAAGCACAUGGCAGCAGAUGUGGAGUCGUUUUUAUUUAUUUAUUUAUUUAAACAAACGAUUGUAUCUACACUAAGGGGUAGAAGAGUGGGCUAAAUCUUAGAAUGGGCUUACAAUAAUAAAGUGGUUUAACUUCACCUUUGCCGAUAAUCGAAUCUAAAACAUUUCACUUACAAAUGAAGAGGUAUACCACUAGACCGUAGUACUAAGUAGCAUGCCAGCAUACGGCUAUAGGCGUGGAGUCUUUGUUAGCAAUUAAAAGUUUUGUAACAAGUAAUUGACUUGGUGUCAUAAGGCCUACAUCUAGAUGACUCGGUUUUUAAAACUAAUGUAAGAGUUUCUGUUGAUAUUUCUUGAGGGUGAAACACCGUCUGAGAAACAUUUUGGGCCUCAUUACAAUUUUUUUUUCACUUAUUUUUUAGGUUUCGGCUUAAAUAUUCUACUAUAAAUACAUAUGUGGCUCAACAAUUGGUAAAACCACUUCCAAAUGUCUUGUAAAGAUUUUUUUAAUGUCACGAAAAAUAUUUUAUGAGAGUUAACACUCAUUGUAUUUUGUUGGUUUUGCAAAUUCUGAUGAAAAUCAUCAUUUAGUCCAUUUGUUUUCACAUUCGCCAUACUGUAAGGUACUUAAAAUUAAUGAAUAACUUUUCCACGUUAAGGCAAAGAUUUGCGCCUCACUACAAAUUUUUUUUUCAUUUAGAAUUUUUAGGUUUCGAGUUAAAUAUACCAUUAAAACUAAAUUUGUGGCUCAAUAAAUUGUAGAAACCUUUCCAAAUGCAUUACAAAUAUUCUCUUAAUGCUAACUGAAAAUAUUUUGGGUGUUGCAGUCCUAUUAGAUUAGGAAUACGAUUGUGUAAAUCCUAGUAUAUCUUGGAAUAUCUCUUAUAUACCUAUUAGGAGUAGAUUACCUAUUAAAUGUUGUAAUCCUAAAGGGUAAGGAAUUAACCUUCUUACUAUUAUAAAUAAAGGCACAAUGAGGUGAAAUAACACACACCCAUAAUUACACAUCUCUCUCUUCUUCUUCUCUAUUGCCGUACCUUUCUCUCUCUCUAUGGCCUCCAUAAUUGUUCAGCAAAUUAUACCUACAACACGUUAUCAGCACGCUUUGACGCUGCUCUAAAGAGAGUUUAUUCUUAAAUCAGGAGAGUAUUGCGUUUUAAUCAUUCUUUUUGUGAUUAAUUUAUUAUUUUAUUGAAUUGAUCUACAUGCUAUUGAUUCAUCUUUCUUUGUUGAACGUGAUACAAUGCAUUAGAGAUGCAAUUCCAGCUUUCCAAGAAUGAACUUCUACAAAUUCAAAGGCUUUUAUUGUUUUCUGCCAAUCAGAUAAGCUUAAAAUGAAGGAAGAUAUUUGAAAUGACCUUGAAGCAUGAAAACAUUCCCCAUGACGCAUGAACCCCCUAUGUUUAUAUUUUGCUUCCGAUCUAUAUAUUGUAUAUGUUCAUAUAUUUGUCAAUAUAUAUAUAUAUGUAUAUAUAUAUAUUUGUUACAUGCUUAUGCAAUUAAAUUGCUAUGUGGAAUUGUGAGUCAAAGCAUAUAAAUAAAUUAGAAGCAUAUUAGGGUUUUUCAAACCCUACAUAUCGAAAAAAAUUCUUUAGGAAAAACACUAAGCCAAUGUACCAAGCCAGCAGCUUGUCAGCGUCACCAAUGACUUCAAUCUGACAUCUAUCUAACAUUAGCAGCCUCUGUUUGUGCUUGAGAACCAAGCCUGGACCUGGGUUUCCUUCUGAUGGCCUAUAACUCUUGGCCCACCAACUAGCAUGCUUAUACUUGCGGGGCUAGUUCUGCAUCGAAGCUAAAGCCUAAACGUGUUGGGCUUCAUCGUGAAACCCCAACAGCGCAAAGCUACAGGGCUCUUUCUAACACAGCUCGUGUCCCAAAAAUUACAAGCCUGUAGCUUGCUUUGCAAGAUGGGCUGCACAUCUGCUUUUCCUCUGCCCACUAUCAACCAAAAUGUGUUGCUUUCUCUCAGCCUGCUGCCACAUGCACCUAUGACCCAAGCUAAAAAAGCCUGUAAUUUUUGCAGGACCGUGUAUUGUAGCCAACCAAAGUGUGUUGGGCUGCAUUCGUUUUUCGACCCAAUGCUAAUUUUUGGCAUUCUAAAUAAUUUUAACCCGAAUGUUAUAAUUAUUUUUGCUUCUACAAUUGACCCCGAAUGGUCUUGAUAUAUUGAAUUAAUUAAAAGUGACAUGCAGUCCAUUAAUCUGAUAAUUAAUCCAAAAUUAUUGGACUAAAUCCCACUUUUGGACAUUAACGAUUCAAUAAUUUAUUUCUUUUCUUUGAACCGUUGACUCACUUUCGUAGUCCCGAAGCACUCACACUUGAGUUCCCGAAAAAACUCAAAUCCACUACACGUAGUUGUAUAUUGCAUUUUGUGUUUCUUGCAGGAACCUCUCUUUUAUGAACUAAAUGUUCAUAAACUUAAUUGAACCUGUACUUUCAAAAUUAGUGCCUUUGAAACCCGAAGUUUUCAUAAAACAAUACACCCAUGAAAACUUGAUCUUUUUCAUGAAAACUAUGUCUUAGAACUCGAAUGUUCUCACUUUGAUGCUUAUGGAUGAUUAUUUCCCAUAGUAACAAUCACACUUGUUCCCUCCAAUUCAGUGGAUUGUCGAACCGUCACAAGUUUGAUUUUCCUGAUUUGGACGUUUCUAAUAAAAACCACUUUAUGUGAGGUAUAAGACGUGAAUCUUCACUUGACUAUCAAGAAGCUGAGAAACCAUUAAAGCCAACAAUGGCAUGGAAGAGCUGAAUAAGCCUCCACCAUGAUCUUCAUUCGAAGACUUAUGCUCAAAGCAUUACAAAUGGAAAUACCUCCCGAUCAAGGAUUCCAUUGCUUUUUGGCUCGUUUCUACGGACUGUCUAAUCAUGAAAGACAUUGCCUAAAGCACACCAUGACUACGUCCAUGAAUGAGUACAAUUCUGAAGUUUAUAAAUCUGAUUGAAUUUUGACUGGAGAAUACUUUUCUCAUCCUUUCUUGUUUCUAACUCGCCUAUGAAGUAGCAGUGUAAAUAGCGGAAGUUUACCAAAUUCUCGGAUUUGAUUACUACCACAAAUGUGAGAGAAAUGUAUGGACCCAAUUCGGCUGGAGUCUACCGAAUAGCUCAACCCAGUUCGAUCAAAGCCUACCGAAUGGUGAUCCACUGCUUCGGCAGGGAUACACCGAAUGGCAUAUUCUCUCACAAUCCAAUUUCGAGUUUGUUUUUACAACAUAUGGUAGAAUCAGGGCUGGCCAAGGUGUGGCAUCAUGCCCGAAGCAUGAUCCUUGGUACCUAAGACCUAAAACUUCAAGAACAAGGGAAAAUAUUCCUGAACCUUAACCCUGCAGAAUCUAUUUCAGUCUCGAUGGAAUAGACCAUUGGUUAUGCACAUGUUCGUGCCCCUACCAAUGUUGUUAAGGAGUACCAUUCUAGUAGUCAAUACGUGAGACUAAUUUUGCUCCACCAAACACCAUUGGAAGAGCAGAAUUUUGACAUGGAUAGCCUUGUUGGCUGAAUCCCCUUAGUAAACCAUUGAAUUUGCGAACAUUUUUCCAUGUUCUUGGAUUCAUGUUUAGUGUAUGUUUUGCUUAUGGAUAAUCUUAUUGAUGUUGUCCUCGAAUAUGAGUUAAUUGAAUCAUGUUUCUUAAUACAUGUGACCGAUUCAAUUAAACAUGUGAUUGGUAGGAAUGUGGGAAAGUUAGUUGUCUGGAUGAAUACGUACUACGCACACUAACCAUUCAGGUCUAUCCAACUUGAUUAAGAGCAUUUGGCACACUCCUUGUUGUAUGAAUGGUACUGAAUCACCAUUUAGGGGACCUUAAAUUCUCCCUGACGUUUAGUUUUUAAGCAUAUUCAAGUUGACAAUGAUCAUAAAUGAAACCACUGAAGCAAUAAGAGUGAAAUAUCUUUGCAACACCUCCAAACAUGAGCUUUAAGCUUUGAUUUGGGGCCAAUAAGUAGUCUCCCAAUUGGGAACACACCACAUGUGGACGGCUUAGAGCUGGGUGAUUGAGCAGUUUAAUUGUUUUGGCACGACCUUUUAGGACACUUAGGUCGAACAAUGAUGCUACGACGCAUCUCCUUAUCUGAAGUAAGGAUCUUAUGCCUACAAGCACACUUUGCGAAGCCUACUCAUUAGGGAAAUUGAUGUUUUUUAUAUUAUUCCUUGCAAAGAUACGAAAUCACCCUUUUUCAUAAGUGGAUUCAAGGGAAUAUAUGUGGACUAAUCCAACCAAAAUGAAGACCAUAUAAAUACUUAUGAUUUUGGUUGAUGAAUCGACAAACUGGUCACAUGUUUGUCCAUAAACAUUGCUGCUAAACCUCUUGGCCGAUUAAGGGCUCACCACCCUACUUAUUAUCCCUUAAGGUUUGAGAGACUGGAUAAUGCCGAAGAGUUUAUAUCAAUGGUUUUCGAUAAAGUAUUGCAUGUCGUUUUGGGUUUAUAAUUGAAUAUUGAAUUCCCAUGUUCAUCCCAAAUAGCCUCGCCUAGCGAUCAUAAAGCGCAAUUUGAAUGAUUGCCCGAAUUUUGGUACACAUACCAAGUCUUUAGUUUCUGCCUAGGGCUAUGUAAUCUUGUACGCAAUUAUUUUGGUCUGCCUUGAGGCCCAUUGCCACCCAACCUAUAUGACGUUAUAGUUGGUUACUGGGUACGAACCUGACUAUUUUCGUAUUAACGCAUUUGGGUAUGCAUUCUCUGUGCUAAGUUGCGCCGCCGUAACAUACCACCAUAUGUCGUCAAAGAAGGAUGUGUAUCUUUUGUCGAUCAUGAUUCUCCUACACACUAGCUCUCUUCGAGCCCUUGCACACGAUCUCUUUACCGCUCAUUUACGGGUUGUCACUUUAAUGAGACAAUCUUCCCACCAUUAGGGGGAGAUAAGAACGUCAACGUUCCUGGAAAACAACACGAAUUUACGUGGACGUUACCCACUAUGUCUCAUCUCGAUCCCCAUACCACACAAGUGUGAUAAGCAAGUGCGAUGAAUUCUAGCUUUCAGAAUGUUACUCCAGACGUAUUCUCCUGAUCUAACUAAAGUGACAUACCAGCUGUAAACAUGUCUGCAAGGAUAGACAUACUUAACGGACGUCGAGUCAACAUCCCUGGAAGGUGUACCGCCCUUGUUGGACGGUUUGGAUGCCCAUGUUGGAUGGUCCAGUACAUCGGCAGAUAGCCAAUCAAUCUGUCUUGGCCUGGAGCACAAUAGAUCACUCGGUUCGUAGGAUUCACUUCCCUGGAAGAGGAAGACAAGGCACAACAAUGAAUCUAAACUCGAUCAUUAUCUUAAAUAAUUUCCAUCUCAUGAGAUUAAUUCAGAUUUCUCCCGAGACUUAAAGUUCUUGGUCCAGUAUACUAGUUGGGAUGAGCUAAAUGGAAUUGAAAUGAGAUUAUCAUCGAUGAUGCUUUCACUUAUAUGGUAGCUACAGACAUAAAUGAAAAGCGACAAUAUCAAACUGUGUUCCGUUGAUUAAAUGUAGAACUGAGCGGACAACUAAAGUUACAAUCCAAGUCAAAUUCCUUACCAAAGUGUGUAUUGGACAUGUCGUUCCUACACUGCCCAAGGUAAUCCUGUUGUGUUAUAAGUGGGAAAGGAAGCGUUAUGAGAUGAAUGAAAUAGUGCAAUAUGAUGCACGCCUUACGACGCAAGGUUUCUCUCAAACAUCAUGUGAUUAAUAACAGCAUUAUGAAAUGUGGUUAGUGUUUUCUCCAUGGGGAUAUAGAUACAAAGAAUUACGUGUAAGUUCUUGAAGAAUUACAUGGACUGUUUCAAAUGGUUCCAAAACCACAAAACACCCUCUUAACUCGUUUUGAGGCGUUCACUUAUGGAUUGAAAAAUCUGACGGAUGUGGUAUACCCGUCUAAAUGAUUAUUUGAUUAGUCAGGGAUGAAUUAUGCCCUUGCGUGUUAAACUAUGAAGCCUUUUUCCAAAUUGUUAGAGUUACAGUUUAUGUCGUUGACAUGAAUCUCACUAAGACUCCGAAAGAGCUUGAGAAAACUGCUUUGCACCUAAAGAUGGAAUUUGAGAUGAAGGAUCUUGGAAAAACUCGUUAUACCUUAACCCAAAGUUGAAGCAUUGUUCUGACGGUAUUUUUGGUCUACUGGUCAAACUACACUUCGAAUGUGUUACCUUUGAGUAUACCUAUGAUCGUCCAUAAGUUAUAUGAAAAUGAAACCCUUGAAAAGGUUAUGGAAUUAGAAAUUCCAUAUCUAAGUUCAACGUUGUGCUUCGUUGUACUUAGCUCAUUGUAUUUAGACAUGACAUCUCAUUCGUUGUUGAUCUUGGUAAAGAUGCAGCAUCGUGCCUACACGCAACCACUGAAUUGGUAUUAAAGACAUACCCUGAAGGUACCACAUGGGCAAAUCCCAUUGCAUCUUAGCCGAUCUAACCCCUCUGAUCCUUGAAAUGAUGUUUGCUUUGUUUGUUAUGCUGACGCAUGUUACUUAUCAAACUCACUCAAGGCAAAAUCCCCAAAUGGUUAUGUCUUUACCGUUAGGGAUAUCGCAAUAUCUUGGAGGUCCAUGAUAUGACCUUAGUUGUGAAAUCUUCGAAUCGUUCCAAGACUCACCUUACUUCACUGUGUCACAAGUGAGACAUGGUUAGGAGUUCUUGUUGAGCAUAUUCGAAGUACUUGCUAUGUUUUCAUCCAUCGUUGAGUCCUAACGACGAUCCAUGAAGAUUAUGCCGCAUGUAUCAACCCGACCAAGCCAUGAUACAUCAACGAAGUCAACACCAAGACAUAUUGCGUCCACAUCUACAUCAGCAAAGCGUCAGGAGAUUGAAAUCGUGCAAGCCGAUCCCAGACAACUUGUCGACCUCUACACGACGUCACUGCCGAAGUCAACCUUCCAGAAGCUUGUCCAAGGAAUUGGUAUACCUAACUAUUCAUAUGCAAUGCUUGUAGUUCUCAUUUGGAAGUUAUGUCAAACUCCAAGGGAGUAUCCAAAAGUAUACUCAAUCUUAAUGUACUCUUUUUCCCUACGAUUAAGAGCAUUUUUCCCACUGGGUUUUUGCUACCUAACUAGGUUUUAACGAGGCACCCAUCUGGGCUGAUCAUACCCUUGAGAGCUCUUCUACUUGCUUCCAAAUGACGUAUAGUUUUAACUUAAUGCAACUUCUCACUUUUCUCCUUAGUCUGUGGGUUUUUCUCCCACCUUGGGUUUUACCAUAGUGAGGUUUUGUGAGUUUUACUUGUUAUGCAUUCUUCAGUUGUUUUGAGACUCGCAUUCGCUCAUUGUGCCGACGACUUCAUCAAUUGUACUUGCUUCAUCAUUGAUGACCUAUUGCACCAUUUACUUGAGUAUUUACACACUCAAGGGAGAGUGUUGCAAUCCUAUUAUAUCUUGGAAUAUCUCUUAUAUUCCUAUUAGGAGUAGAUUGCCUAUUAAAUGUUGUAAUCCUAAAGGGUAAGGAAUUAACCUUCCUACUACUAUAAAUAAAGGCACAUCUCUCUCUUCUUCUUCUCUAUUGUCGCACCUUUUUUCUGUCUCUAUGGCCUCCAUAAUUGUUCAGUAAAUUAUACCUACAACAUUGGGAAGAUAAAAGAUCUGCAUUUCUCACAAAAACGUGGUUGCUCACUGUUUUUAGUCAGUUUUGCAAAUUCAUAUAAAAAUCUUCAUUAAAUCUAUUAGUUUUCACCUUUGCCUCACAAUGAUGUUUCUAAAAGUAAUGUAAGACUUUUUGUUGAUAUUCAAGAAUAUAGACCUUGUUUAGGCAAUGUUCGGCCUCACUGCUAUUUUUUUACUUACUUUUUGGGUUUUGGUUUAAAUAUUCGAUUAGAAAUACAUUAGUGACUCAAAAAUUAGUAGAACCACUUUCAGAUGCCCUAUAAAGAUUUUCUUAAUGCUCACAAAAAAAAAUAGAAAAUUUGCAAACACAAAAAACGUGGGUCAUGAUUUUAGGUGAUUUUGCAAAUUCAUACAAGAAUCAUUAUUAAAUAUUUUUGUUUCAACCUUAUCCUCACCAUGAUGCUUUUAAAAUUAGUGCAAUAAUUUCGGUUAAUAUUUCUUGAGAGUGAAACCCCAUUUCAGCAAUGUUUUAUGCACAACUAAUAUGUUUUCAGUUAAUUUUUGGGUUUCAGCUUAAAUAAUAUAUGAGAAAUGCAUUUGUGGCUCUAUAAUUGGUAGAACAACUUUCAAAUGCCUUAUAAAUAUUUAAUUAAUGUUCAGUAGAAUAUUUUUUGAAAAUAAAAAAUUGCAUUUUAGACAAGAAAAAAAGUCACGAUUUUUAGACGGUUUUGAAAAGUUGUAUAAUUUUUUUAAUACAUCUAUAUUUUUACGCUAAGGGGAGGGGGAGUUUGGCUAAGCCACACAAAUGGCAGUCUAAUUCGGUCAAAUUCGCCAUCCACGAGAUGUGAACCUAGGACCUCCCACUUCCAAGUGGAGAGGAAUACCACAAGAUCGUAGUACUGAGUGGCAAAAAAUCAUCAAUAAAUCUAAUUGUUUUCACCUUCGCCUUUCCAUGAUGUUUUAAAACUAAUGUAAGGCUUUACAUUAAUAUUCUUGAGUACAAGCCCCAAUUUAUGCAAUGUUUUAGGCCUUACUACGACAGCAACACACAACAACAACCAAGCCUUAUGCCAUUAAGUGGGGUCUACUAUACACCACUAUGAUCGGGUUUGCACCAAAACUUUCGUUAGCUACAAAUACUUCAUAUCAUUUCCUAGUUUUUUUUCCAAGUCUUCCUAACUUUUCCGCCACCCCUUUUGCCUUGAGCCUCUAUCUCAUAGUCGCCUAUUCUACCAUAGCAUUUGUAGAUACUCGGUUCAUGUACCCAAACCAUCUUAACCAAUUUUCUUUCAUCUUAUCUUCAAUGGAGACCACUUCUACUUUACUUGUCAUGCCCCGAUCCCGACAUUCGUCAAGGAUCGGCGCGUGACAUCACCCAUUACAUGUAUAUAUAACAUACCCCGCCUCCGAGAUAUGUACAAAGCACAACUCACAGUCCAACUGCAUAGUAAUUUUUCGUACGCUUUAUGGCUACAUCUAACCUCCUCGUUAGACUGCCUACGUACCUUAAACAGGAAUCAAGCUAUUCGUAGUUCGUCUUUCACUACACUCAAACAAUCAUCACGUAAAUCACUAUGUCGCAACAUAAUACCACAAUUCAGGUAUGCAACAUCUCAAGGAAUAUUCGACGAAGCACAAUAAUAUUCUCUAGUCAUCUUGCCAUUCACACACAUAUGUUUCCAAACACCAUUCAAUAAUCACAGCAAUCAAUAGCAUACACAAUACAUCGAAAUGCAGGGUUAGAGCCACAUAGUUUGGUCGAAGCCUACAUCUCUAAAGCUGAAAUCAAAUCCAAGUAACAAACAAGUCAAAUGAUGCGAUUUCGGAUCACUCAAUGAACUCGCAUAGUAGAAGGGAUUCCAAACCUCUCAAUGGAAUUCGAGUGGAUACGAUCCCGGACCAUCACUUAACAGAAUCGUUGAUUAGAAGGGAUUUUAGACCAUCAUUUAAUGGAAUCCAAGUGGAUACGAUUCCAGACCAUCACUUGACAGAAUUGCAAAUUAAAAGGAAUUCCGAACCAUCACUCAACGGAAUCCAAGUGGAUAUGAUUCCAGGCCAUCGCUUAAUGGAAUCGCAGGUUAGAAAGGAUUCCGGGCCAUCACUCAAUGGAACCCUAGCGGAAACCCAGUUUCGGAUUAUUCAACGGAAUCGAGCGAAAGUCCAAGGAAUAUAACAACGGCUUGAAGAACAAUACAAGAACUAAGUACUUAAUAUAGAAGGUUGAACGAAAUGAAAGUGAAAUAAGGAAACAAGAUGGGAAACAAGUUUUGUGUCGAUCCAACAGUCGGAUCAUCAAUUCAUAUAAUAACCAAGUGGCGGCCGACUAGACGGUCAACUAUAAAACUAUAUUAAAAUAUUGGGAUUUCAUUAAACGGAUGUCAUAGAUGGAAUCAGGGUAUCAAAAUUAGCCUAGGAUGGUCAGGUGGGGUCUCGUCCCACCCGCCGAUGCACGCGGUGGCCAAUCGCGCUCGACAUGCCGAAAAAUUCAACUGUUUCAAAAAAAUUACCAAAUUUUACAGGCAUGUAUAUCUCAAUGAGCGGAGUAAUUUUCAUACAUGAGUUGAAGUCCAAUUCAGAUUGAAAGUGCUCUGAAUUUCCCUCGAUCCAUCGAAACCCUAGAAUUUGGGUGUCCUCGAUUCGACCUCCAUAGUAGCUCCAAUGCCUCCUCCACAGCUUGGGAUUUGUUCCUAAGGUUGAGGGGAGCCUUAUGAUGGUGGUGGUUAACAAAGUUACCUUCGAAUUUGAUAGAUCGCCACUACGAACCCUGUUGCACCCACCAUGCGGGUUUCACAAUUUCAAGGCCAAAAUCCAUUUAUUUUGGGGUGGAAUGGGUAGAGGGGGGGCCAACGAGUGUUUCCCUAGGAGGUUGUUUAACGUGGUUCGCCGAAAAAACCGACGGAAAACCAUUAGAAAUGGCUACCCGAACUGGGUCGGGUCACACACGAAAAUGGGGGAUCUGAUUCCCUCAUUCUCUCCUCACUCCUUUCCCCUUCUUGAUCUCCUCCCCCAUUGGUCACUCCCCCCUCCUUUUCAGAAACUUCUAACGUCCAUAACGUCUCCUUUCUCGUCCCAAUUCAUGAACAGCCUUCGCCUAUCCGCUCGUGGGGUCGACCUCAAUUAGAAAACAUUAAGAGUGAUCCAAAAGUCUACGGAUUUUAAAGGAUUAUUUUCAAAAAUUAAAACUUUGUAAUUAAGUAAUUAAAAUAUAAAAUUAAUUUAAAUUCGCAAAAAUACUAUAAAAUCCUGCGAAUACAAAAUACGUAAAUUACAAUAGUGAAAUUCCAAAUGUCACAUUACCUCGGAUGUCCUCGUUGUUAAUCCAAUCAUUUUGACACCCCAACCCCAAUAACACAAGUUACGAGGUCGAGAUAUCUUGGCCGUCACUAAAUUGACCAUAUGGCCCCAUUGAGGGAUGACUUCACAAGCCAACUUAAUAACGAAGCCAUAGUAAGAUAAUUACGAUGUGAGUGAAUUUGAAUCAAAACAUUCAUUAAAAAUAAAUCAAAAGUUGCUACAAAUUUUCCUAAUCAACCUUCCCACUUGGGAACAUAUAUUUAGGGUUUAGAUCCCAUUAUUACAUCACAUCAGAGCAGCUAGAAGUUUUAUACAACAGUAAAUACAUAAAAGUGUAGUGCUAUGCAUAAUCAAGAGUGUGAUCAUGCAAAUAUUACUGACAAAAUAAAUAUACAGUAGAGGAAUCAUCACCUAAAAUCCAAAGGAUGAUACCUCAUUGCCAAGCCCACUUGCCACCACUGAGGUUCUCAAUUCUUGCUAUGUCCUGAGGAGUCAAUAAACAAAGUAUGAGUGGAUCAAGUUCUAUCUCAUCAAAAUAAAUCGAAUAACCUCCGUUUUGAAAUCACCUAUUGUAGAAUUAUCAAAAAGACGGGCUUAGGGCCCACAUCCAACAAUAUUGAUAUAGUCCCAACUUGGUAAUUACUACCCGCACAAUCCGUCAGGUGUGAGGUUUUAUUACAAAAUGCCUCUCGGUGUUAGAUAGAGUGAAGAUAGGAUAUUUAAACUCUUCUGUACUUAGAGAUAUGGUUGAUGUGGGAUAUUUCAAUACCUAUAUAUAUAUAUAUAUAUAUAGUAAAAACUACAUACAUAAUAAUACUACCAUAAUAGUUGUCACAAUCAAUUCAUCUCGCACGUCAUAUCAAAGAAAGUAAGUCAUUCAUAAAAUCAAAGUAAUAGAAUAUGAUUUUAUCAAUAUCGUAGAUGAUUCUUAUAAUCAUGUAUACGCACGUUGGUGCGACUUCGAUUCCAAUGAUCUCUCUACUAAAUAUAUUUAUUUCAUAAACGCUAUAAUUUGUAUAUAUAAUAAAUGAUUUGAUCAUAUUAAUUCUGCAUAGUCCCCUCAAGUUGGAUAGUAAAUGUCAUAAUUAAGGCUUUUUAGUCAAAAUGGAGUCCUUGAGAUUUGCCUAACUCAUCACCUUGGUCCCUGAGAUUCAAAAUCAAUAGAAGUGAUCCAUGAGAUAGUCCACCAUCAAUCAUUUUGGUCCUUCAGUGAAAAAUUGUGUUAAAUAAGAAUUAAAAUGACAAAAUUACCCUCAAUGUAAUAAACAAUAGGCCAACAUGAUUUGACAAAAUUGAGGGUAUUUUUAAUAUUUUAUCCUUAUUUUAUGGAGAUUUUUCACUGAAUGAUGAAAAUGAUUGAUUGUGGACAAACUCAAGUACCAAUUCUAUCAAUUUCAAAUCUCAAGGACCAAAGCAAGGAGUUAUGCAAAUCUCAAUAACCAUUUUAACUAAAAAAUUAUUAUUCCUAAUUUCCUAAAGCCCUUGGGAAGGUAUCUGCCAAUUGUACCCGAGAAGAAGUGCAGCAAGGAAAAAUUUAUAAAGACAAUGGAUACAUGCCACUUCGCUGCAAAAAACGAUACUUAAAGGACAAUUUUCCCGAGUUUUUCACCGCCGUUUUUACCGUUUGCUGCAAAAAACAAAUACUCUCCCCUUGCGAGCUCCGUCGUCAAUUCCCUUCACGAACUUUGAGUCCCUCUGAAAAAAUGAUUACCUGAAAUUUGAAUUUUUCAAACUUUGUGUCUGGUUAUAUCUAACGAUCCCUAAUUCUAAAUUUAUGGUUUAGAUAUAUAAAAAAGAUAUCUCGGGUACUUCAUUGCUAUCCAUUAAGCUCCCCACUUUCAAGCAAAGCAAAAAAUUCUAAUUGAGUUGAGUUUUGAACAUGCUGAUUAGUUAGACAACUGAAUUACUAAUCUUUAUUAUUAUUGCAACAAACACACGGAUUACACUAAAAGCUAGUGAAUCAUACACUUGCAGAUGACUUAUCCAAACACAAAGAUAAGACAUGAUUUUAUUAUUAUUGCUAUAAACACACGGAUUACAGCGAAAUUCAAAAACUAAAAACAAGGAAAAAAGUAGUGAUGAAAACCAAUGCCACUUCCGGGAACACGAUUGCAUUCGCACAUGCAACAAGCCUUUUAAACCCAUAGGUGACCCAAAUGGGACGAGUGAAGUCUCGUGAGGGUUUCCAGAGACGUUACCCACAAACAUCAUGCAUACGGAUCAUCAACAUCUGACUUGGGAGACUGAGUAGAUAUCCACCCCUCCAGCAUCAGGUUGUUUUGGUUGAGGCGUAAUUCGAAUCUGUUUUCAAUGAACGGCCUGGUUAUGAGAUCGCUUUGCAAGUGACGUAAUCGGCAGCGCGUGAUUAGGUUGUUGCUGUCAGGUGGUCCGACAGGCUCGACCUUGAACAAUGUGCAAGCCCAAUUGUCUUUGGUUUCAUUUCGGUCAGCAGCUGCGGCCAGGACCAAUAGCCUGUUUUGGUCCACCCUUCUCAAGUAGUUGCCAUUGUAGGAGCAUUUGAUAUGCACGUAAUUCUUGUCGGCGUAGUCCUCAUUGUUUGGCUUCUCGGUGGUGAACUUUAUGAACCUGCUGUUUUCAUUGUCCUCGGAAAACUGGACAAUCUCAUUAAGGUCGCUUUCUGCAUCAAGUUGAUAGCGCAAAUACUUGUUGUUGAUAUCUGCUUUCAGCAGAAAAGGGCUUGGUAGUACAGGUGGUGGAGCCAUAUCGUAUAGUGUAGUUGGGAUUGGGAUGCUCUCUCUUUUUUAUUCUCUGUUGAUGAUCUAAUUUGCUUGCUGUGAAUGUGAUGCUUAGUUUAAACCUGCUAUCCUAUUUAUAAGAAAUUAAGCACAAGCUAGCUCAAGUUAUGGUCUUUAAUUAAUAUUAAUUUCGACAAAUCAGUUUCCCAUCUCUUUCAUUGAUAUGAACAUGGCUGAUCUCAUUGAUGUGGCGCAAUAUUUGUUAAAUUAGCCGUUCGGGUUGAUUUCUUUGUACAACUCAUCUGCCAAUUCUACAACUUGUAGACCUAAUUCCCAGUACAAAAUUAAAAAAAAAUUAAAAUCCAAAACUAAUAUAAGAUAAAUAAAGACUUUUUAUAUCAUAAAAUAAGACUUUCUAACUUGUAUACAAGACAAUAGUGACAAGAUCAAACACAUUGAUGGGUGCGCAUUUUCCAUCAACAUCUGUUCUGUGUGUUUAAACUGACCGUGGAGUCUUUUUAGCAAUUAAAAGUUUUGUAUCAUGUAAUUGUCUUGGUUUGAUAAGACCUACAUCUAGAUGAGAUGCUUCUGAAGACUAAUGUAAAACUUUAUGUUGAUAUUUCUUGAGGGUGAAACAUCGUUUGAGAAACGUGUUGGGCCUCAUUACAAUUUUUUCAUUUAGUUUUUAACUUUUGGUUUAAAUAUUCUACUAUGAAUAAAUUUGUGGCUUUAAUAACUAGUAAAACCACUUUCAAAUAUCUUAGUAUCGGCUUUCAGAACAAAGGGGUUUGGUAGUACAGGUGGAGCCAUAUUGUAUAGUGUAGCUGGGAUUGGGAUGAUCUCUCUCUCUUUUUUGUUUUUUUUUUCCCUUUAAUUUGCUUGCUUUGAAUGUGAUGCUCAGUUCAAACCUACUAUCCUAUUUCUAAGAAAUUAAGCACAAGCUAUCUCAAGUUAUGGACUUUAAUUAAUAUUAAUUUCCUCAAUCAGUUUCCCAUAUCUUUCAUUGAUACGAACAUGGCUGAUCUCAUUGGUGUGACGCAAGAUUUGUUAAAAUAGCGAUCGGAUUGAUUUUUCUUUGUAUAACUCUUCUGCCAAUUCUGAACUUGUACAUAUAAUUCCCAUUAUAAAAUAAAUAAAUAAAAUUCAAAACUCAUAUAAAAUAAAUAGAGACUUUUUAUAGCAUAUAAAAUAAGACUUUGUAACUUGUACAUAGUUAUUGAUAACAUUCAUCUAAGAACUAACAGAUGAAUGUAUGCAAGCAAUAUUGAAGAAAUACAGAGAGAAAGAUCGAAAGGAAUAGAGAGAGAAAUAGAGAAAGAAAUGAGUGAAAGCUUUGUUAUUUCAUAAGAACAAAAGAUCAUCACAAAAGAACCCUGAUUCCUUCUUAUAUAGUCUGCCCAUGUAGCUUAUCAGCUAAGCCACCUGUGUAACUAAUUCUUAACAAACUAACUAACUCCAAUAGCUGAUAUGGCACUUAUGAUGAUGUGUCAAUCACUAUAUAUCUUCAACAUCCCCCCGCAAUCUCAACUGGGAUUUUCUAGCUUGAGAUUGUAAAAAUGUUAGACAAAUGAAGGACUGUGAAGACCUUUGGUAAGAACAUCGGCAGUUUGCUCCUCAGUUGGGAUAUACAACACCUCCAAAUCGCCUUCAUGCACCCGUUCUCGUACAAAAUGGUAGUAUGUAUUAAGGUGUUUAAUUCUUGAAUGAAACACCAUAUUAGCACUGAUCGGAUCAUAUUUAUAUAUAUUUUUACUUCGAAUUCACUCGUCUUUUCUUAGUUAGUUCCUUAUAUUUUUGAGCUAUUUACGUUAUUUUUGUGUUUAUAGGAUUUGUUAUGCAAAGAAAAUAAAAAUAGAACAAAUGAAAUUUUAUGUAAUAAAUUCGUCAAAACUGUCUGUGUAGAUCAUCUUUUAAAUAAAAUUAAUAAAAAUAAUAAUAAUGGUAAGUCAUGAUGAUGUUUGAAACAUCAUCAUGAUUCAUGUUUUGUAGAAGAAGAAAGGAACGGCAAAGAAGGAGAAAAUAAAGAAUAAAAGGAGGGAGAGCGUCGGUGGAAAAGAAAAAGGAAUAAAAAGCUGCCUUUACCAACAGAGAGAGUGGGGAGGGCAGAAAGAAAAACACGGCAUAAAGAAUAAGAAUAAGAGGAAGUGAACAGCAGUGCGAAGAAGAAAGGAAGAAUAAGAAAAUAAAGAUAAGAGGCAGAGCGGAAGAGAGAGGAGGGGGGAGAUAAGUCAGAGGGACGCGGAACGAAGAGAGGAAAGCAGCAAAGCUGCCAGCGGAAAGAAAAGGUUGCCCUUGCAGCCUUGAAAAAAAAAGCAAAAAAUAAAGGAGAGGUCAGGAGGGGAGAGAGGUUAGAGUGCGAAAACAGAGAGAGAGAAGGCGGGAGCAGCGCAGCAGAGCACAGCAGCAGGUGCAGGGAAGUCAGGAGCUAGGCAGAUCUUCUUUUCUUGGUUUUAUCUUCUCAAACCCAUGUUUUACUUUUGGUUUAAUUUGAUAAUAAUGUGUAACUAAAUUUAUUUUGGCUAGAGGUUAAUUCAAAGCCAUGAAUAUAUUUGUAAUAUGAAUUGAUUACCUUCAGUUGUGAUUUCUGAGUUGUGAUUUAAUUUGCUUAACUGCUUGAUUGAUAACUUAUUUUUGUAUGUCGAUUAAGAAUGCAUACUUAAUUUACAUGCAUGAAUUUGAUGCUAGAAUAUAAGUGAAUUUCACCUAAUCGUUAUGAACUUAUAUUCACAAGUAGUGAAGGUUGUUAUCCACAAUCGUGUUAAGUGAAUUCUAGGCUGGAUUAACAUGCGUAUUCCAUAGUUAUGAAUGCCUAGUCAAUGUUUAUGAUUUCCGUUGAACUUAAUGAUCUUUGUUGAAUGUCUCUAUCAUGCGUAUUCCAUAGUUAGGGACUUUGAUGAGGAAUAAUUUGGUUGUAAUGCGUAUUCCAUUCAAUCCAAUGAAUCUAGGGAAAUCUAAGAGUUAAUUUAAGCGGACCUAAUUAACUUGGAACAUUGUCAUUCACAAUUUAUUGAAAGAACAACUGAAAAUCAAUUUAGGUUGCAUAUGUGUCAUGUGUGGAGAAGAACCCUCUAGCUAGUCCGUCACCUAUCCUUUCACCUUAAUUUCAUGCUUUUGUCAACUCUGUAAUUUAUUUAAGUUUAAUUUACUUCUCGUCAAAACCAAACCCCCCCAUUAUUAAAUUAUAUUAUUUAGUUAAUUUUCAUUGUUGUUAGUCAUUUAAUUCAAUUUCCGUCCAUUUCAGUUUCUAGUGUCUAAUUUGAUUGUUUUCAUUAUUUUGAGUCAUUCUAAGUGUGUUUCGAGUUAUUAGAGUUUUUAGCCUAGUUUUGUGUCCUUGAGUCUUGUUUAAUAUUUUUAAAUUAAUUUAGAAUAGAUUAGCAAUCCCUCCUAAUCCCCGGCCUAGAACGAUACCCUACUUACAUCUAUAAUACAAUUGUCAAAAAGAGGGUUUAAUUGGUGUGUCAAGUAAUUUUCACAUCAAGCACUUAAGGCAAUAGCAGACAUAUUGUCACAGUGAAUCGUUGGUGGAGCAUCCAAAAAUACACUCAAAUCCUUCAAUAUAUUUCGAAUCCAAGCUAUAUCUACGGCAGUAUGUGCUAAGGCUUUAUAUUCAGCCUCAGUAGAACUCCUGGAUAUCGAGUUUUGUUUCUUCGAUUGCCAAGAAAUUGGAUUACUACCCAAGUACACGACAUAACCAGUGAUAGACCGACGAGUAUUCAAGUCUGUAGCCCAAUAAGAAUCAGAAAAUGCAGUAAGCUUUGAAACUGUGUUUGCAGAAAAAGCAAUACCAAUGUUCAUGGUUUCUUGAAGAUAACGAAUGAUUCAUUUAACAACGCCAAAAUGAACAUCAGUUGGUGAGGACAUCAACUGACAUACUGUGUUUACAGCAAAGGCAAUAUCAGGCCUAGUAAAGGUCAUAUAUUGUAAAGAUCCCACAAUACUUAUGUAAGGUUGGAUCUGUCAAUAAUUGUCCCUCAGAGUGUAACAUUUGAUGAUGAGGUUUACAAGGAGUGGUUGCUGGUUUACAUGAUUCCAUACCUGCUUUAUGGACGAGAUCUUUGAUAUACUUAGACUGAUUAACAAAAACACUGCCAUUUGCUUUAUAUUGAACUUGUAAACCCAAAAAAUAUGUAAGUUGUCCCAUAUCCUUUAACUCGAAUACCUCAGAUAAUUAUUGAAUCACUUUUUGGAUCUUCAAAGGAUUAGAACCAGUUAAGAUGAUAUCAUGAACAUAAAGUAAUAAGAUAAUGAUAUCAGAGUCAUCCUUCUUGACAAACAAACUUGUAUCAGAAGUUGAUGCAUGAAACUCCAUAACUGUCAAAUAACUUGUAAACUUUGAAUUCCACACUCGUGGAGCCUGUUUCAAGCCAUAUGAUGUAUCAAUAAAUCCUUGUGGUUGCUGCAUAUAAACUUCUUUUUGUAAAUCUCCGUGUAGAAAAGCGUUCUUGAUAUCUAAUUGGCGAAGAGGCCAAUGAUUCAUUGCAGCUAAAGAAAGAAUAAUCCUUAUAGUAGUAUGUCCGACAACAGGACUAAAUGUGUCCAAGUAGUCAAUACCAUGUUCUUGGGAGAACCCUUGAGCUACAAGCCUUGCUUUAUACCUGGAGACACUGCCAUCAAAGUUUUUCUUCACUUUGUAUUCCCAUUUGUUUCCUACAAUUGUUCUGUCUUCAGGUGCAGGAACCAAUAGCCAAGUUCCUUGUGCUCGAAGUGAAUCAUAUUUCUCCUGCAUUGCCUUUUGCCACUGUGAAAUAGUAGGAGCUUUCCGAAAUGUCUUAGGUUCUGAAGCAUCAGUGAUCUCAGAAAGAAAGGAAUAGCCACCCGUGAAAGGUUCUUCAUCAGUGAUUUGGAGACAACAAAGCUCAGGACAUUGUGCUACUAAAGCAGCAUAAUUUUGUCCCUCAAUUGUUCCACUCUUCAAUCUAGGGACCAUUGAGUGAGUCAAUGGUGUAGUAUGUAAAAUGAGAUCAAAUAGAGAUAAAUCAGGAAGGAUUACCUCAAGUUGUGACUCAGAGUGGACAAGCAACAAGGAUUGUGUACCAGAGUGAUGAUGUGUAAGAGAGUGAUGAUGUGAAGAGCUUGGAGAUGCAUAUAGAAGAUUGGUUUCAGUCGAAUUUGUAUCUUGAUCACUAGGUUGAAUCACCUGUGUAUUGUCCGAACUAGAAAUAUUCAAUUAACCAACCACAUUUAUACUUUCACAAUUUGCAGGAAUACUGUGAUGUGAACCAGUAUCAUUUGCUGAUAUAUGUAUAGAACUAGCUGCUUGUGAAUCAUGCUGUAUUUAUGUAUGAGGCAGGACUCUUGCACUUGGAACUUGUAACUGAAUCAAAACAGGUGUCUGAGAACACCUAUAUGUAGCUGUAGAAUCCUUAGAUGGCAAAACUUGUUUAAACGGAUAUACAUCUUCAUCAUGUAGUACAUGCCCUGACAGAAUGAACUUUCUAGUCUUGAUAUCAUAACAAAUAACUCCUUUAUAUCCAUGAGCAAAACCAAGAAAUACACAUUGAGCUGACUGUAGCUCCAAUUUAUUCUUAUUGAAUGAUCUUAUCAAGAUAGAGCAGCCAUAAGAAACUCUUAACUUUGGAGGAAUAUGAAGUUUCCAAAUAAGAUUCCAUCGCCGGAAAAGCACAAGGCCUAAUGGCCCAAAAAUAAGCAGAUUUAACUGAAAAAUUACCAUCAUUUAUUCCACUUCAGAUACACUUGGCAGUCAAAGCAUCAAAACUAAUUGGAAUGCUAAGAAUUUGUUCAACCACCUCUUUAGUAAAACAAGUAAUAGUGGAUCCAAACCAUUAUUGUAACAAUAGUUAGCUACAGUAGCCUUAUAUGUAUUGUCGGCGUUACCACACAAUCCCGAUAUACGUCCAGGAUCGACAUGUGAUCUCAUCAAAUACUCAUAUCUCUAACUUACCCCACCUCCGGAAUAUGGCAAAGUGAUGAGUCAAUAUUUACCAUAUAUUUUACCCUAAUCUUAGUAUUAAUUUAUUAGUUAUUUUGGUAGAAUUUUGAUACUUUGUUAUAUAUUUCUAAUAUAGGACAUUCGACUUCAUCUGGAGAAAAAAGUAACCAAACGGAUGAUUUUUGGAGUGAUUCCAAUUGGAGGAUGUUUGUGAGUCUUCGAGAUGAUUAUAUCAAAAUUCCAAAUUUUUCUACCAAGUCGUUUGACCGUGGCAAUGAAAUUAAGGCCCUGCGCGCAGCUUUCUCAGAUUGACAUUUCGGGACAUUUUGCGUAUUUUGAAAGUCAAGAUGUAAUAUUUUGAGGAAGAUUUCUUCUGAGGAUUUGUAUGGGACGUCUCCAUCUUUCAAAAGAGACAUUUUGGGACCAAAUCGGAGUUGAUUUGGUUGGUCAGAAGUCUGAUUUUCUGAGAUCUCCGAAUUCUAGUUCAAAUAGGAAACCUUUUAUUUUCUGUUUUAUUAUUUUAUUAUGUUUCAUAGUUUUAUUGUAAGACCUUUUAGGGUUUUAUUUUGUAUUAGUAUAAAUAAGAUAUUUAGCCAUUAGGGGAAAAGGGGAGGAGAGAAUAGGAGGAGAAUGCACACAAUACUUUGGAGGAUUCAAGUUUAUUUUCAAGGUGUUUUCUAUCCAUGUUCUUAAUAAUAUUUUGUUUUAUAGUUGAUAGUAACUAGUUUCGUUUGCUAGAUCGAGGCCAUGACCCUUAGCAAGAAUACGUAGUUUCUUUUCAAUCUGCUUAUGAUAUUAUGCAUGCAAGUUUUGAAUUAUUAAUCAUCGUGCUUUAAACUAUCUAAUUGUGUUGAUGAUUGGCCGCCAUUAGGAUAUUUAGAAAAGUAAUUUGAUGCAAUUUUGGCGGAGGGCUGUCCCUAGAAUUGGUGCUGGCUUCUUGUGGUUAAUAUGUGUAACUUCUUAGGAUGGAUGACAUGUCUUAAGGGUUAUAUGGUUUUUCAAAAGGAUUUCACAAAACUUUAUGAGUCUUGCAUGUUAACUUUUGAUCUGGACACCACAGACAGGUUGCAUGUUAGAUAUAGGUUCUAUGUUGGAGGUUCCAAGUAAGGCAUACAUUAGGAAAACCUAACCAUCAAAAUAUGCAUUUGUAAUUCAUAAGUAAUUGGAAGAACUACGUAGGAUUGUUAAGGUGAUGGUGAAACCCUAGUGCUUAAAUUUAUUUUCAAAACUAUUUUCUUUGGUUUUCUUUACUUUCCCAAUUUAUAGUGGAUCCAAACCAUUAUUGUAACAAUACUUAGCUACAGUAGCGUUAAGCAUAUUAUCGGUGUCAUGCCCCGAUCCCGACAUACGUCUAGGAUCGACACGUGAUGUCACCAAAUACCCACAUCUCUAACUUACCCUGCCUCUAUGGCAAAGUGAUGAGUCAAUAUUUUACCAUAUAUUUUACCCUAAUCUUAGUAUUAAUUUGUUGGUUAUUUUGGAAGAAUUUUUAUACUUUGUUAUAUAUUUCUAAUGUAGGAUAUUCUACAUCCUCGGGAGAAAAAAGUAACCAAACAGAUGAAUUUUGGAGUGAUUCCAAUUAGAGAAUGUUCGUGAGUCUUUCAAGCUGAUUGUAUCAUAAUUCCAGAUUUUACUAUCAAGCUGUUUGACCGUGGCGAUGAAAUUAAGGCCCAGCACGCAACUUUCCCAUAUUGACGUUUCUGGACGUUUUGGGUAUUUUGAAGGUCAAGAUGUUAUGUUUGGAAGAAGAUUCCUUCUGAUGAUUUGUAUGGGACGUCUCCAGCUUUCAAAAGAGACCUUUUGGGAUGAAAUUGAAGUUGAUUUGUUUGGUCAAAAGUCUGAUUGUCUGAUAACUCCGAAUUCUAGUUCAAAUAGGAAACCUUUUAUUUUCUGUUUUAUUAUUUUAUUAUGUUUCCUAGUUUUAUUCUAAGACCUUUUAGGGUUUUAUUUUGUAUUAGUAUAAAUAAGAUGUUUAGCCAUUAGGGUAAAAGAGGAGGAGAGAAUAAGAGGAGAACACACAUAGUACUUUGGAGGAUUCAAGUUUAUUUUCAAGGUGUUUUCUAUCCAUGUUCUUAAUAAUAUUUUGUAUUAUGGUUGUUAGUAACUAGUUUCGUUUGCUAGGGCGAGGCCACGAGCCUUAGUGAGAAUAUGUAGUUUCUUUUCAAUUUGCUUAUGAUAUAUAUUAUGCAUGCAAGUUUUGAAUUAUUAAUCACUGUGCUUUAAACUAUAUAAUUGUCUUGAUGAUUGGCCACCAUUAGGAUAUUUAAAAAAGUAAUUUGAUGCAAUUUUGGUGGUGGGCUGUCCCUGGAAUUGGUGCUGGCUUCUUGUGGUUAAUAUGUGUAACUUCUUAGGAUGGACGACACGUCUUAAGGGUUAUAUGGUUGUUCAAAAGGAUUUCAUAAAACUUAAUGAGUCUUGCAUGUUCACAUUCGAUCUGGACACCACAGACAGGUUGCAUGUUAGAUAUACGUUCAAUGUUGGAGGUUCCAAGUAGGGCAUACUUUAGGAAAACCAAACCUUCAAAAUAUGCAUGUGUAAUUCAUAAGUAAUUGGAAGAACUACGUAGGAUUGUUAAGGUAACGGUGAAACCCUAGUGCUUAAAUUUAUUUUCAAAAACUAUUUUCUUUGGUUUUCUUUACUCUCCCAAUUUAUUUAAUUGUUUUCAGUUAAAUUCGUUUUUAAUAUUUUAGGUUAUAAAACCAACCUCUUCUAGACUUUAUUUUCAAAUAAUUAAUUAAGAUUUGGUUUUAACAUAAAUUAUGGCUUUUUUUAUUAGCACCCCACAAAAUGUUGAAUGCACCCCACAUUAAAAUUUAAUAUUAAAUGACUUAUUUACCCCACUAUGCAAUGACAAUUUUGACCUUAUUAGGUUUUAAAAAAAUAAAAUAAAAAUAUCUAAAUACACCCCAAAUCAAUGUUUUAGAACCUUCACAUGAGGUAAGACUAUGUUUCAUCGGUGGUUUGGUUAAUUUCAUAUUGCUUUUUUUUUUUUCUUCCGUUGGUUAUUCAUUUUCUUCUUUGCAGGUUACAAAUCCAGCCAGUGGUCCUCCUAGAGAAGGUUUGGUUAUAUCCCUUGAAAUGAACAAUGGAAAGCGACAAAAUAUUUUGGAGGUUAGACCAGAAAAUGCAUCGCAGGUUUGUUGGCAUGUACCACUCUGCCUAUUGAUAUUGAGUUGUAUGGUUCUUAACAAAUAAUUGAGGUGUAUGAUUCUUAGUAAAUAAAUGAGGAUUUGAUAAUAUUUUUUGGUGUAUUUAAAUAGGAUAGCAUACAAGGCAAUACCUCUAUAGGGGACAGUGAGGUUGCAACAACGAGCGUCGUUGAUUACACAAACGCAUUUAAAACAGACGAGGUAACUAUUUUUAGUAUAUUGAAUGUGCAUCUGUGAAUUUCAUGGAAACUCUUGCAUUCUUUUAUGCAACAUAGUGCAUUAGGUUCAUAAUAGGGACUAACAUAUGGGUUGGAAUCUUAGCAUGUCUACAAACAUUUUGUUAGUGGCAAAUGUCAAUGAUCUUGUAUGUACAGGUGUUCAAAAGUAAAAAUGAUUUCCUUGAUUGGACUCGCGCACAAGGAAAAAAGAAUAAUAUGGUUAUUGUCAUUAAGAGGUCUGAUGCGGGAAGGGUUGACCGAAUGAGGAAGAGAGCUCGAAUAACAUUUGCUUGUGAGAGACAUGGCGAGUAUCGAUCCAUAUUGAGGAAGUCUGAUAUUAAUGACCAAAAUUCUGAUGCAAAUAAUAAGAAGAAGAAAGAACCCAGGAAUACUGGUAUUAAAAAAUACGGAUGUCCAUUUAUGUUGAAAGGAGUCAACGUUGGAGAAGGAGAUGAAUGGAAAUUGGAGGUUGAGUGUGGGGUGCAUAACCAUACUUAUUCACAGUAUCUUGAAGGGCAUUCUUUUGUCGGACGAUUAACUAAAGAGCAAAAUGAACUUUUAGUUGACAUGUCUACAAGUUUAGUGAGACCCAAAGUUAUUUUGAACACCAUAAAGACAAAAGAUCCACUUAAUGUAACAACGAUGAGGACAAUAUACAAUGCAAGACACUAUCAUCGGACAAAAGAAAACGCAGGGAAAUCAGAAAUGCAACAGUUGUUAUGUAAGUUGGCUGAGUACAACUAUAUUGAGCAUCAUCAAAGUAUUGGUAUUGAUAAUGUUGUUAGUGACUUGUUUUGGACUCAACCAAUUAAUGUCGAUAUCUUACAUUGUUUCGCACAUGUACUUAUCAUGGAUUGCACGUACAAGACUAAUAGGCAUCGUUUCCACUCCUGGAGAUUGUAAGGGUAACUUCAACUAAUAUUACAUUGUCGGUUGCAUUUGCUUUCAUUGACCAUGAGAAGGAAGACAAUUACACAUGCGCAUUGACAAGAUUGAAGACUCUAAUGAAUGAUGAUUGUAUUCCUGGUGUGAUUGUCACUAGGGGUGGGUUCGGUUUAAAUCGGUUCGGUUUUUUGCCAAAACCGAAACCAAACCAAAAUUUCGGUUCGGUUCAAUUUUUUUUCUGUUUUUUUCGGUUCGGUUUUUUCCGGUUCGGUUUCGGUUCGGUUUUGGUUUUUUGUUUUUAUUUUUUUUCAAAGAAUGAAAAACAUUGAAAUUUUAAAUUUUAACAUAUCCAACACAAUCAUAACAUAAACAUUCUAACUAGAAUCAAAGACAAUGAAAAUAAACAUUUAAAGUUGAACUAAAAUCAUCAAUCAAGUCUUUCAAAGUCCAAACUAACAACCUCACAACACAAAAAUCACACAAAAAUCGUACAAAUGACUUAGAAAAGUUAAAUUGUAUGAUGUUGUUCAAAGAUCAGUGUUGUUUGCUUGUAACUGCAUGUUGACAACUUGAUUAGUAAAGGUAAUACGUGGGUGGAUUUAUUUAGUGUGUGUUGGAUUCUUUUCCAUCACAAAUUACCCAAGUAAUCUACCCGAAAUAAAUGUUUAUGGAUUAUGUUACAUGUUAUAUGAGAGUAGAUUUGGAAAAGAAAGCUGGCGUAGAAGUAGACAGUGCUAUGGAGAUGGAUGUAGGUACUUCGGGAAGAGGUUUGGUUCCGGAACCUUAUAUGGGGGAGAAAUAAUAGGUUAGGGUUUAGAGUUUUUAUAGGCCUUUUUUUUAAUAUUUUGAGCUUAAAGUUUGGCAACACAUUGGGUUAGCACAUUUUAACUUACAAAUUGGGUUUAGAAAAUAAUACCCAAAACAAAUAAUUAAAUAAAAAAUUUAAUUUAAUUAAUUCGGUUCGGUUCGGUUCGGUUUGGUUCGGUUUCUAGAUCACUAAAACUGAACCGAACCAAAAGAAUUCGGUUCGGUUCGGUUUUUUCAAUUCGGUUCGGUUUUUUUGUUCGGUUCGGUUUUUUCGGUUUCGGUUCGGUUUGGUUUUCGGUUUUUUUCGGUUUUCGGUUUUUUGAACCCACCCCUAAUUGUCACUGAUCGAGACUUAGCAAACUAAACUGAAAUAUAUUGAUUGCAAGGCAAGAGUACAAUUGUAAAAACAAGGUUUACUUUUUAAUGGAGGUUGUGUAGGAAAAAUUACAUUCAAAUUCAUUGCGGACCUCUUUUUUUUCUAAGACCAAAUCAAAGAAAAAAAUAAUUGAAUCAAUGAAUUACUAUAGCAGCUCCAUUUCUGACAAUGGCAAGAGGUCUCUGUGCUAAUCAAACUACCCCGAAAUUUUAUCCUAAAACUAUACUCGAGCUCCACCUUAUCUGCAAUCUCAAAUGCCUUCUCAAUAUCAUUUCAUGAUAAACCUGCUAUCCCUAUUUAUAAGAAAUUAAGCACAAGCUAGCUCAAGUUAUGGUCUUUAAUUAAUAUUAAUUUCGACAAAUCAGCUUCCCAUCUCUUUCAUUCAUAUGAACAUGGCGCAAUAUUUGUUUAAAUUAGCUGUUCGGGUUGAUUUCUUUGUAUAACUCUUCUGCCAAUUCUGCAACUUGUAGACGUAAUUCCCAUUUCAAAAUUUUAAAAAAUAAAAUAAAAUCCAAAACUAAUGUAAGAUAAAUAAAGACUUUUUUAUAUCAUAAAAUAAGACUUUCAAACUUGUAUACAAGACUAUAGUGACAAAAUCAAACACAUUGAUGGGUGCGCAUGUUCCUUCAACAUCUGUUAUGUGCGUUUAAACUGAGCGUCGAGUCUUUUUUAAGCACCUUUAAAAGUUUAACAAACUAACUAACUCCAAUAGCUGAUAUGGCACUUAUGAUGAUGUGUCAAUCACUAUAUAUCUUCAACAUCCCCCCGCAAUCUCAACUGGGAUUUUCCAGCUUGAGAUUGUAAAAAUGUUUGACAAAUGAAAGACUGUGAAGACCUUUGGUAAGAACAUCGGGAGUUUGCUCCUCAGUUGGGAUAUACAACACCUCCAAAUCGCCUUGCUGCACUCGUUCUCAGUUUAUAUCAAGGUGUUUAAUUCUGAAAUGAAACACCAGAUUGGCACUUAAGGCAAUAGCAGACAUAUUCUUACAGUGAAUCGUUGGUGGAGCAUCCAAAAAUACACCCAAAUCCUUCAAUAUAUUUCGAAUUCAAGCUAUAUGUGCCGCAGUAUGUGCUAAGGCUUUAUAUUCAGCCUCAGUAGAACUCCUGGAUACCGAGUUUUCUUUCUUCGAUUGCCAAGAAAUUGGAUUAUUGCCUACGUACACGACAUAACUAGUGAUAGACCGACGAGUAUUCAAGUAUGCAGCCCAAUCAGAAUCAGAAAACGCAGUAAGCUUUGAAACUGUGUUUGCAGAAAAAGUAAUACCAAUGUUCAUGGUUCCUUGAAGAUAACGAAUGAUUCGUUUAACAAUGCCAAAAUGAACAUCAGUUGGUGAGGACAUAAACUGACAUACUGUGUUUACAGCAAAGGCAAUAUCAGGCCUAGUAAAGGUUAGAUAUUGUAAAGAUCCCACAAUGCUUCUGUAGGAGGUUGGAUCUGUCAAUAAUUGUCCCUUAGAGUGUAACAUUUGAUGAUGAGGUUUACAAGGAGUGGUUGCUGGUUUACAUGAUUCCAUACCUGCUUUAUGGACGAGAUCUUUGAUACACUUAGACUGAUUAACAAAAACACUGCCAUCUGCUUUAUAUUGAACUUAUAAACGCAAAAAAUAUGUAAGUUGUCCCAUAUCCUUUAACUCGAAUACCUCAGAUAAUUAUUGAAUCACUUUUUGGAUCUUCAAGGAUUAUAACCAGUUAAGAUGAUAUCAUCAACAUAAAGUAAUAAGAUGAUGAUAUCAGAGCCAUCCUUCUUGACAAACAAACUUGUAUCAGAAGCUGAUGCAUGAAACUCCAUAACUGUCAAAUGACCAUAUACAUAAUAACUGUCAAAUAACUAUAUACAUAAUAACUCCAUAGAGUGAAGAUAGGAUAUUUAAACUCUUCUGUACUUAGAGAUAUGGUUGAUGUGGGAUAUUUCAAUACCUAUAUAUAUAUAUAUAUAUAUAUAUAUAUAGUAAAAACUACAUACAUAAUAAUACUACCAUAAUAGUUGUCACAAUCAAUUCAUCUCGCACGUCAUAUCAAAGAAAGUAAGUCAUUCAUAAAAUCAAAGUAAUAGAAUAUGAUUUUAUCAAUAUCGUAGAUGAUUCUUAUAAUCAUGUAUAUGCACGUUGGUGCGACUUAGAUUCCAAUGAUCUCUCUACUAAAUAUAUUUAUUUCAUAAACGCUAUAAUUUGUAUACAUAAUAAAUGAUUUGAUCAUAUUAAUUCUGCAUAGUCCCCUCAAGUUGGAUAGUAAAUGUCAUAAUUAAGGCUUUUUAGUCAAAAUGGAGUCCUUGAGAUUUGCCUAACUCAUUACCUUGGUCCCUGAGAUUCAAAAUCAAUAGAAGUGAUCCAUGAGAUAGUCCACCAUCAAUCAUUUUGGUCCUUCAGUGAAAAAUUGUGUUAAAUAAGAAUUAAAAUGACAAAAUUACCCUCAAUGUAAUAAACAAUAGGCCAACAUGAUUUGACAAAAAUUGAGGGUAUUUUUAAUAUUUUAUCCUUAUUUUAUGGAGAUUUUUCACUGAAUGAUGAAAAUGAUUGAUUGUGAACAAACCCAAGUACCAAUUCUAUCAAUUUCAAAUCUCAAGGACCAAAGCAAGGAGUUAUGCAAAUCUCAAUAACCAUUUUAACUAAAAAAUUAUUAUUCCUAAUUUCCUAAAGCCCUUGGGAAGGUAUCUGCCAAUUGUACCCGAGAAGAAGUGCAGCAAGGAAAAUUUUAUAAAGACAAUGGAUACAUGCCACUUCGCUGCAAAAAACGAUACUUAAAGGACAAUUUUCCCGAGUUUUUCACCGCCGUUUUUACCGUUUGCUGCAAAAAACAAAUACUCUCCCCUUGCGAGCUCCGUCGUCAAUUCCCUUCACGAACUUUGAGUCCCUCUGAAAAAAUGAUUACAUGAAAUUUGAAUUUUUCAAACUUUGUGUCUGGUUAUAUCUAACGAUCCCUAAUUCUAAAUUUAUGGUUUAGAUAUAUAAAAAAGAUAUCUCGGGUACUUCAUUGCUAUCCAUUAAGCUCCCCACUUUCAAGCAAAGCAAAAAAUUCUAAUUGAGUUGAGUUUUGAACAUGCUGAUUAGUUAGACAACUGAAUUACUAAUCUUUAUUAUUAUUGCAACAAACACACGGAUUACACUAAAAGCUAGUGAAUCAUACACUUGCAGAUGACUUAUCCAAACACAAAGAUAAGACAUGAUUUUAUUAUUAUUGCUAUAAACACACGAAUUACAACGAAAUUCAAAAACUAAAAACAAGGAAAAAAGUAGUGAUGAAAACCAAUGCCACUUCCGGGAACACGAUUGCAUUCGCACAUGCAACAAGCCUUUUAAACCCAUAGGUGACCCAAAUGGGACGAGUGAAGUCUCGUGAGGGUUUCCAGAGACGUUACCCACAAACAUCAUGCAUACGGAUCAUCAACAUCUGACUUGGGAGACUGAGUAGAUAUCCACCCCUCCAGCAUCAGGUUGUUUUUGGUUAAGGCGUAAUUCGAAUCUGUUUUCAAUGAACGGCCUGGUUAUGAGAUCGCUUUGCAAGUGACGUAAUCGGCAGCGCGUGAUUAGGUUGUUGCUGUCAGGUGGUCCGACAGGCUCGACCUUGAACAAUGUGCAAGCCCAAUUGUCUUUGGUUUCAUUUCGGUCAGCAGCUGCGGCCAGGACCAAUAGCUUGUUUUGGUCCACCCUUCUCAAGUAGUUGCCAUUGUAGGAGCAUUUGAUAUGCACGUAAUUCUUGUCGGCGUAGUCCUCAUUGUUUGGCUUCUCGGUGGUGAACUUUAUGAACCUGCUGUUUUCAUUGUCCUCGGAAAACUGGACAAUCUCAUUAAGGUCGCUUUCUGCAUCAAGUUGAUAGCGCAAAUACUUGUUGUUGAUAUCUGCUUUCAGCAGAAAAGGGCUUGGUAGUACAGGUGGAGCCAUAUCGUAUAGUGUAGUUGGGAUUGGGAUGCUCUCUCUUUUUAAUUCUCUGUUGAUGAUCUAAUUUGCUUGCUGUGAAUGUGAUGCUUAGUUUAAACCUGCUAUCCUAUUUAUAAGAAAUUAAGCACAAGCUAGCUCAAGUUAUGGUCUUUAAUUAAUAUUAAUUUCGACAAAUCAGUUUCCCAUCUCUUUCAUUGAUAUGAACAUGGCUGAUCUCAUUGGUGUGGCGCAAUAUUUGUUAAAUUAGCCGUUCGGGUUGAUUUCUUUGUACAACUCAUCUGCCAAUUCUACAACUUGUAGACCUAAUUCCCAGUACAAAAUUAAAAAAAAAUUAAAAUCCAAAACUAAUAUAAGAUAAAUAAAGACUUUUUAUAUCAUAAAAUAAGACUUUCUAACUUGUAUACAAGACUAUAGUGACAAGAUCAAACACAUUGAUGGGUGCGCAUUUUCCAUCAACAUCUGUUCUGUGUGUUUAAACUGACCGUGGAGUCUUUUUAGCAAUUAAAAGUUUUGUAUCAUGUAAUUGUCUUGGUUUGAUAAGACCUACAUCUAGAUGAGUUGCUUCUGAAGACUAAUGUAAAACUUUAUGUUGAUAUUUCUUGAGGGUGAAACAUCGUUUGAGAAACGUGUAGGGCCUCAUUACAAUGUUUUCAUUUAGUUUUUAACUUUUGGUUUAAAUAUUCUACUAUGAAUAAAUUUGUGGCUUUAAUAACUAGUAAAACCACUUUCAAAUAUCUUAGUAUCGGCUUUCAGAACAAAGGGGUUUGCUAGUACAGGUGGAGCCAUGUUGUAUAGUGUAGCUGGGAUUGGGAUGAUCUCUCUCUCUUUUUUGUUUUUUGUUUUUCCUUUAAUUUGCUUGCUUUGAAUGUGAUGCUCAGUUCAAACCUACUAUCCUAUUUCUAAGAAAUUAAGCACAAGCUAUCUCAAGUUAUGGACUUUAAUUAAUAUUAAUUUCCUCAAUCAGUUUCCCAUAUCUUUCAUUGAUACGAACAUGGCUGAUCUCAUUGGUGUGACGCAAGAUUUGUUAAAAUAGCGAUCGGAUUGAUUUUUCUUUGUAUAACUCUUCUGCCAAUUCUGAACUUGUACAUAUAAUUCCCAUUAUAAAAUAAAUAAAUAAAAUUCAAAACUCAUAUAAAAUAAAUAGAGACUUUUUAUAGCAUAUAAAAUAAGACUUUGUAACUUGUACAUAGUUACUGAUAACAUUCAUCUAAGAACUAACAGAUGAAUGUAUGCAAGCAAUAUUGAAGAAAUACAGAGAGAAAGAUCGAAAGGAAUAGAGAGAGAAAUAGAGAAAGAAAUGAGUGAAAGCUUUGUUAUUUCAUAAGAACAAAAGAUCAUCACAAAAGAACCCUGAUUCCUUCUUAUAUAGUCUGCACAUGUAGCUUAUCAGCUAAGCCACCUGUGUAACUAAUUCUUAACAAACUAACUAACUCCAAUAGCUGAUAUGGCACUUAUGAUGAUGUGUCAAUCACUAUAUAUCUUCAACAUCCCCCCGCAAUCUCAACUGGGAUUUUCUAGCUUGAGAUUGUAAAAAUGUUAGACAAAUGAAGGACUGUGAAGACCUUUGGUAAGAACAUCGGCAGUUUGCUCCUCAGUUGGGAUAUACAACACCUCCAAAUCGCCUUCAUGCACUCGUUCUCGUACAAAAUGGUAGUAUGUAUUAAGGUGUUUAAUUCUUGAAUGAAACACCAGAUUAGCACUUAAGGCAAUAGCGGACAUAUUGUCACAGUGAAUCGUUGGUGGAGCAUCCAAAAAUACACUCAAAUCCUUCAAUAUAUUUCGAAUCCAAGCUAUAUCUGCGGCAGUAUGUGCUAAGGCUUUAUAUUCAGCCUCAGUAGAACUCCUGGAUACCGAGUUUUGUUUCUUCGAUUGCCAAGAAAUUGGAUUACUACCCAAGUACACGACAUAACCAGUGAUAGACUGACGAGUAUUCAAGUCUGUAGCCCAAUAAGAAUCAGAAAACGCAGUAAGCUUUGAAACUGUGUUUGCAGAAAAAGCAAUACCAAUGUUCAUGGUUUCUUGAAGAUAACGAAUGAUUCAUUUAACAACGCCAAAAUGAACAUCAGUUGGUGAGGACAUAAACUGACAUACUGUGUUUACAGCAAAGGCAAUAUCAGGCCUAGUAAAGGUCAGAUAUUGUAAAGAUCCCACAAUACUUAUGUAAAAGGUUGGAUCUGUCAAUAAUUGUCCCUCAGAGUGUAACAUUUGAUAAUGAGGUUUACAAGGUGUGGUUGCUGGUUUACAUGAUUCCAUACCUGCUUUAUGGACGAGAUCUUUGAUAUACUUAGACUGAUUAACAAAAACACUGCCAUUUGCUUUAUAUUGAACUUGUAAACCCAAAAAAUAUGUAAGUUGUCCCAUAUCCUUUAACUCGAAUACCUCAGAUAAUUAUUGAAUCACUUUUUGGAUCUUCAAAGGAUUAGAACCAGUUAAGAUGAUAUCAUGAACAUAAAGUAAUAAGAUAAUGAUAUCAGAGUCAUCCUUCUUGACAAACAAACUUGUAUCAGAAGUUGAUGCAUGAAACUCCAUAACUGUCAAAUAACUUGUAAACUUCGAAUUCCACACUCGUGGAGCCUGUUUCAAGCCAUAUAAUGACUUGACCAAUUUGCAAACAUGAGAAAGAUAUGAUGUAUCAAUAAACCCUUAUGGUUCCUGCAUAUAAACUUCUUUUUGUAAAUCCCCGUGUAGAAAAGCGUUCUUGAUAUCUAAUUGGCGAAGAGGCCAAUGAUUCAUUGCAGCUAAAGAAAGAAUAAUCCUUACAGUAGUAUGUCCGACAACAGGACUAAAUGUGUCCAAGUAGUCAAUACCAUGUUCUUGGGAGAACCCUUGAGCUACAAGCCUUGCUUUAUACCUGGAGACACUGCCAUCAGAGUUUUUCUUCACUUUUUGUUCUGUCUUCAGGUGCAGGAACCAAUAGCCAAGUUCCUUGUGCUCGAAGUGAAUCAUAUUUCUCCUGCAUUGCCUUUUGCCACUGUGAAAUAGUAGGAGCUUUCCGAAAUGUCUUAGGUUCUGAAGCAUCAGUGAUCUCAGAAAGAAAGGAAUAGCCACCCGUGAAAGGUUCUUCAUCAGUGAUUUGGAGACAACAAAGCUCAGGACAUUGUGCUACUAAAGCAGCAUAAUUUUGUCCCUCAAUUGUUCCACUCUUCAAUCUAGGGACCAUUGAGUGAGUCAAUGGUGUAGUAUGUAAAAUGAGAUCAAAUAGAGAUAAAUCAGGAAGGAUUACCUUAAGUUGUGACUUAGAGUGGACAAGCAACAAGGAUUGUGUACCAGAGUGAUGAUGUGUAGGAGAGUGAUGAUGUGAAGAGUUUGGAGAUGCAUAUAGAAGAUUGGUUUCAGUCGAAUUUGUAUCUUGAUCACUAGGUUGAAUCACUUGUGUAUUGUCCGAACUAGAAACAUUCAAUUAACCAACCACAUAUAUACUUUCACAAUUUGCAGGAAUACUGUGAUGUGAACCAGUAUCAUUUGCUGAUAUAUGUAUAGAACUAGCUGCUUGUGAAUCAUGCUGUAUUUAUGUAUGAGGCAGGACUCUUGCACUUGGAACUUGUAACUGAAUCAAAACAGGUGUCUGAGAACACCUAUAUGUAGCUGUAGAAUCCUUAGAUGGCAAAACUUGUUUAAACGGAUAUACAUCUUCAUCAUGUAGUACAUGCCUUGACAGAAUGAACUUUCUAGUCUUGAUAUCAUAACAAAUAACUCCUUUAUAUCCAUGAGCAAAACCAAGAAAUACACAUUGAGCUGACCGUAGCUCCAAUUUAUUCUUAUUGAAUGAUCUUAUCAAGAUAGAGCAGCCAUAAGAAACUCUUAACUUUGGAGGAAUAUGAAGUUUCCAAAUGAGAUUCCAUCGCCGGAAAAGCACAAGGCCUAAUGGCCCAAAAGUAAGCAGAUUUAACUGAAAAAUUACCAUCAUUUAUUCCACUUCAGAUACACUUGGCAGUCAAAGCAUCAAAACUAAUUGGAAUGCUAAGAAUUUGUUCAACCACCUCUUUAGUAAAACAAGUAAUAGUGGAUCCAAACCAUUAUUGUAACAAUAGUUAGCUACAGUAGCCUUAUAUGUAUUGUCGGCGUUACCACACAAUCCCGAUAUACGUCCAGGAUCGACAUGUGAUCUCAUCAAAUACUCAUAUCUCUAACUUACCCCACCUCCGGAAUAUGGCAAAGUGAUGAGUCAAUAUUUACCAUAUAUUUUACCCUAAUCUUAGUAUUAAUUUAUUAAUUAUUUUGGUAGAAUUUUGAUACUUUGUUAUAUAUUUCUAACAUAGGACAUUCGACUUCAUCUGGAGAAAAAAGUAACCAAACGGAUGAUUUUUGGAGUGAUUCCAAUUGGAGGAUGUUUGUGAGUCUUUCGAGAUGAUUAUAUCAAAAUUCCAAAUUUUUCUACCUAGCCGUUUGACCGUGGCAAUGAAAUUAAGGCCCUGCGCGCAGCUUUCUCAGAUUGACAUUUCAGGACAUUUCGGGACAUUUUUUCAAUUCGGUUCGGUUUUUUUGUUCGGUUCGGUUUUUUCGGUUUCGGUUCGGUUUGGUUUUCGGUUUUUUUCGGUUUUCGGUUUUUUGAACCCACCCCUAAUUGUCACUGAUCGAGACUUAGCAAACUAAACUGAAAUAUAUUGAUUGCAAGGCAAGAGUACAAUUGUAAAAACAAGGUUUACUUUUUAAUGGAGGUUGUGUAGGAAAAAUUACAUUCAAAUUCAUUGCGGACCUCUUUUUUUUCUAAGACCAAAUCAAAGAAAAAAAUAAUUGAAUCAAUGAAUUACUAUAGCAGCUCCAUUUCUGACAAUGGCAAGAGGUCUCUGUGCUAAUCAAACUACCCGAAAUUUAUCCUAAAACUAUACUCGAGCUCCACCUUAUCUGCAAUCUCAAAUGCCUUCUCAAUAUCAUUUCAUGAUAAACCUGCUAUCCUAUUUAUAAGAAAUUAAGCACAAGCUAGCUCAAGUUAUGGUCUUUAAUUAAUAUUAAUUUCGACAAAUCAGCUUCCCAUCUCUUUCAUUCAUAUGAACAUGGCGCAAUAUUUGUUAAAUUAGCUGUUCGGGUUGAUUUCUUUGUAUAACUCUUCUGCCAAUUCUGCAACUUGUAGACGUAAUUCCCAUUUCAAAAUUUUAAAAAAUAAAAUAAAAUCCAAAACUAAUGUAAGAUAAAUAAAGACUUUUUAUAUCAUAAAAUAAGACUUUCAAACUUGUAUACAAGACUAUAGUGACAAAAUCAAACACAUUGAUGGGUGCGCAUGUUCCUUCAACAUCUGUUAUGUGCGUUUAAACUGAGCGUCGAGUCUUUUUUAGCAAUUAAAAGUUUUGUAUCAUGUAAUUGUCUUGGUUUGAUAAGACCUACAUCUGGAUAAGUUGCUUCUGAAGACUAAUGUAAAACUUUAUGUUGAUAAUUCUUGAGGGUGAAACAUCGUUUGAGAAAUGUUUUGGACCUCAUUACAAUUUUUUCAUUUAUUUUUUAACUUUUGGUUUAAAUAUUCUACUACAAAUACAUUUGUGGCUUCAAUAACUACUAAAACCACUUUCAAAUAUCUUAGUAUUGGCUUUCAGAACAAAGGGGUUUGGUAGUACAGGUUGAGCCAUGUUGUAUAGUGUAGCUGGGAUUGGGACGAUCUCUCUCUUUAUUUAUUUAUUUUUUUCCUUUAAUUUGCUUGCUUUGAAUGUGAUGCUCAGUUCAAACCUACUAUCCUAUUUCUAAGAAAUUAAGCACAAGCUAUCUCAAGUUAUGGUCUUUAAUUAAUAUUAAUUUCCUCAAUCAGUUUCCCAUUUCUUUCAUUGAUACGAACAUGGCUGAUCUCAUUGGUGUGACGCAAGAUUUGUUAAAAUAGCUGAUCGGAUUGAUUUUUUCUUUGUACCCGAGAAGAAAUGCAGGAAGGAGGAAUUUAUAAAGACAACGGAUACCUGCUCUUCGCUGCAAAAAACGACACUUAAAAGGACAAUUUUCCCGAGGUUUUCACCGCUGUUUUUACCGUUUGCUGCCAAAAACAAAUACUCUCCCCUUGCGAGCUCCGUUGUCAAUUCCCCUCGCGAACUUUGAGUCCCUCUGAAAAAAUGAUUAAGUGAAAUUUGAAUUUUUCAAACUUUGUGUUUGGUUAUAUCUAACAAUCCCUAAUUCCAAAUUUAUGGUUUAGAUAUAUAAAAAAGAUAUCUCGGGUACUUCAUUGCUAUCCAUUAAGCUCCCCACUUUCAAACAAAGCAGAAAAUUCUAAUUGAGUUGGGUUUUGAACAUGCAGAUUAGUUAGACAACUGAAUUACCAAUCCUUAUUAUUAUUGCAACAAACACACGGAUUACACUAAAAGCUAGUGAAUCAUACACUUGCAGAUGACUUAUCCAAACACAAAGAUAAGACAUGAGUUUAUUGUUAAAUUGUGGCCAAGUGGCCAUCACCUUUUGUAUUAAACAAAUAAAAAGAAAAAAAAAAGGGAGACAUCAUGAUGUUGUUUCUUACUUUGUGAUAAUGACAAAUGAUGAUGUUGGAGAAUUAUUUUUUAUUUGGCCCAUGUGGGAAGUCACGGGGUGACUUGAAGGAUUUAUUUAGCAGCAAUUGCUGCUUGUGUGGUUAAGAGAAGAAAACAGAGAGCAGAAGAAAAAGGAAAGAGAGCUGCCGAGAGCAAGAGAGUUGCAGAGAGCCCAAACAGAAAAAGAAGCUGCUGCUUCAUUUGAUUAGUAAUCAUCAACCAAAGUAGUUGUUGUUGUAAUAGUUUUGAGCUAUAUGUAUAGAGAAGAAAUUAUUCAUUAUAUUUCUUUCUCUAUUUGUUUCUUUGGUGUGUGAGAGUUAUUGGGUGUAUUGGGCUUUUGGGUUGUGAGAUUGUCAACACUUUGUAAACUCCCAUUUGGUUGAUAGUGGAUUAUUGGGUGAGCUCCUACUGCUCCGAGGACGUACUCCAGUUACACUGACUGUUGAGGAACCUCGUUAAAAUCUUGGUGUUCUUUUAUAUUUUGUUCUUGCAUUUUCAUUUGAUAAAUUUCCUGUGGGUUAGCUUGAGUUGGUUCCAACGGGUUUGGUGCUAUCCUAGCACAACAAUUGGUAUCAGAGCACUGGUUGCUCUUGGGUACUGUCUAGUUGCCAAAGAUGUCAGACGGGCAAGAUGAGAAUCCUUUUGGAAGCACCUCCGGGUUUGCAAGAACUACGGUGCAAAAUGCAAAGUUCGAAGUGGAAAAGUUUGAUGGCACAAACAACUUCGGGAUGUGGCAAUGUGAGGUCAAAGAUGUGUUGGCUCAACAAGAUCUACUUGCCGCUUUGGGAGAGAAGCCGGAAGCUAUGUCGAAGCCGGAAUGGGAGAAAUUAAAUUUGUGGGCUUGCUCUUCAAUUCGGUUGUGCCUUGCAAAAACUCAGAAGUAUUUUUUGUGAUGCGGGAGACAUUGGCAAGUGUGUGUGGCAAAAAUUGGAAGACAAGUAUAUGACGAAGAGUGCAGAGAACCGGCUACACUUGAAGAAAAAACUCUACCGCUUCCAAUACAAAGAAGGUACAAAAAUGAUUAGACACCUUGAUGCUUUUAAUAAGUUGAUUGCCGACUUGUUAAAUUUAGAUGAGGAUAUUAAGGAUGAAGAUAAGGCCUUAAUAUUGUUGAAUUCCUUGCCGGACUCUUAUGAGCAUUUUGUUACCACUAUUAUGCAUGGUAAAAAAACUGUGAAAUUUGAAGAUGUGUCAAAUGCCUUGAUGAAUUAUGAAAUGAGGCAUAGAGAUAAAAAUCAUGAUAGUACCUCUGAAGCUUUAUUUGUUAGAGGUAGAUCAUCGGAGAGGAGGUCAUCUUCUAGCAGGAAAAAAUCACAAUCUCGACCUAGAGGAAACUCUAAAGGUAGAAAACCUUUGGAAAGGGAUGAAUGUGCCUUUUGUCGUAAUAAGGGCCAUUGGAAGAAAGAUUGUCCUAAAUUGAAGAACAAAGGCAAAGAAAGUUCUGAAGCUAAUGUUGCUGAGGUUGAAACAGAUUUUUCUGAUUUUGCUUUAACCACUUCCUCAUCAUUUGAUUGUGCUACUAAGUGGGUGUUGGAUACGGGUUGUACUCAUCAUAUGACUCCUCACAAGGAUUGGUUUUCAAGCUUGAAAGAGUUUGAUGGUGGCGUUGUGUUCAUGGGAGAUGACAAUCCUUGCACAACAAAAGGGAUUGGUACAGUUCGUUUGAAGUUGCAUGAUGGCAUGGUUAAAGAGUUGACAGGUGUUCGGUAUGUACCGAAUUUGAAGAAAAAUCUUAUUUCUUUGGGUACUUUGGAAUCCAAGGGUUUCAGGUUUCAUUCAGAUGGACAGACAUUGAAAGUUACUUAUGGUGCACAUGUUGUGAUGAAAGCUCCUAGAUGUGGCCAUUUGUAUUUAUUGCAGGGAAGCACUGUGACAGGUGAAGCAUCUGUAGUCUCUGAAAAUAUGGGCACAUCUGAUUCAGAUACUACUAGAUUGUGGCAUAUGAGAUUAGGCCGUACCGGUGAGAAAGCUCUACAAGGGCUUGUGAAACAAGGUCUUCUAAAAGGUGCCAUGACUUGUAAGCUUGAUUUCUGUGAGCAUUGUGUCUUGGGGAAGCAAACUAGAGUGAAGUUUGGUACUGCUGUACAUCAGACGAAGGGCAUUCUUGAUUAUGUGCAUUCGGAUGUUUGGGGUCCUACAAAGACUCCCUCUUUGAGUGGUAGACAUUGGUUCGUGACCUUUGUUGAUGAUUAUUCAAGAAGGUCUUGGGUCUACACUAUGAAGCACAAGAGUGAGCUGUUAAGCAUUUUCUUGGGUUGGAAGAAAAUGGUUGAGAACCAGACUGGGAGAAAGAUUAAGAUUUUGAGAUCGGAUAAUGGUGGUGAAUACACAUCCGAUCCUUUCUUUAAAGUUUGCAAAGAGGAAGGAAUUGUGAGACAUUUCAGUGUUCGGGGAACUCCACAACAAAAUGGAGUUGCAGAAAGAUUGAAUCGAACCUUGCUUGAGAAGGUUAGAUGUAUGUUGUCUCAGUCGGGUUUAAGCAAGUCAUUUUGGGCAGAGGCAGUUAAUUAUGCAUGUCACAUCUCAACCGGUUACCCUCAGCUGCUGUUCAGGGUAAGACACCAAUGGAGGUAUGGACUGGAAAACCUUCUUCUGAUUAUGACUAUAUCCGUAUUUUUGGUUCACCUGCUUAUUUUCAUGUAACUGAAAAUAAACUUGAUCCAAGAGCCAAAAAGGCUAUCUUUCUUGGUUUUAGUAGUGGUGUCAAAGGUUACAGGUUGUGGUGUCCAGAGAUGAAAAAACUUGUAAUCAGCAGAGAUGUGACAUUUGAUGAAGAAAGUAUGUACAAAGUCUCUGAGAAGAAUGUGAAAGAUGUCCAACAGGUGGAGCUUGAGAAAGUUGCCUCUGAUACUUCAAAUCCUAUUUCCGCUGAUGUCGAAGCCACUACAAGUGAAGAAGUUGGAGACCAUGAGAAUGUUGAAGAAGUUGAACUUGAAGAUUCUAUUCAAGUUGAAGAGCAAGUUUCACCUCAAGAGUCUAUUGCUAAGAACAGAGGAAAAAGACAAAUUACCAAGCCAGCUCGGUACAGUGACUAUGUUGCUUUUGCUCUUCCUAUUAUCACUGAUGAGAUUCCAUCCAAUUUUGAGGAAGCUAUUGAGAGUGAGGAGAAGAAAAGGUGGUGCAAUGCCAUGGGUGAUGAAAUGAAUUCUCUCUUGAAGAACAAGACUUGGGAGUUAGCUAAAUUGCCUAAGGGCAAGAAAGCUAUCGGUUGCAAAUGGGUGUAUGCCAAGAAGGAAGAUGCUGAUGAGAAAAGCAAUGUGAGAUUUAAAGCAAGAUUAGUUGCUAAAGGGUAUGCACAAAAGGAGGGCAUUGACUACAAUGAAAUAUUUUCUCCAGUUGUGAAGCGCUCCUCAAUUCGUAUUAUGUUAGCUCUUGUUGCACAAUAUGAUCUUGAGCUUGUGCAACUUGAUGUGAAGACGGCUUUCCUACAUGGUGAUUUGAAUGAAGAGAUCUAUAUGUGUCAACCGGAUGGGUAUUGUGAAAGGGAAGGAAAAUUUGUUUUGCAAAUUGAAGAAAUCGCUUUAUGGCUUGAAGCAAUCUCCAAGGCAAUGGUAUUUGAGGUUUGAUAAAUUUAUGAGAGGCCAAAAUUAUUCUAGAAGUCAAUAUGAUCAUUGUGUGUACUUCAAGAAGUUGCAAGAUGGGUCUUUCAUUUAUUUAUUGAUAUAUGUUGAUGAUAUGUUGAUUGCCUCAAAGAAUGUUGAGGAGAUUGAGAAAUUGAAGAAACAAAUGAAGAAUGAGUUUGAGAUGAAGGAUCUUGGUGAAGCAAAUCCUUGGCAUGGAGAUCACUAGAGAUAGAGAGAAGGGUUUGGUCAGUUUGAAUCAAAGACAAUACCUUGAGAAGUUGAUUCGGAAGUUUGGAGUUCAUGAUUCAACCAAACCGGUUAGUACCCCUUUGGCUCCUCAUUUUAAAUUGAGUUCUCUACAGUGUCCUAAAACUGAUAAAGAGAAGCUGCAAAUGAAAAAUAUACCAUAUGCAAAUUUGGUUGGUAGUUUGAUGUAUGCAAUGGUAUGCUCUAGACCGGAUAUUGCUCAUGCAGUUGGCAUGGUGAGUCGAUAUAUGCAUAAUCCAGGUAAAGAGCACUGGCAAGCAGCUAAGUGGAUAUUGAGAUAUCUCCAUGGUACUCGAGAUGUUGGUUUAUGCUUUGAGAGAGAUGACUCUGGUAUUGGUCAUUUUGCAGUUGGUUAUGUUGAUUCAGAUUAUGCAGGUGAUCUGGAUGGAAGGAAGUCUACUACAGGCUAUGUGUUUACUAUGGCUAAAGGACCAGUUUGUUGGAGGUCCAUUUUGCAGUCGUCUGUUGCCUUGUCUACUACAGAGGCUGAAUAUAUGGCAGUUGCUGAAGCUAUAAAGGAGGCCAUUUGGAUACAUGGGCUGAUUAGAGAUUUGGGGGUUGAUCAGAAGCAGGUGGAGGUACAUUGUGAUAGUCAGAGUGCCAUUUAUUUGGCUAAGUAUCAGGUUCAUCAUGCGAGGACCAAGCACAUAGAUGUGCGUUAUCACUUUGUUCGUGAAAUUGUUGGUGAAGGGGAAAUCAUUCUCCAGAAGAUUCCAACUAAAGACAACCCCGCUGAUAUGUUGACUAAGGUUGUUGGUGUAGCCAAGUUUGUUCACUGUUUGAACUUGGCUCACAUUAUGCCUAUAUAAAGAAGGCGUUGAGCAGUAGGAGUUUUGGAGCAUUUGGCUCGGCAUGAGUUGUUCUCUUGCUAGUGUUCGGGAGUGAUGUUGUGUGCUAAUUGUGUUGGUUGGCUUAUCAUGGCGUUUUCGGAACUUGGCCAAGGUGGAGAUUGUUAAAUUGUGGCCAAGUGGCCAUCACCUUUUGUAUUAAACAAAUAAAAAGAAAAAAAAAAGGGGAGACAUCAUGAUGUUGUUUCUUACUUUGUGAUGAUGACAAAUGAUGAUGUUGGAGAAUUAUUUUUUCUUUGGCCCAUGUGGGAAGUCACGGGGUGACUUGAAGGAUUUAUUUAGCAGCAAUUGCUGCUUGUGUGGUUAAGAGAAGAAAACAGAGAGCAGAAGAAAAAGGAAAGAGAGCUGCCGAGAGCAAGAGAGUUGCAGAGAGCCCAAACAGAAAAAGAAGCUGCUGCUUCAUUUGAUUAGUAAUCAUCAACCAAAGUAGUUGUUGUUGUAAUAGCUUUGAGCUAUAUGUAUAGAGAAUAAAUUAUUCAUUAUAUUUCUUUCUCUAUUUGUUUCUUUGGUGUGUGAGAGUUAUUGGGUGUAUUGGGCUUUUGGGUUGUGAGAUUGUCAACACUUUGUAAACUCCCAUUUGGUUGAUAGUGGAUUAUUGGGUGAGCUCCUACUGCUCCGAGGACGUACUCCAGUUACACUGACUGUUGAGGAACCUCGUUAAAAUCUUGGUGUUCUUUUAUAUUUUGUUCUUGCAUUUUCAUUUGAUAAAAUUUCCUGUGGGUUAGCUUGAGUUGGUUCCAACGGGUUUGGUGCUAUCCUAGCACAACAUUUAUUAUUAUUGCUAUAAACACACGGAUUACAGCGAAAUUCAAAAACUAAAAAUAAGGAAAAAAGUAGUGAUGAAAACCAAUGCCACUUUCGCGGGAACACGAUUGAAUUCGCACAUGCAACAAGCCUUUUAAACCCAUAGGUGACCCAAAUGGGACGAGUGAAGUCUCGUGAGGGUUUCCAGAGACGUUACCCACAAACAUCAUGCAUACUGAUCAUCAACAUCUGCCUUGGGAGACUGAGUAGAUAUCCACCCCUCCAGCAUCAGGUUGUUUUUGGUUGAGGCGUAAUUCGAAUCUGUUUUCAAUGAACGGCCUGGUUAUGAGAUCACUUUGCAAGUGACGUAAUCGGCAGCGCGUGAUUAGGUUGUUGCUGUCAGGUGGUCCGACAGGCUCGACCUUGAACAAUGUGCAAGCCCAAUUGUCUUUGGUUUCAUUUCGGUCAGCAGCUGCGGCCAGGACCAACAGCCUGUUUUGGUCCACCCUUCUCAAGUAGUUACCAUUGUAGGAGCAUUUGAUAUGCACGUAAUUCUUGUCAGCGUAGUCCUCAUUGUUUGGCUUCUCGGUGGUGAACUUUAUGAACCUGCUGUUUUCAUUGUCCUCGGAAAACUGGACAAUCUCAUUAAGGUCGCUUUCUGCAUCAAGUUGAUAGCGCAAAUACUUGUUGUUGAUAUCUGCUUUCAGCAAAAAAGGGCUUGGUAGUACAGGUGGAGCCAUAUCGUAUAGUGUAGUUGGGAUUGGGAUGCUCUCUCUUUUUUAUUCUCUGUUGAUGAUCUAAUUUGCUUGCUGUGAAUGUGAUGCUUAGUUCAAACCUGCUAUCCUAUUUAUAAGAAAUUAAGCACAAGCUAACUCAAGUUAUGGUCUUUAAUUAAUAUUAAUUUCGACAAAUCAGUUUCCCAUCUCUUUCAUUGAUAUGAACAUGGCUGAUCUCAUUGGUGUGGCGCAAUAUUUGUUAAAUUAGCCGUUCGGGUUGAUUUCUUUGUAUAACUCAUCUGCCAAUUCUACAACUUGUAGACUUACUUCCCAUUACAAAAUAAAAAAUAAAAUAAAAUCCGAAACUAAUGUAAGAUAAAUAAAGACUUUUUAUGUCAUAAAAUAAGACUUUCUAACUUGUAUACACGACUAUAGUGACAAGAUCAAACACAUUGAUGGGUGCGCAUUUUCCAUCAACAUCUGUUCUGUGCGUUUAAACUGAGCGUGAAGUCUUUUUUAGCAAUUAAAAGUUUUGUAUGAUGUAAUUGUCUUGGUUUGAUAAGACCUACAUCUAGAUGAGUUGCUUCUGAAGACUAAUGUAAAACUUUAUGUUGAUAUUUCUUGAGGGUGAAACAUCGUUUGAGAAACGUUUUGGGCCUCAUUACAAUUUUUUCAUUUAUUUUUUAACUUUUGGUUUAAAUAUUCUACAAUAAAUACAUUUGUGGCUUUAAUAACUAGUAAAACCACUUUCAAAUAUCUUAGUAUCGGCUUCAGAACAAAGGGGUUUGGUAGUACAGGUGGAGCCAUGUUGUAUAGUGUAGCUGGGAUUGGGAUGAUCUCUCUCUUUAUUUAUUUAUUUAUUUUCUUUAAUUUGCUCGCUUUCAAUGUGAUGCUCAGUUCAAACCUACCAUCCUAUUUCUAAGAAAUUAAGCACAAGCUAUCUCAAGUUAUGGUCUUUAAUUAAUAUUAAUUUCCUCAAUCUGUUUCCCAUAUCUUUCAUUGAUACGAACAUGGCUGAUCUCAUUGGUGUGACGCAAGAUUUGUUAAAAUAGCUGAUCGGAUUGAUUUUUUCUUUGUAUAACUCUUCUGCCAAUUCUGAAAUUGUACAUAUAAUUCCCAUUAUAAAAUAAAUAAAUAAAAUCCAAAACUCAUAUAAAAUAAAUAGAGACUUUUGAUAGCAUAUAAAAUAAGACUUUGAAACUUGUACAUAGUUACGGAUAACAUUCAUCUAAGAAUUAACAGAUGAAUGUAUGCAAGCAAUAUCGAAGAAAUACAGAGAGAAAGAUCGAAAGGAAUAGAGAGAGAAAUAGAGAAAGAAAUGAGUGAAAGCUUUGUUAUUUCAUAAGAACAAAAGAUCAUCACAAAAGAACCCUGAUUCCUUCUUAUAUAGUCUGCACAUGUAGCUUAUCAGCUAAGCGUGUAACUAAUUCUUAACAAACUAACUAACUCCAAUAUCUGAUAUUUCACUUAUGAUGAUGUGUCAAUCACUAUAUAUCUUCAACAUCCCCCACAAUCUCAACUGGGAUUUUCCAGCUUGAGAUUGUAAAAAUGUUUGACAAAUGAAGGACUGUGAAGACCUUUGGUAAGAACAUCGGCAGUUUGCUCCUCAGUUGGGAUAUACAACACCUCCAAAUCGCCUUGCUGCACUCGUUCUCAGUUUAUAUCAAGGUGUUUAAUUCUGAAAUGAAACACCAGAUUGGCACUUAAGGCAAUAGCGGACAUAUUCUUACAGUGAAUCGUUGGUGGAGCAUCCAAAAAUACACCCAAAUCCUUCAAUAUAUUUCGAAUUCAAGCUAUAUGUGCCGCAGUAUGUGCUAAGGCUUUAUAUUCAGCCUCAGUAGAACUCCUGGAUACCGAGUUUUCUUUCUUCGAUUGCCAAGAAAUUGGAUUAUUGCCUAAGUACACGACAUAACUAGUGAUAGACCGACGAGUAUUCAAGUAUGCAGCCCAAUCAGAAUCAGAAAACGCAGUAAGCUUUGAAACUGUGUUUACAGAAAAAGUAAUACCAAUGUUCAUGGUUCCUUGAAGAUAACGAAUGAUUCGUUUAACAACGCCAAAAUGAACAUCAGUUGGUGAGGACAUAAACUGACAUACUGUGUUUACAGCAAAGGCAAUAUCAGGCCUAGUAAAGGUUAGAUAUUGUAAAGAUCCCACAAUGCUUCUGUAGGAGGUUGGAUCUGUCAAUAAUUGUCCCUUAGAGUGUAACAUUUGAUGAUGAGGUUUACAAGGAGUGGUUGCUGGUUUACAUGAUUCCAUACCUGCUUUAUGGACGAGAUCUUUGAUAUACUUAGACUGAUUAACAAAAACACUGCCAUCUGCUUUAUAUUGAACUUGUAAACCCAAAAAAUAUGUAAGUUGUCCCAUAUCCUUUAACUCGAAUACCUCAGAUAAUUAUUGAAUCACUUUUUGGAUCUUCAAAGGAUUAUAACCAAUUAAGAUGAUAUCAUCAACAUAAAGUAAUAAGAUGAUGAUAUCAGAGUCAUCCUUCUUGACAAACAAACUUGUAUCAGAAGUUGAUGCAUGAAACUCCAUAACUGUCAAAUAACUUGUAAACUUCGAAUUCCACGCUCGUGGAGCUUGUUUCAAGCCAUAUAAUGACUUGACCAAUUUGCAAACAUGAGAAGGAUAUGAUAGAUCAAUAAACCCUUGUGGUUGCUGCAUAUAAACUUCUUCUUGUAAAUCUCCAUGUAGAAAAGCGUUAUUGAUAUCUAAUUGGUGAAGAGUCCAAUUAUUCAUUGCAGCUAAAGAAAGAAUAAUCCUUACAGUAGUAUGUCGGACAACAGGACUAAAUGUGUCCAAGUAGUUAAUACCAUGUUCUUGGGAGAACCCCUGAGCUACAAGCCUUGCUUUAUACCUGGAGACACUGCCAUCGGGGUUUUUCUUCACUUUGUAUACCCAUUUGCUUCCUACAAUUGUUCUAUCUUCAGGUGCAGGAACCAAUAGCCAAGUUCCUUGUGCUCGAAGUGAAUCAUAUUUCUCCUGCAUUGCCUUUUGCCACUGUGAAAUUGUAGGAGCUUUCCGAAAUGUCUUAGGUUCUGAAGCAUCAGUGAUCUCAGAAAGAAAGGAAUAGCCACUUGUGAAAGGUUCUUCAUCAAUGAUUUGGAGUGAACAAAGCUCAGGACAUUGUGUUACUAAAGCAGCAUAAUUUUGUCUCUCAAUUGUUCCACUCUUCAAUCUAGUGACCAUUGAGUGAGUCGAUGGUGCAGUAUGUAAAAUGAGAUCAGAUAGAGAUAAAUCAGCAAGGAUUACCUCAAGUUGUGACUCGGAGUGGACAGGCAACAAGGAUUGUGUACCAGAGUGAUGAUGUGUAGGAGAGUGAUGAUGUGAAGAGCUUGGAGAUGCAUAUAAAUGAGUGGUAUCAGUCGAAUUUGUAUCUUGAUCACUAGGUUGAAUCACCUGUGUAUUGUUCGAACUAGAAACAUUCAAUUAACCAACCACAUUUAUACUUUCACCAUUUGCAGGAAUACUGUGAUGCGAACCAGUAUCAUUUGCUAAUAUAUGUAUAGAACUAGCUGCUUGUGAAUCAUGCUGUAUUUAUGUAUGAGGCAGGACUCUUGCACUUGGAACUUGUAAUUGAAUCAAAACAUGUGUCUGAGAACACCUAUAUGUAACUGUAGAAUCCUUAGAUGGCAGAACUUGUUUAAACGGAUAAACAUCUUCAUCAUGUAGUACAUGCCUUGACAUAAUGAACUUUCUAGUCUUGAUAUCAUAGCUAAUAACUCCUUUAUAUCCAUGAGCAAAACGAAGAAAUACACAUUGAGCUGACCGUGGCUCCAAUUUGUUCUUAUUGAAUGGUCUCAAUAGAGGAUAUAUUGCAGUACCAAAGACUUUAAGAUGUUGUACUUCAGGAACACAACCAAACACAACUUGAUAGGGAGAUUUCAUCUUCAAAUUUCUAGAUGGCAUCGUAUUGAUUAAGAAUGCAACAUGAGAACAAGCAUGAUACCAGAAAGCUGAAGGUAAUUGAGCAUCUAAUAGCAAACUAAUAGCAGUCUCAACUAAAUGUCUAUGUUUUCGUGUAGCAAGACCAUUUUGCUGUGGUGUAUGAGAGCAUGAAACUGGUGUAUAAUUCCUUUUAUCUCUAACAACUGUCUAAACACAUUACUCAUAUAUUCACCUCCACCAUUUGAUUGAAGAACUUUAACGGAAGCAUUAAACUGAUUCUCAAUAAAUGUCAGAGACUUGGUAAAGAUUGGAAAAGCAUCGGAUUUAUUAACCAUCGGAAAAAUCCAUACAAAUCAAGAGCAGUCAUCUACAAAGCUUAUGUAAUACCUAUAACCCUCUAUUAACCUCUGCAGUGAAGGACCCCAUAUAUCUGAAUGUAUCCUUUCAAAUACAACUUUUGACCUAUCGGGACUUACAGAGAAAGGCAACUUAGUCAUUUUUCCUUGAAUACAAGCAGUACAUAUAGAUGGAGACAAAUCUAUACUGGCUAAUACUUCAGACUUAUUCAACAUUGUAGUAAGCACUUCUUCAGAUGGAUGACCCAACCUUUUAUGCCAAACUGUAGUCUUUAGCUUCUUUCCAACAAAAGUUGCACAUCUUUCAAUACUUGGUACUCUGGAUCUUGACAACACUGUUAUUGGUAUCUUGAAGAGCUCCCCAUCAUCACUCUGGCCUUGGUACACAAUCCUUCGAGUUGCUUUGUCCUGUAUCAAGAAGAUCAGAUCAUCACAUACAAACCAGCAAUUAUUAUCUCUGCAUAAGUUCUUAACAGACAACAAAUUCAUUGUAAUGUGUAGAACAUGUAGCACAUUUUGCAGAAUUAAUGACUUUUGUUGAGUGUUAAGGACAGAGGAACCAAUAUUUUUAACCACCAAACCUUCUUCAUUACCAACAGUGAUCAUGGCAUCACCAUUAUAAGGAGUGAUAUAAUUUAAAACUUCGACAUUUGAUGUCAUGUGGUGAGUUGCACCUAUGUCAACUACCUAUGUAUCAGCAGCUAAAAAACCAUGGACAUUUGAGUCUUCAGUUGCAACAUUUGAGCCUUGAGCAGCCAUCCCAACAAGAGAUGUAGGUGGUGCACUGCCUUGAUAUGAGAAGUUAUUCCUAUGAAAGCAUUCCAAAGCCCGAUGACCUAUUUUCCCACAUAUCUGACAUACCAAGAUCCCUCCAGAUGAUUGAUUGUUAUCAGCUCUAAGGUAACAAUUUGGUGUUGUAUGGUCUCUUCUAGAACAAAUUUGACAUUCAGGAGAUAUAACAUUGCUGUAAUUUGUAUCACCAUUCCAAGUGUUUCCUUGUUUGCUUCCAUUACCAGAGAAAGAACUUUGAGAACCUCCAUUUGAACAUCUUUCCCAUUAUUCCCAAAAGUAGAAUAUGGCCUGUAAUUAUUAUUCCCACCAUUAUAACCACCAGAGAAUUUUCGAUUGUUCAAAUUAUUCCCAUUAUACCUCCUAUUAUUGUUACCACCAUUGUAAUUAUUCCUCCCUUGAGACCUCUAUGCAUUUGAACUCUCCCCUUGUUCAUAACUUUGAGUAUUGCCCUGAGAUUCCUGUGUAUUCGAGCCAUUGCCCUGAACAUACAUGGCAGCCAUAGAACUUGAUAAAGUUGUCAGUCUAGACUCAAUACUGCUUUCAGCCCUAAUUAGUUGAGCUCGAAAAUCUUUCAUUGAAAUCGGAGUGUCUCUUGCUAAGAUUACUGUCUUGAUCAUUUCAAAUUAUGGAGGUAAACUAGUUAAAGCAAUGACCAAAUCAUUCUCAGUGAUUUUCUCCCCUGCAGCAACCAGUUGAUCCUUGAUAAUCUUCAAUCGAAGCAAAUACUUGUCAACAUAAUCCGCACCUUUCUGUGUAGUAUGAAACUCAGUCUUGAGUUGAUUAACCCUGACAACAGAUACAGACGCAUAUCAUUCCUGUAAAGAUUUCCAAGCUUCUUGAGAAGUUUUACACCCAAUGACAUAGCCCAUAGCUUCAUCUGAAAGUGUAGCAAUCAGCAAACUCAAUAGAGAGACAUCUGUUUUAACCCAAUCUUUAUAUGCAGUAGUAAUUUCUUUAGUGACCCCAGUCUCAGUAUUGAUGACAAACUUUGGAGGACAUUGAGACUCCCCACUAAAGAAAUCAAAGAAAUCGUACCCCUUAAGCACCGACUGAAACUGAUAAUCCCAUUUGACAAAAUUAUCUUCUUUCAACUUAGCAGUGAUCAUGCCCAAAAGACUUUCAAUUUUCACAGAACUAAACACCAUAUUGUUGAUAGAAACUGAAUCAAGAAAUCAAGUACUCAAACAAUCUUCAAGAAUUAUAACAACUCCAAGAACACACACUACUGAUUAUCGGCCUUGUUCGUGUGAAAAACCCAACAAACACUCAAACAACAGCAAUGGCUAUCGGCCUUUAUGCUUUGACAGAAAACGUUUCAACAAUCAUUCAAUUAGAAAAAUGGCUAUCGGCCUUCAAUAUCAUACUCCAAACAUCAAGAAAUGGCUAUCGGCCUUCAAUAUCAUACUCCAAACAUCAAGAACUUGCUAUCGCCCUUCAACUUUCAGUCUUUCACAAAAGAUUCAUCAUUGCGACAAUUACACAAACACUUAGAGUGCAAAAAGAAAAAUAACACCUAAAAAACUCAAAGUCUAACUUCCCAAACGCCAAAAGCUCAUUAACCCACUAUACCACUUCACAGCAAUCAAGAUAAUCUUUUGGCACAGCACAGCGGAAAUACACACCACGAGAUCGAACACUUGGCGAAGAUACCAUGAUAACAUUCAUCUAAGAACUAACAGAUGAAUGUAUGCAAGCAAUAUCGAAGAAAUGCAGAGAGAAAGAUCGAAAGGAAUAGAGAGAGAAAUAGAGAAAGAAAUGAGUGAAAGUUUUGUUAUUUCAUAAGAACAAAAGAUCAUUACAAAAGAACCCUAAUUCCUUCUUAUAUAGUCUGCACAUUUAGCUUAUCAGCUAAGCCACCUGUGUAACUAAUUCUUAACAAACUAACUAACUUCAAUAGCUGAUAUGGCACUUAUGAUGAUGUGUCAAUCACUAUAUAUCUUCAACAGUUACAAGAUCGAACACAUUGAUGGGUUAUAUAUUUGGGGCUCACUACAAUUUUUUUCACUUAAUUUAGGUUUUGGCUUAAAUAUACCAUUCAAACUAAAUGUGUGGCUCAAUAAUUGGUAGAAACCUUUCCAAAUGCUUUAUAAAUGUUCUCUUAAUGAUAACGGAGAAUAUUUUGGGAAGACAACUUAUUUGAAUUUCUCACGAAAAUGUGGGUGCUCAUUAAUUUUAGUCGGCUUGGCAAUUUUGUAUAAAAAUCAUCAUUAAAUAUAGUAGUUUUCACCUUUGCCUCACCGCUAUAUUUCUAAAAGUAAUGUAAGACUUUCAGCCUUUGUUCAUUAGUGAGGAUCUUAUCAAGAUAGAGCAGCCAUAAGAAACUCUUAACUUUGGAGGAAUAUGAAGUUUCCAAAUGAGAUUCCAUCGCCAAUUAGGUAAAGCACUAGGCCUAAUGGCCCAAAAAUAUGCAGAUUUAACUGAAAAAUUACCAUCAUUUAUUCCACUUCAGAUACACUUGGCAGUCAAAGCAUCAAAACUAAUUUGAAUGCUAAGAAUUUGUUCAACCACCUCUUUAGUAAAACAAGUAAUAGUGGAUCAUGUAUUUGUCUUGGUUUGAUAAGACCUACAUCUAGAUGAGUUGCUUCUUAAGACUAAUGUAAAACUUUAUGUUGAUAUUUCUUGAGGGUGAAACAUCGUUUGAGAAACGAUUUGGGCCUCAUUACAAUUUUUUCAUUUAGUUUUUAACUUUUGGUUUAAAUAUUCUACUAUAAAUACAUUUGUGGCUUUAAUAACUAGUAAAACCACUUUCAAAUAUCUUAGUAUCGGCUUUCAGAACAAAGGGGUUUGGUAGUACAGGAGCCAUGUUGUAUAGUGUAGCUGGGAUUGGGAUGAUCUCUCUCUCUUUUUUGUUUUUUUGUUUUCCUUUAGUUUGCUUGCUUUGAAUGUGAUGCUCAGUUCAAACCUACCAUCCUAUUUCUAAGAAAUUAAGCACAAGCUAUCUCAAGUUAUGGUCUUUAAUUAAUAUUAAUUUCCUCAAUCAGUUUCCCAUAUCUUUCAUUGAUACGAACAUGGCUGAUCUCAUUGGUGUGACGCAAGAUUUGUUAAAAUAGCUGAUCGGAUUGAUUUUUUCUUUGUAUAACUCUUCUGCCAAUUCUGAACUUGUACAUAUAAUUCCCAUUAUAAGAUAAAUAAAUAAAAUCCAAAACUCAUAUAAAAAAAAUAGAGACUUUUUAUAGCAUAUAAAAUAAGACUUUGUAACUUGUACAUAGUUACAAGAUCGAACAAAUUGAUGGAUUAUAUAUUUGGGGCUCACUACAACUUUUUUUCACUUAAUUUUAGGUUGUGGCUUAAAUAUACCAUUCAAACUAAAUGUGUGGCUCAUUAAUUGGUAGAAACCUUUCCAAAUGCUUUAUAAAUGUUCUCUUAAUGCUAACGGAGAAUAUUUUGGGAAGACAAAAUAUUUGCAUUUCUUACGAAAAUGUGGGUGCUCAUUAAUUUUAAUUGGUUUUGCAAUUUUGUAUAAAAUCAUCAUUAAAUAUAGUAGUUUUCAUCUUUGCCUCACCGCUAUAUUUCUAAAAGUAGUGUAAGAUUUUCAGCCUUUGUUCAUUAGUGAGGAUCUUAUCAAGAUAGAGCAGCCAUAAGAAACUCUUAACUUUGGAGGAAUAUGAAGUUUCCAAAUGAGAUUCCAUCGCCAAUUAGGAAAAGCACAAGGCCUAAUGGCCCAAAAAUAAGCAGAUUUAACUGAAAAAUUACCUUAAUUUAUUCCACUUCAGAUACACUUGGCAGUCAAAGCAUCAAAACUAACUAAUUGGAAUGCUAAGAAUUUGUUCAACCACCUCUUUAGUAAAACAAGUAAUAGUGGAUCCAAACCAUUAUUGUAACAAUAAUUAGCUACAGUAGCCUUAUACGUAUUGUCCGUGUCACCACCCGAUCCCGAUACACGUCCAGGAUCGACAUGUGAUGUCAUCAAAUACCCAUAUCUCUAACUUACCCCGCCUCCGGGAUAUGGCAAAGUGAUGAGUCAAUAUUUUACCAUAUAUUUUACCCUAAUCUUAGUAUUAAUUUAUUGGUUAUUUUGGUAGAAUUUUGAUACUUUGUUAUAUAUUUCUAAUAUAGGACAUUCGACUUCAUCUGGACAAAAAAGUAACCAAACGGAUGAAUUUUGGAGUGAUUCCAAUUGGAGGAUGUUCGUGAGUCUUUUGAAAUGAUUAUAUCAAAAUUCCAGAUUUUUCUACCAAGCCGUUUGACCAUGGCGAUUAAGUUAAGGCCCAGCGCGCAGUUUUCUCAUAUUGACAUUUCUGGACGUUUUUUGUAUUUUGAAGAUCAAUAUGUCAUAUUUUGAGGAAGCUUUCUUCUGAGGAUUUGUAUGGGACAUCUCCAGCUUUCAAAAGAGACCUUUUGGGACCAAAUCGGAGUUGAUUUGGGUGGUCAGAAGUCUGAUUUUCUGAGAACUCCAAAUUCUUGUUCAAAUAGGAAACCUUUUAUUUUCUGUUUUAUUAUUUUAGUAUGUUUCAUAGUUUUAUUCUAAGACCUUUUAGGGUUUUAUUUUGUAUUAGUAUAAAUAAGAUAUUUAGCCAUUAGGGGAAAAGAGGAGAGAAUAGGAGGAGAACGCACACAGUACUUGGAGGAUUCAAGUUUAUUUUCAAGGUGUUUUAUAUCCAUGUUCUUAAUAAUAUUUUGUUUUAUGGUUGUUAGUAACUAGUUUCGUUUGCUAGGGCGAGGCCACGAUCCUUAGCAAGAAUAUGUAGUUUCUUUUCAAUCUGCUUAUGAUAUUAUGCAUGCAAGUUUUGAAUUAUUAAUCAUUGUGCUUUAAACUAUCUAAUUGUGUUGAUGAUUGGCCGCCAUUAGGAUAUUUAGAAAAGUAAUUUGAUGCAAUUUUGGCGGAGGGCUGUCCCUGGAAUUGGCGCUGGCUUCUUGUGGUUAAUAUGUGUAACUUCUUAGGAUGGACGACAUGUCUUAAGGGUUAUAUGGUUUUUCAAAAGGAUUUCACAAAACUUUAUGAGUUUUACAUGUUCACGUUUGAUCUGGACACCACAGAUGGGUUGCACGUUAAAUAUAGAUUCUAUGUUGGAGGUUCCAAGUAGGGCAUACUUUAGGAAAACCUAAUUAACCAUCAAAAUAUGCAUGUGUAUUUCAUAAGUAAUUGGAAGAACUAUAUAGGAUUGUUAAGGUGAUGGUGAAACCCUAGUGCUUAACUUUUUUCUUUGGUUUUCUUUACUUUCCCAAUUUAUAGUGGAUCCAAACCAUUAUUGUAACAAUACUUAGCUACAGUAGCCUUAAGUGUAUUAUCGGUGUCACGCACCGAUCCCGACAUACGUCUAGGAUCGACACGUGAUGUCACCAAAUACCCAUAUCUCCAACUUACUCUGCCUCUGGGAUAUGGCAAAGUGAUGAGUCAAUAUUUUACCAUAUAUUUUACCCUAAUCUCAGUUUGUUGGUUAUUUUGGAAGAAUUUUGAUGCUUUGUUAUAUAUUUCUAAUGUAGGAUAUUCGACAUCCUCGGGGGAAAAAAAGUAACCAAACAGAUGAAUUCUGGAGUGAUUCCAAUUGGAGAAUGUUCGUGAGUCUUUCAAGAUGAUUGUAUCAAAAUUCCAGAUUUUACUAUCAAGCUGUUUGAUCGUGGCGAUGAAAUUAAGGCCCACCGCGUAGCUUUCCCAGAUUGACGUUUCUGGACGUUUUUGGUAUUUUGAAGGUCAAGAUGUUAUAUUUAGAGGAAGAUUCCUUCUGAGGAUUUGUAUGGGACGUCUCCAGCUUUCAAAAGAGACCUUUUGGGACAAAAUCGGAGUUGAUUUGGUUGGUCAAAAGUCUGAUUGUCUGAUAACUCCGAAUUCUAGUUCAAAUAGGAAACCUUUUAUUUUCUGUUUUAUUAUUUUAUUAUGUUUCCUAGUUUUAUUCUAAGACCUUUUAGGGUUUUAUUUUGUAUUAGUAUAAAUAAGAUGUUUAGCCAUCAGGGUAAAAGAGGAGGAGAGAAAAAGAGGAGAACGCACAUAGUACUUUGGAGGAUUCAAGUUUAUUUUCAAGGUGUUUUCUUUCCAUGUUCUUAAUAAUAUUUUGUUUUAUGGUUGUUAGUAACUAGUUUCGUUUGCUAGGGCGAGGCCACGAGCCUUAGUGAGAAUAUGUAGUUUCUUUUCAAUUUGCUUAUGAUAUAUAUUAUGCAUGCAAGUUUUGAAUUAUUAAUCACUAUGCUUUAAACUAUCUAAUUGUCUUGAUGAUUGGCCACCAUUAGGAUAUUUAAAAAGGUAAUUUGAUGCAAUUUUGGUGGCGGGAUGUCCCUGGAAUUGGUGCUGGCUUCUUGUGGUUAAUAUGUGUAACUUCUUAGGAUGGACAACACGUCUUAAGGGUUAUAUGGUUUUUCAGAAGGAUUUCACAAAACUUAAUGAGUCUUGCAUGUUCACAUUCGAUCUGGACACCACAGACGGGCUGCAUGUUAGAUAUACGUUUUAUGUUGGAGGUUCCAAGUAAGGCAUACUUUAGGAAAACCAAACCUUCAAAAUAUGCAUGUGUAAUUCAUAAGUAAUUGGAAGAACUACGUAGGAUUGUUAAGGUGACGGCGAAACCCUAGUGCUUAAAUUUAUUUUCAAAAACUAUUUUCUUUGCUUUUCUUUACUUUCCCAAUUUAUUUAAUUGUUUUUAGUUCAAUUGGUUUUUAAUAUUUUAGGCCAUAAAACCAACCUCUUCUAGACUUUAUUUUCAAAUAAUUAAUUAAGAUUUGGUUUUAACAUAAAUUAUGGCUUUUUUUAUUAGCACCUCCUAAAAUGUUGAAUGCACCCCACAUUAAAAUUUAAUAUUAAAUGACUUAUUUACCCCACUAUGCAAUGACAAUUUUGACCUUAUUAGGUUUUAAAAAAAUAAAAUAAAAAUCUCUAAAUACACCCCAAAUCACUAAACCCUAUUAUUUAUCUUCUCAACUAUCAAAACCCUCUUACCCUCCAUUGUUGAACAAAACCCUAACCAAUGAAACUACAAACAUCUUGAUUGAGAAAAAUUGCUUUUGACGAAUGGAACACAAAAUCAAUGUUUCGGAGCCUUCACAUGAGGUAAGACUAUGUUUCAUCGGUGGUUUGGUUAAUUUCAUAUUCCUUUUUUUUUUCUUCCAUUGGUUAUUCAUUUUCUUCUUUGCAGGUUACAAAUCCAGCCAGUGAUCCUCUUAGAGUAGAUUUGGUUAUAUCCCUUGAAAUGAACAUUGGAGAGCGACAAAAUAUUUUGGAGGUUGGACCAGAAAAUGCAUCGCAGGUUUGUUGGCAUGUACCACUCUGCCUAUUGAUAUUGAGUUGUAUGGUUCUUAAAAUAAUUGAGGUGUAUGAUUCUUAGUAAAUAAAUGAGGAUUUGAUAAUAAUUUUUGGUGUAUUUAAAUACGAUAGCAUACAAGGCAAUACCUCUAUAGGGGACAAUGAGGUUGCAGCAACGAGCGUCGUUGAUCACACAAACGCAUUUAAAACAAACGAGGUAACUAUUUUUAGUAUAUUGAAUGUGCAUCUGUGAAUUUCAUGGAAAUUCUUGCAUUCUUUUAUUCAGCAUAGUGCAUUAGGUUCAUAAUAGGGAAUAACAUAUGGGUUGGAAUCUUAGCAUGUCUACAAACAUUUUGUUAGUGGCAAAUGGCAAUGAUCUUGUAUGUACAGGUGUUCAAAAGUAAAAAUGAUUUCCUUGAUUGGACUCGCGCACAAGGAAAAAAGAAUAAUAUGGUUAUUAUCAUUAAGAGGUAUGAUGCGGGAAAGGUUGACCGAAGGAGGAAGAGAGCUCGAAUAACAUUUGCUUGUGAGAGACAUGGCGAGUAUCGAUCCAUAUUGAGGAAGUCGGAUAUUAAUGACCAAAUUUCUGAUGCAAAUAAUAAGAAGAAUAAAGAACCCAGGAAUACUGGUACUAAAAAAUGCGGAUGUCCAUUUAUGUUGAAAAGAGUCAACGUUGGAGAAGGAGAUGAAUUGAAAUUGGAGGUUGAGUGUGGGGUGCAUAACCAUACUUAUUCACAGUAUCUUGAAGGGCAUUCUUUUGUCGGACGAUUAACUAAAGAGCAAAAUGAACUUUUAGUUGACAUGUCUACAAGUUUAGUGAGACCCAAAGUUAUUUUGAACACCAUAAAGAAAAAAGAUCCACUUAAUGUAACAACGAUGAGGACAAUAUACAAUGCAAGACACUAUCAUCGGACAAAAGAAAAAGCAGGGAGAUCAGAAAUGCAACAGUUGUUAUGUAAGUUGGUUGAGUACAACUAUAUUGAGCAUCAUCGAAGUAUUGGUGUUGAUAAUGCUGUUAGUGACUUGUUUUGGACUCACCCAAUUAAUGUCGAUACCUUACAUUGUUUCCCACAUGCACUUAUCAUGGAUUGCACGUACAAGACUAAUAGGCAUCGUUUUCCACUCCUGGAGAUUGUAGGGGUAACUUCAACUAGUAUUACAUUUUCGGUUACAUUUGCUUUCAUUGACCAUGAGAAGGAAGACAAUUACACAUGGGCAUUGACAAGAUUGAAGACUCUAAUGAAUGAUGAUUGUAUUUCUGGUGUGAUUGUCACUAAUCGAGAUCUUACAUUGUUUCCCACAUGUACUUAUCAUGGAUUGCAUGUACAAGACUAAUAGGCAUCGUAUUCCACUCCUGGAGAUUGUAGGGGUAACUUCAACUAAUAUUACAUUUUUGGUUGCAUUUGCUUUCAUUGACCAUGAGAAGGAAGACAAUUACACAUUGGCAUUGACAAGAUUGAAGACUCUAAUGAAAGAUGAUUGUAUUCCUAGUGUGAUUGUCACUGAUCGAGACUUUAGCAAACUGAACUCAAAUAUAUUGAUUGCAAGGCGAGAGUACAUUUGUAAAAACAAGGUUUACUUUUUAAUGGAGGUUGUGUAAGAAAAAUUACAUUCAAAUUCAUUGCGGAUCUCUUCUUUUUCUAAGACCAAAUCAAAGAAACAAAUAAUUGAAUCAAUGAAUUACUAUAGCAGCUCCAUUUCUGACAAUGGCAAGAGGUCUCUGUGCUAAUCAAACUACCCGAAAUUUAUCCUAAAACUAUACUCGAGCUCCACCUUAUCUUCAAUCUCAAAUGCCUUCUCAAUAUGAUUUCAUCAUAAACCUGCUAUCCUAUUUAUAAGAAAUUAAGCACAAGCUAGCUCAAGUUAUGGUCUUCAAUUAAUAUUAAUUUCGACAAAUCAGUUUCCCAUCUCUUUCAUUGAUAUGAACAUGGCUGAUCUCAUUGGUGUGGCGCAAUAUUUGUUAAAUUAGCCGUUCGGGUUGAUUUCUUUGUAUAACUCAUCUGCCAAUUCUACAACUUGUAGACUUAAUUCCCAUUACAAAAUUAAAAAUAAAAUAAAAUCCAAAACCAAUGUAAGAUAAAUAAAGACUUUUUAUAUCAUAAAAUAAGACUUUCUAACUUGUAUACAAGACUAUAGUGACAAGAUCAAACACAUUGAUGGGUGCGCAAUUUCCAUCAACAUAUGUUCUGUGCGUUUAAACUGAGCGUGGAGUCUUUUUUUAGCAAUUAAAAGUUUUGUAUCAUGUAAUUGUCUUGGUUUGACAAGACCUACAUCUAGAUGAGUUGCUUCUGAAGACUAAUGUAAAACUUUAUGUUGAUAUUUCUUGAGGGUGAAACAUCGUUUGAGAAACGUUUGGGGUCUCAUUACAAUUUUUUCAUUUAUUUUUUAACUUUUGGUUUAAAUAUUCUACUACAAAUACAUUUGUGGCUUCAAUAACUAGUAAAACCACUUUCAAAUAUCUUAGUAUUGGCUUUCAGAACAAAGGGUUUUGGUAGUACAGGUGGAGCCAUGUUGUAUAGUGUAGCUGGAAUUGGGAUGAUCUCUCUCUUUAUUUAUUUAUUUUUUUCCUUUAAUUUGCUUGCUUUGAAUGUGAUGCUCAGUUCCAACCUACUAUCCUAUUUCUAAGAAAUUAAGCACAAGCUAUCUCAAGUUAUGGUCUUUAAUUAAUAUUAAUUUCCUCAAUCUGUUUCCCAUAUCUUUCAUUGAUACUAACAUGGCUGAUCUCAUUGGUGUGACGCAAGAUUUGUUAAAAUAGCUGAUCGGAUUGAUUUUUUCUUUGUACCCGAGAAGAAAUGCAGGAAGGAGGAAUUUAUAAAGACAAUGGAUACCUGCUCUUCGCUGCAAAAAACGACACUUAAAGGACAAUUUUCCCGAGGUUUUCACCGCCGUUUUUACCGUUUGCUGCAAAAAACAAAUACUCUCCCCUUGCGAGCUCCGUCAUCAAUUCCCCUCGCGAACUUUGAGUCCCUCUGAAAAAAUGAUUAAGUGAAAUUUGAAUUUUUCAAACUUUGUGUUUGGUUAUAUCUAACGAUCCCUAAUUCCAAAUUUAUGGUUUAGAUAUAUAAAAAAGAUAUCUCGGGUACUUCAUUGCUAUCCUUUAAGCUCCCCACUUUCAAACAAAGCAAAAAAUUCUAAUUGAGUUGGGUUUUGAACAUGCAGAUUAGUUAGACAACUUAAUUACCAAUCCUUAUUAUUAUUGCAACAAACACACGGAUUACACUAAAAGCUAGUGAAUCAUACACUUGCAGAUGACUUAUCCAAACACAAAGAUAAGACAUGAGUUUAUUAUUAUUGCUAUAAACACACGGAUUACAGCGAAAUUCAAAAACUAAAAACACGGAAAAAAGUAGUGAUGAAAACCAAUGCCACUUUCGCGGGGAACACGAUUGCAUUCGCACAUGCAACAAGCCUUUUAAACCCAUAGGUGACCCAAAUGGGACGAGUGAAGUCUCGUGAGGGUUUCCAGAGACGUUACCCACAAACAUCAUGCAUACUGAUCAUCAACAUCUGACUUGGGAGACUGAGUAGAUAUCCACCCCUCCAGCAUCAGGUUGUUUUUGGUUGAGGCGUAAUUCGAAUCUGUUUUCAAUGAACGGCCUGGUUAUGAGAUCGCUUUGCAAGUGACGUAAUCGGCAGCGCGUGAUUAGGUUGUUGCUGUCAGGUGGUCCGACAGGCUCGACCUUGAACAAUGUGCAAGCCCAAUUGUCUUUGGUUUCAUUUCGGUCAGCAGCUGCGGCCAGGACCAAUAGCCUGUUUUGGUCCACCCUUCUCAAGUAGUUGCCAUUGUAGGAGCAUUUGAUAUGCACGUAAUUCUUGUCGGCGUAGUCCUCAUUGUUUGGCUUCUCUGUGGUGAACUUUAUGAACCUGCUGUUUUCAUUGUCCUCAGAAAACUGGACAAUCUCAUUAAGGUCGCUUUCUGCAUCAAGUUGAUAGCGCAAAUACUUGUUGUUGAUAUCUGCUUUCAGCAGAAAAGGGCUUGGUAGUACAGGUGGAGCCAUGUCGUAUAGUGUAGUUGGGAUUGGGAUGCUCUCUCUUUUUUAUUCUCUAUUGAUGAUCUAAUUUGCUUGCUG